UUGGCCCUCAUCGCGGCGGCGGUGUCGGCCUCGCUCUCCGGUUCGCGGCGGCGGCGGCGGCGGCGGAAAUGUGUGGACGAACCCCNNNNNNNNNNNNNNNNNNNNNNNNNNNNNNNNNNNNNNNNNNNNNNNNNNNNNNNNNNNNNNNNNNNNNNNNNNNNNNNNNNNNNNNNNNNNNNNNNNNNAAAAAGUUUUCACACAAAUGAGCAAUCAUGUGUGAAGAUUCAUGGCUUUCAAGCCACAUGAUCUAUCUCAUGGCCAUAUUCAUGGCAUAGUUUGUUGAAAUGGUCUCAUAUUUUGCAUAAUGGUGCAUGUUGGAAUGACAAACAAUGUUGAUUAAGAAAGUUUUCAUCUUCCUUGUAUGAAAAAUUCAUCUUUCAUUUUUCAUGUGCCCAAAAUGAGUUUUUUUGUGAAGGACCUACUAUAUAUUUGUUGCAAAAUUGGUCCAAAUCAUUUUUCUAACAUACUAAGCCAAAUUUAAUGUACAAUUGACAAAAUGGUUGGGUGUCAAAAGAUUUUAUCCAUCUCUCGUGAAAAAGACAAAUCUAUGUCGAAUCACCUCGAAGCGGGUCAAAUUUGAACUGCGGUUGCCUUAUAUUUAAUCAUAGAAACACCAAAAGAUUUCCAAGAUUCAACCAUUAGGUACGAACGGUCAUGCCCGCCGUUUCGACCGCAUUUUGAAAGGCCAUGAAAAAUUCAAAAAAAACAAAAAAUGGGAAACCUUUGCAUUAUGUCAUCAUAUGUGAUAAAGUUACCAUGUAAAAUAAUAAACUUGUCAUACGACAAUUAUUUUUAAAAAGUGUUCACACAAAUGAGCUAUCAUGUGUGUAGAUUCAUGGCUUUCAAGCCACAUGAUCAAUCUCAUGGCCAUAUUCAUGGCAUAGUUUAUAUCAUGUGUGAAGAUUCAUGGCUUUCAAGCCACAUGAUCAAUCUCAUGGCCAUAUUCAUGGCAUAGUUUAUUGAAAUGGUCUCAUAUUUUGCAUAAUGGUGCAUGUUGGAAUGACAAACAAUGUUGAUUAAGGAAGUUUUCAUCUUCCUUAUAUGAAAAAUUCAUUUUUCAUUUUUCAAGUGCCCGAAAUGAGUUUUUUUGUGAAGGACCUACCAUAUAUUUGUUUCAAAAUUGGUCCAAAUAAUUUUUCUAACAUACUAGGCCAUAUUUAAUAUACAAUUGACAAAAUGGUUGGGUGUCAAAAGCUUUUAUCCAUCACUCGUGAAAAAUACAAAUCUAUGUCGAAUCAGGUGGAGGCGGGUUAAAAUUUAAAUGAAGCUUUUAUCCAUCUCUCGUGAAAAAGACAAAUCUAUGUCGAAUCACCUCGAAGCGGGUCAAAUUUGAACUGCGGUUGCCUUAUAGUUUGCUUUUUUUUCCAAAAAUCAUUUCUAGGUACACAAGUAUCUAUUUAAUCAUAGAAACACCAAAAGAUUUCCAAGAUUCAACCAUUAGGUAGGAACGAUCAUGCCCGCCGUUUCGACCGCAUUUUGAAAGGCCAUGAAAAAUUCAAAAAAAACAAAAAAUGGGAAACAUUUGCAUUAUGUCAUCAUAUGUGAUAAAGUUACCAUGUAAAAUUAAAAACUUGUAAUACGGCAAUUAUUUUUAAAAAGUGUUCACACAAAUGAGCUAUCAUGUGUGAAGAUUCAUGGCUUUCAAGCCAAAUGAUCAAUCUCAUGGCCAUAUUCAUGGCAUAGUUUGUUCAUGUGUGUAGAUUCAUGGCUUUCAAGCCACAUGAUCAAUCUCAUGGCAAUAUUCAUGGCAUAGUUUGUUUAAAUGGUAUUAUAUUUUGCAUAAUGGUGCAUGUUGGAAUGACAAACAAUGUUGAUUAAGGAAGUUUUCAUCUUCCUUGUAUGAAAAAUUCAUUUUUCAUUUUUCAAGUGCCUGAAAUGAGUUUUUUGUGAAGGACUUAUAUGAAAAAUUCAUUUUUCAUUUUUCAAGUGCCCGAAAUGAGUUUUUUUGUGAAGGACCUACCAUAUAUUUGUUUCAAAAUUGGUCCAAAUCAUUUUUCUAACAUACUAGGCCAUAUUUAAUGUACAAUUCACAAAAUGAUUGGGUAUCAAAAGCUUUUAUCCAUCUCUCGUGAAAAAGACAAAUCUAUGUCGAAUCAGCUGGAAGCGGGUCAAAUUUGAACUGCGGCUGCCUUAUAGUUUGCUCUUUAUUUUUUCCAAAAAUCAUUUCUAGGUACACAAGUAUAUAUUUAAUCAUAGAAACACCAAAAGGUUUCCAAGAUUCAACCACUAGGUAGGAACGAUCAUGCCCGCCGUUUCGACCGCAUUUUGAAAGGCCAUGAAAAAUUCAAAAAAAANNNNNNNNNNNNNNNNNNNNNNNNNNNNNNNNNNNNNNNNNNNNNNNNNNNNNNNNNNNNNNNNNNNNNNNNNNNNNNNNNNNNNNNNNNNNNNNNNNNNUAAGGUGCAUAAAAGGAUUAAUAUCACAUGCAAAUCAUAACUGACAUGAUAUUGCCAUGAACUUGUGCUUCUUGAUCUCCAUCACCAAAGCACCGACAUGAUCUCCAUCGUCACCGGCGCCACACCAUGAUCUCCAUCAUUGUGCUGCCAUCGAGGUUGUCGCGCUAUCUAUGUUGUUACUACUAAAGCUACUGCCUAGCGAUAUAGCAAGAGCAUCUACAAGCGCAAAAUAAUUAAGGACAACCCUAUGGCUCUUGCGGGUUGUCGUAGCAUCGAUGUGCAAGUCGGUAUUUAACUAUUACAACAUGAUCAUCUGAUACAUCCAAUAUAUCAUAUCAUGUCUUUGGCCAUAUCACAUCACAUGCAUAGCCUGCAAAAACAAAUUAGACGUCCUCUAAUUUGUUGUUGCAUGUUUUACGUGGCUGCUAAGGGUAUCUAGUAUGAUCGCAUCUUACUUAUGCAAAGCCACAACGAUGGUAUGCAAAUUGCUAUUUAACCUUCUCCAAGGACCGCCUCGGUCAAAUCCGAUUCGACUAAACUUGAAGAAUAGGCACCCGUCAGUCAUCUUUAUGCAACAAGUUGUAUGUUAGUCGAUGAAACCGGUCUCUCGUAAGCGUACGAGUAAUGUUGGUUCAGGCCGCUUCAAUCCAACAAUACCGNNNNNNNNNNNNNNNNNNNNNNNNNNNNNNNNNNNNNNNNNNNNNNNNNNNNNNNNNNGGCCGCUUCAAUCCAACAAUACCGCUGAAUCAAGAAAAGACUAAGGAGGGCAGCAAAUUGAACAUCAACGCCCACAAAAUCUUUUGUGUUCUACUCGACAUAUCAUCUACGCAUGAACCUAGCUCAUGAUGCCACUGUUGGUGAACGUUGCAUGGGAAACAAAAAAAUUCCUAUGCACACGAAGACCUAUCAUGGUGAUGAUCAUCUAUGAGAGGGAGAUCAGAUCUACAUACCCUUGUAGAUCGCUAAGUGGGAAGCGUUAAUAAACGCGAUUGAUGUAGUGGAACGUCUUCCGUGAUUCAAAUCACCGUCGUCCUGUUGGAGAACGUCGCAUGGGAAACAAAAAUUUUCCUACGCGCAUGAAGACCUAUCAUGGUGAUGUCCAUCUACGAGAGGGGAUGAGUGAUCUACGUACCCUUGUAGACCGUACAGCAGAAGCGUUAGAGAACGCGGUUGAUGUAGUGGAACGUCCUCACACCCUUGUAGAUCGCACAGCAGAAGCGUUAAGAAACGCGGUUGAUGUAGUGGAACGUCCUCACGUCCCUCGAUCUGCCCUGCGAACCGUCCCACGAUCCGUCCCGCAAUCCGUCCCACGAUCCGCUCCGAUCUAGUGCCGAACGGACGGCACCUCCGCGUUCAGCACACGUACANNNNNNNNNNNNNNNNNNNNNNNNNNNNNNNNNNNNNNNNNNNNNNNNNNNNNNNNNNNNNNNNNNNNNNNNNNNNNNNNNNNNNNNNNNNNNNNNNNNNAAUAGGAUAUUGUUCUAAGACAAUUUUAUCUAUCUCAUCUCUCUCCUCCAUAUGCAUAUCAUCUCCUCCAUAUGCAUAUCAUUUUCAUGCUCAAGCAGAUAUUGCUCUAAAGGAUCCGUAGGAGGUACGACAAUAGAGGCAAGAGCAAUGAUUUCAUCUCUACGAGACGACUCUCUUUCAUGGGUUUGUCUUCCAAACUUGGAGAAGUUAAAUUCAUGAGACACACCCUCGAAACUAAAUCCGCUCUUCCAAACUUGGAGAAGUUAAAUUCAUGAGACACACCCUCGAAACUUACUGUGACAGUCUGCUUAAUGCAAUCAAUGUGAGCAUUGACAGUGUUGAGAAAGGGUCUACCGAAUAUGAUGGGACAAAAACUAUCUUGUGCAGUACCAAGGACGAGGAAAUCAGCAGGAUACUUCGUCUUACCAGACAAGACUUCUACGUCUCUCACAAUUCCCACACGACAGAUAGUGUCUCUAUUAGCUAGCAUAAUAGUGACAUCAAUGGGUUCUAACUCAGCAGGUGCAAUCUCAUCUUUGAUAUCAUCAUAUAGAGAACGGGGUAUUGCACUAACACUAGCUCCCAUAUCACAUAAACCAUGGUAACAGUGAUCUCCUAUCAUAACAGAAACAACGGGCAGGCCAACUACAGGUCCGUGUUUGUAUUUCGCGUGAGGUUUAGCAAUUCUAGCGGAGUCCUCACAGAAUUUGAUAACAUGCCCAUCUAUGUCUUCGGCUAAGAGAUCUUUGAUAAUAGCAACACUAGGUUCAACUCUAAUCUCCUCAGGGGGUGCAAGUGGUCUAAUGUAACCCCUACGUAUCAUAGUUGGAGCUUUAGAAUAAUCCUUUAUCCUAGCAGGGUAUGGUGGUUUCUCAGUGUAAGCACAAGGAACAACAGGAUCACUAAAAGCUAUGAUUUUAUCCUCAACUAGAUUGGUUUUGGCUAUGUUGCUUUCUACAGGAGGAUGAUAUUUAAACCACUUCUCUUUGGGAAGAUCAACAUGAGCAGCAAAAGANNNNNNNNNNNNNNNNNNNNNNNNNNNNNNNNNNNNNNNNNNNNNNNNNNNNNNNNNNNNNNNNNNNNNNNNNNNNNNNNNNNNNNNNNNNNNNNNNNNNAAAAAAAGAAGUUGAUGGUGCGGGGUAGCAAAAGUCAAAUGCCGGUUGUAACAAAUAUCUACGUGAACGUGUAUAUAACUUUUUUAGUGAACGGUUGCAACAAAAAAUGAUGUCGAUUGCAGCAAAAAUUAACACGGUUGUAGCAAAAGUAAAAAACACCGAUUGUAACGAAAAAAUCGAUGAACUUGAGUUAUAACCAAACGUAUAUACAAUUUUUUUAUUGGACAAAUGUAGAAAAAAACGUUUGUAGCAAAUGAAUCGAGCGGAAUUCCGUAGGGACCAAUUUUGCCGUUGAUUGCAGCACCAUAGUGCCGUUAUUUUGUUUGCCUUUGCGUUUCCAAAUGAAACAAGUUAGCCCUCUUCCAAACUCCUUUAUCAUACUAUAUACGUACUGUGCAAUGCUAAAAGGAAGGAAGCCUGAUGGCUGGUAACUAGCCGCUAGUUGGUGGUUUGGGGUGUGCGCGGUGGUGCUGCAGAAUGCGCUGCUGGAGUUCUUUCAGAAUGUUCAAAAGUAAAAAACACCGAUUGUAACGAAAAAAUCGAUGAACUUGAGUUAUAACCAAACGUAUAUACAAUUUUUUUAUUGGACAAAUGUAGAAAAAAACGUUUGUAGCAAAUAUGACGAUGGUUGCAACAAUUUAGACAAAAAAAUGUUACAUGCCUAAUCAGCGGGUCGUGUGCGGUCAGCCUUAUUUUUUCUGAAGAAAGUGUACGAGGCAAAGAUGUAACGUUAGUUUUCAGAAUGUUCAGACUUCCGGUGCUCCUUUUUUUUUUCUGAAGAAAGUUACACGGGAAUCUCUUGUCAAUUUCGUUUGUUAUUCGUUGAGAUCGUAUCAUAUGUCAGUUUGGUGUGUGGUUGUGUACAGUACAGAGAAAUUAAAAGAAGACACUCAAAUUUAGUACUGCAUCUAAUUUGAUUUUGUAAGUCUUCCCUUGAGAUUUGGUUUUAGUAGUUGAAUUUUGGGNNNNNNNNNNNNNNNNNNNNNNNNNNNNNNNNNNNNNNNNNNNNNNNNNNNNNNNNNNNNNNNNNNNNNNNNNNNNNNNNNNNNNNNNNNNNNNNNNNNNUAUAUUGGUGACAACAUAAUAAUUUCAGAUCUGAAAUCAUGGCACUCAGGCCCUAGUGACAAGCAUUAAGCAUGGCAAAGUAGUAGAAACAUCAAUCUCAGAACAUAGUGGAUACUAGGGAUCAAUCCCCAUCAAAACUAACUCGAUUACAUGAUAGAUCUCAUCCUACUCAUCACCGCCCAGCGAGCCUACGAAUAGAUUACUCACGAACGACGAAAAGCUUCAUGGAAUUGGAGAGGGAAGAAGGUUGAUGAUGACGAUGGCGACGAUUUCCCCUCUCCGGAGCCCAAGACGGACUCCAGAUCUGCCCUCCAGAUGACGAACAGGAGGUGGCGGCGCCUCCGUAUCAAAAACGCGACGAAAAGUUCUCUUUUUAUUUUUUUGGGACAAAAGGCAACUUAUAGAGCUGGAGUUGGGGCGGCAGGUGCGUGUGGGCCCCCACAAGCCCGCCCACCGCCAUCAGGGGGUGGUGGUGGAGCAGGGGCUUGUGGCCCACUGGCCCACCCCCUGAGGUGGAACUUGGCGCAAAUAUUUUUGAUAUUUUCCAAAACUGCUCCCCGUAAAUUUUCAGGACGUUUGGAGAACUUCGAUUUCUGCACAAAAAUAACACCAAGGCAAUUCUGCUGAAAACAGCGUUAGUCCAGGUUAGUUCCAUUCGAAUCAUGCAAAAUAGAGUCCAAAACAAGGGCAAAAGAGUUUGGAAAAGUAGAUACGAUGGAGACGUAUCAGUAGACAUACCUACUAUGUGAGCUUCAUAGAUGACUUUAGCAAAUACACUUGGAUCUAUCUUCUCAAGAAAAGAUCUGAUGUGUUUCAAGUUUUCCAAAAAUUUCAAGCACUCNNNNNNNNNNNNNNNNNNNNNNNNNNNNNNNNNNNNNNNNNNNNNNNNNNNNNNNNNNNNNNNNNNNNNNNNNNNNNNNNNNNNNNNNNNNNNNNNNNNNUUCAUUUUCAUAGUUUUGUCAAAUUCUCAAAUAUGCAAAAAGAAUUUUUAAUAAACAUAGUUUUUAAUUGAAACUAUAUGAGAAUUUAUAGAGAAAAUUCAACCUAAAUUCAAAGUGACCUCACUUUGAAUUCAGGUUGAAUUUUCUCCAUAAUUUUGAAUAUAGUUUCAAUUUUCAAAUUACAGUGAGUUUAGGCCCGUAAGCCUCCUUUAGAGAGGAGCUCGAUGGAGAUGCUGCGACGGGGCUUAUAAACUACUAUUAGCCCCCCUCGCUGGGCGAGGUGGGACUAAACUUAUCGUGCAGCCAGCGGAGGGGCUUUAGUCCCGGGUGGAGCCACGACCCGGGACUAAAGGGUGUCUUUAGUCCCGGCUCGAGCCCCGACCCGGGACUAAAGGCCCGUGCUUCCCGCCUUUUGGUGUGCCGAAAAAGGGUCUUUAGUCCCGGGUCGUGGAUCCACCCGGGACUAAAGACCCUUUAGUCCCGGGUCGUGGCUCCACCCGGGACUAAAGAUCCACCUAUAUAAGCGGGAGUUAGAAAAUUUCCAACCCAAAUCGCAUUUCGUUCUCUCCUUCUUCCUCGUUCUCCUGCCCGGCGCAGCACACCGACGAACUCGACGACGCCGUCAGGCUGCCCGCCGUCCUCCUCGCCGCCGUCGCCGUCGUCCUCCUCGCCGCCGCCUUCCUCCUCGCCGCCGCCUGCCGUCCUCCUCGCCGUCGUCGACGCCUCCGGCCGGUAAGCCCCCGCCCCCUCCUCCCCAACACUCCGGCCGGUAGAAGAAAAGAAGAAAAAGGAGAAGAAAAGAAGAAAAAGGAGAAGAAAAGAAGAAAAAGGGAAGAAAAGAAGAAAAAGGAGAAGAAAAGAAGAAAAAGGAGAAGAAAAAGGAGAAGAAAAUAAGAAAAAGGGAAGCAAGGAAGAAAAAGGAGAAGAAAGGAAGAAAAAUGAGAAGAAAGGAAGAAAAAGGAGAAGAAAGGAAGAAAAAGGAGAAGAAAAGAAGAAAAAGGAGAAGAAAAAGGAGAAAAAGGAGAAGAAAAGAAGAAAAAGGAGAAGAAAAAANNNNNNNNNNNNNNNNNNNNNNNNNNNNNNNNNNNNNNNNNNNNNNNNNNNNNNNNNNNNNNNNNNNNNNNNNNNNNNNNNNNNNNNNNNNNNNNNNNNNGUACAAUUCACAAAAUGAUUGGGUAUCAAAAGCUUUUAUCCAUCUCUCGUGAAAAAGACAAAUCUAUGUCGAAUCAGCUCGAAGCGGGUCAAAUUUAAACUGCGGCUGCCUUAUAGUUUGCUCUUUAUUUUUUCCAAAAAUCAUUUCUAGGUACACAAGUAUAUAUUUAAUCAUAGAAACACCAAAAGGUUUCCAAGAUUCAACCACUAGGUAGGAACGAUCAUGCCCGCCGUUUCGACCGCAUUUUGAAAGGCCAUGAAAAAUUCAAAAAAAAUCAAAAAAAUGGGAAACAUUUGCAUUAUGUCAUCAUAUGUGAUAAAGUUACCAUGUAAAAUUAAAAACUUGUAAUACGGCAAUUAUUUUUAAAAAGUGUUCACACAAAUGAGCUAUCAUGUGUGAAGAUUCAUGGCUUUCAAGCCAAAUGAUCAAUCUCAUGGCCAUAUUCAUGGCAUAGUUUGUUGAAAUGGUCUCAUAUUNNNNNNNNNNCAUGUGUGUAGAUUCAUGGCUUUCAAGCCACAUGAUCAAUCUCAUGGCAAUAUUCAUGGCAUAGUUUGUUUAAAUGGUAUUAUAUUUUGCAUAAUGGUGCAUGUUGGAAUGACAAACAAUGUUGAUUAAGGAAGUUUUCAUCUUCCUUGUAUGAAAAAUUCAUUUUUCAUUUUUCAAGUGCGUGAAAUGAGUUUUUUGUGAAGGACCUACCAUAUAUUUGUUUCAAAAUUGGUCCAAAUCAUUUUUCUAACAUACUAGGCCAUAUUUAAUAUACAAUUGACAAAAUGGUUGGGUGUCAAAAGCUUUUAUCCAUCACUCGUGAAAAAUACAAAUCUAUGUCGAAUCAGGUGGAGGCGGGUCAAAUUUGAACUGCGGCUGCCUUAUAGUUUGCUCUUUAUUUUUUCCAAAAAUCAUUUCUAGAUACAAAAGUAUCUAUUUAAUCAUAGAAACACCAAAAGGUUUUCAAGAUUCAACUACUAGGUAGGAACGGUCAUGCCCGCCGUUUCGACCGCAUUUUGAAAGGCCAUGAAAAAUUCAAAAAAAAUCAAAAAAAUGGGAAACCUUUGCAUUAUGUCAUCAUAUGUGAUAAAGUUACCAUGUAAAAUAAUAAACUUGUAAUACGACAAUUAUUUUUAAAAAGUUUUCACACAAAUGAGCAAUCAUGUGUGAAGAUUCAUGGCUUUCAAGCCACAUGAUCUAUCUCAUGGCCAUAUUCAUGGCAUAGUUUGUUGAAAUGGUCUCAUAUUUUGCAUAAUGGUGCAUGUUGGAAUAACAAACAAUGUUGAUUAAGAAAGUUUUCAUCUUCCUUGUAUGAAAAAUUCAUCUUUCAUUUUUCAUGUGCCCAAAAUGAGUUUUUUUGUGAAGGACCUACUAUAUAUUUGUUGCAAAAUUGGUCCAAAUCAUUUUUCUAACAUACUAAGCCAAAUUUAAUGUACAAUUGACAAAAUGGUUGGGUGUCAAAAGAUUUUAUCCNNNNNNNNNNAUAUCAUGUGUGAAGAUUCAUGGCUUUCAAGCCACAUGAUCAAUCUCAUGGCCAUAUUCAUGGCAUAGUUUAUUGAAAUGGUCUCAUAUUUUGCAUAAUGGUGCAUGUUGGAAUGACAAANNNNNNNNNNGCCAUAUAUUUGUUUCAAAAUUGGUCCAAAUCAUUUUUCUAAGAUAUUAAGCCAUAUUUAAUGUACAAUUGACAAAAUGGUUGGGUGUCAAAAGAUUUUAUCCAUCUCUCGUGAAAAAGACAAAUCUAUGUCGAAUCACCUCGAAGCGGGUCAAAUUUGAACUGCGGUUGCCUUAUAGUUUGCUUUUUUUUCCAAAAAUCAUUUCUAGGUACACAAGUAUCUAUUUAAUCAUAGAAACACCAAAAGAUUUCCAAGAUUCAACCAUUAGGUAGGAACGGUCAUGCCCGUCGUUUCGACCGCAUUUUGAAAGGCCAUGAAAAAUUCAAAAAAAAUCAAANNNNNNNNNNNNNNNNNNNNNNNNNNNNNNNNNNNNNNNNNNNNNNNNNNNNNNNNNNNNNNNNNNNNNNNNNNNNNNNNNNNNNNNNNNNNNNNNNNNNGUGUACAAAACGGACAAUCUCUCUCGAAGUAUGAGGGUUUCGAACGAGAACUCAUCUCUUACAAAGGGAUUUCAUUUUUUGAACUUAUUUGAACUCCAUACUUUUUGUGUGUUCAAAAUGCACCAUUAAAAGGCACAUCACAAAAUUUCAACAAUUUCUGACUUCAUUUGGUAUUCUUCGUGCAUUUACUUAUUUUUUUGAGCUAGUUGACCUUGAAAUUGAAAAGCACUACAAAUGAACUCUUAAAAUGUUGAAAGUUGGCAUGCUAUAAUCAUUUCACCCACAUAGCAUGUGUUAAAAAUUUGAGAGGGCUAUGACAAAAACCGGAUGCACUUCGUGUACAAAACGGACAAUCUCUCUCGAAGUAUCACGGUUUCGAACGAGAACUCAUCUCUUACAAAGGGAUUUCAUUUUUUUGAACUUAUUUGAACUUCAUACUUUUUGUGUGUUCAAAAUGCAUCAUUCAAAGGCACAUCACAAAAUUUCAACAAUUUCUCACUUAAUUUGGUAUUUUUCGGGCAUUUACUUUUUUUUGAGCUAGUUGACCCUAAAAUUGAAAAGCACUACAAAUGAACUCUGAAAAUGUUGAAAGUUGGCANNNNNNNNNNNNNNNNNNNNNNNNNNNNNNNNNNNNNNNNNNNNNNNNNNNNNNNNNNNNNNNNNNNNNNNNNNNNNNNNNNNNNNNNNNNNNNNNNNNNCACGAAGUGCAUCCAGUUUUUGUCGUAGCCCUCUCAACUUUUUUAACACAUGCUAUGUGGGUGAAAUGAUGAUACCAUGGCAACUUUCAACAUUUUCAGAGUUCAUUUGUAGUGCUUUUCAAUUUCAGGCUCAACUAGCUCAAAAAAAAGUAAAUGCACGAAGAAUACCAAAUGAAGUCAGAAAUUGUUGAAAUUUUGUGAUGUGCCUUUGAAUGGUGCAUUUUGUACACACAAAAAGUAUGGAGUUCAAAUAAGUUCAAAAAAAUGAAAUCCCUUUGUAAGAGAUGAGUUCUCGUUCGAAACCGUGAUACUUCGAGAGAGAUUGUCCGUUUUGUACACGAAGUGCAUCCAGUUUUUGUCGUAGCCCUCUCAACUUUUUAACACAUGCUAUGUGAGUGAAAUGAUGAUAGCAUGCCAACUUUCAACAUUUUCAUAGUUCAUUUGUAGUGCUUUUCAAUUUCAGGGUCAACUAGCUCAAAAAAAAGUUUUUAAUUGAAAAUAACAAAAUAGUUAAUAGUUUGGAUAGUCAAAAUAAUUUCUUUUGAAAAUAGAAAAUUAGUUUUGAAUUAUUUAUUCAAUUUCAAACACUUUUCAUUAUCAUAAUUUUGUCAAAUUCUCAAAUAUGCAAAAAGAAUUUUAAUAAACAUAGUUUUUAAUUGAAAAUAACAAAAUAGUUAAUAGUUUGGAUAGUCAAAAUAAUUACUUUUGAAAAUAGAAAAUAGUUUUGAAUUAUUUAUUCAAUUUCAAACACUUUUCAUUAUCAUAGUUUUGUCAAAAUUCUCAAAUAUGCAAAAAUAAUUUUAAUAAACACAGUUUUUAAUUGAAAAUAGCAAAAUAGUUAAUAGUUUGGAUAGUCAAAAUAAUUACUUUUGAAAAUAGAAAAUAGUUUUGAAUUAUUUAUUCAAUUUCAAACACUUUUCAAUAUCAUAGUUUUGUCAAAUUCUCAAAUAUGCAAAAAGAAUUUUAAUAAACAUAGUUUUUAAUUGAAAAUAACAAAAUAGUUAAUAGUUUGGAUAGUCAAAAUAAUUACUUUUGAAAAUAGAAAAUAGUUUUGAAUUAUUUAUUCAAUUUCAAACACUUUUCAUUAUCAUAGUUUUGUCAAAUUCUCAAAUAUGCAAAAAGAAUUUUAAUAAACAUAGUUUUUAAUUGAAAAUAACAAAAUAGUUAAUAGUUUGGAUAGUCAAAAUAAUUAAUUUUGAAAAUAGAAAAUAGUUGUGAAUUAUUUAUUCAAUUUCAAACACUUUUCAUUUUCAUAGUUUUGUCAAAUUCUCAAAUAUGCAAAAAGAAUUUUUAAUAAACAUAGUUUUUAAUUGAAACUAUAUGAGAAUUUAUAGAGAAAAUUCAACCUAAAUUCAAAGUGACCUCACUUUGAAUUCAGGUUGAAUUUUCUCCAUAAUUUUGAAUAUAGUUUCAAUUUUCAAAUUACAGUGAGUUUAGGCCCGUAAGCCUCCUUUAGAGAGGAGCUCGAUGGAGAUGCUGCGACGGGGCUUAUAAACUACUAUUAGCCCCCCUCGCUGGGCGAGGUGGGACUAAACUUAUCGUGCAGCCAGCGGAGGGGCUUUAGUCCCGGGUGGAGCCACGACCCGGGACUAAAGGGUGUCUUUAGUCCCGGCUCGAGCCCCGACCCGGGACUAAAGGCCCGUGCUUCCCGCCUUUUGGUGUGCCGAAAAAGGGUCUUUAGUCCCNNNNNNNNNNNNNNNNNNNNNNNNNNNNNNNNNNNNNNNNNNNNNNNNNNNNNNNNNNNNNNNNNNNNNNNNNNNNNNNNNNNNNNNNNNNNNNNNNNNNGGGAGUAGCGAGGGGGGGCUCCCUCGCCAGGGGGGCUCUAGGGUUUGAGGGGAGGGGGCGCGGGGGGGCCUGGCCGGUUGGGCUUCUUGGCCCAGCUGGGCCAGGGGGUGGGGGUUGCUUUUCCCUUUUUUUUAUUUGUUUUGUUUUGUUUUAUUUUGUUUUCUUUUUUUUCCUUUUUUAUUAUUUCUUCCUUUCCUAUUUAUUUUACUAUCUGAUUUUUCUUUUUAAAUACUUUCUUUUAUUAUACUUUCUUUUACAAUUUAUUAUACAUACUUUUAAUUCUUUCUUUCAUAUACAUAUUCUUUUAAUAUUUGUAAUGAACUUAUAAAGUACUUUUCUUUUGUUUUCAAAUUUUGAAUCCGGAUAGACUUGAAUCAACGCGGGUCUGAGAUGGGAAUUCGAUGACGUGGCAUCGUUAGCGGUUGAUCACUGUAGCUUAAUUACAAUAAUUACUGUUGCAAAAGUCGAGGAUGUCACAUGUACCUACAAAUGAUUUUUGGAAAAAAUAAAGAGCAAACUAUAAGGCAGCCGCAGUUCAAAUUUGACCCGCUUCCAGCUGAUUCGACAUAGAUUUGUCUUUUUCACGAGAGAUGGAUAAAAUCUUUUGACACCCAACCAUUUUGUCAAUUGUAUAUUAAAUAUGGCCUAGUAUGUUAGAAAAAUGAUUUGGACCAAUUUUGAAACAAAUAUAUGGUAGGUCCUUCACAAAAAACUCAUUUCACGCACUUGAAAAAUGAAAAAUGAAUUUUUCAUACAAGGAAGAUGAAAACUUCCUUAAUCAACAUUGUUUGUCAUUCCAACAUGCACCAUUAUGCAAAAUAUAAUACCAUUUAAACAAACUAUGCCAUGAAUAUUGCCAUGAGAUUGAUCAUGUGGCUUGAAAGCCAUGAAUCUACACACAUGAUAGCUCAUUUGUGUGAACACUUUUUAAAAAUAAUUGUCGUAUGACAAGUUUAUUAUUUUACAUGGUAACUUUAUCACAUAUGAUGACAUAAUGCAAAGGUUUCCCAUUUUUUUGAUUUUUUUUUGAAUUUUUCAUGGCCUUUCAAAAUGCGGUCGAAACGGCGGGCAUGACCGUUCGUACCUAAUGGUUGAAUCUUGGAAAUCUUUUGGUGUUUCUAUGAUUAAAUAUAAGGCAACCGCAGUUCAAAUUUGACCCGCUUCGAGCUGAUUCGACAUAGAUUUGUCUUUUUCACGAGAGAUGGAUAAAAUCUUUUGACACCCAACCAUUUUGUCAAUUGUACAUUAAAUUUGGCUUAGUAUGUUAGAAAAAUGAUUUGGACCAAUUUUGCAACAAAUAUAUAGUAGGUCCUUCACAAAAAAACUCAUUUUGGGCACAUGAAAAAUGAAAGAUGAAUUUUUCAUACAAGGAAGAUGAAAACUUUCUUAAUCAACAUUGUUUGUUAUUCCAACAUGCACCAUUAUGCAAAAUAUGAGACCAUUUCAACAAACUAUGCCAUGAAUAUGGCCAUGAGAUAGAUCAUGUGGCUUGAAAGCCAUGAAUCUUCACACAUGAUUGCUCAUUUGUGUGAAAACUUUUUAAAAAUAAUUGUCGUAUUACAAGUUUAUUAUUUUACAUGGUAACUUUAUCACAUAUGAUGACAUAAUGCAAAGGUUUCCCAUUUUUUUGUGAUUUUUUUUGAAUUUUUCAUGGCCUUUCAAAAUGCGGUCGAAACGGCGGGCAUGACNNNNNNNNNNNNNNNNNNNNNNNNNNNNNNNNNNNNNNNNNNNNNNNNNNNNNNNNNNNNNNNNNNNNNNNNNNNNNNNNNNNNNNNNNNNNNNNNNNNNAUUAUCGGAAGGUUUUCGGAGUUACCGGGAAUGUACCGGGAAUGACGAAUGGGUUCCGGGAGUUCACCGGGGGGGAACCCACCCCGGGGAAGCCCAUAGGCAUUGGGGGUGGCGCACCAGCCCUUAGUGGGCUGGUGGGACAGCCCAAAAGAGCCCUAUGCGCCAUAGGAAGAAAAAUCAAAGAGAAAAAAAAGAGGAGGUGGGAAAAGGGGGAAGGACUCCUCCUUCCAAACCUAGUUGGACUCGGUUUGGAAGGGGAGGGCUGCCCCCCUUGGCUCGGCCGAAGCCCUUAGGGGUCCUUGGACCCCAAGGCAAGGCUCCCCCUCUUCCCCCUAUAUAUACGGAGGUUUUAGGGCUGAUUUGACACAACUUUGCCACGGCAGCCCGACCACAUAUCUCCACAGUUUUACCUCUAGAUCGCGUUUCUGCGGAGCUCGGGCGGAGCCCUGCUGAGACGAGAUCAUCACCAACCUCUAGAGCGCCGUCACGCUGCCGGAGAACUCUUCUACCUCUCCGUAUCUCUUGCUGGAUCAAGAAGGCCGAGAUCAUCGUCGAGCUGUACGUGUGCUGAACGCGGAGGUGCCGUCCGUUCGGCACUAGAUCGUGGGACUGAUCGCGGGACGGUUCGCGGGGCGGAUCGAGGGAUGUGAGGACAUUCCACUACAUCAACCGCGUUCACUAACACUUCUGCUGUACGGUCUACAAGGGUACGUAGAUCACACAUCCCCUCUCGUAGAUGGACAUCACCAUGAUAGGUCUUCGUGCGCGUAGGAAAUUUUUUGUUUCCCAUGCGACGUUCCCCAACAGUGGCAUCAUGAGCCAGGUUCAUGUGUAGAUGUCUUCUCGAGUAGAACACAAAAGUUUUUGUGGGCGGUGAUGUGCGUUUUGCUGCCCUCCUUAGUCUUUUCUUGAUUCCGCGGUAUAGUUGGAUCGAAGCGGCUCGGACCGACAUUACUCGUACGCUUACUUGACGAGCACUCGGGUUAAGCUUGCAUGCNNNNNNNNNNNNNNNNNNNNNNNNNNNNNNNNNNNNNNNNNNNNNNNNNNNNNNNNNNNNNNNNNNNNNNNNNNNNNNNNNNNNNNNNNNNNNNNNNNNNUCUCCCACUUUCACUAGAGUCAAUAAUCUAGUUCACAUCACCAUGUGAUUCCAACGAAUCCAACACCCAUAUUGUUAUGGGGUCUGAUCACGUCUUGCUCUUGAGAGAGGUUUUUAGUCAACGGUUCUGAAACUUUCAGAUCCGUGUGUUCUUUACAAAUCUUUAUGUCAUCUUAUAGAUGCUGCUACUAUGUGCUAUUCGGAAAUACUCCAAAUAUCUACUCUACUAUACGAAUCCGUUUCACUACUCAUAGUUAUUCGGAUUAGUGUCAAAGCUUGCAUCGACGUAACCCUUUACGACGAACUCUUUAACCACCUCCAUAAUCGAGAAAAAUUCCUUAGUCCAUUUGUUACUAAGGAUAAAUUUUGACCGCUGCUGGUGAUUCAAUCAUGGAUCACUCUCUGUACCUCUCAACAGAUUUUGAGUCAAGGCACACAUCAGGUGCGGUACACAGCAUGGCAUACUUUAGAUUCUACGGCUAAGGCAUAGAAGACGACCUUCGUCUAUUCUCUUUAUUCUGCCGUGGUCGGGUUUUGAGUCUUACUCAAAUUCACACCUCACAACGCAACCAAGAACUCCUUCUUUGCUGAUCUAUUUUUGAACUCUUUCAAAAACUUGUUAAGGCAUGCAUCUUGUUGAAACUUCUAUUAAGCGCUUUCGAUCUAUCUCCAUAGAUCUUUGAUGCUCAACGUUCAAGUAGCGUAAUCCAGGUACUCCUUUGAAAACUUCUUUCAAACAACCUUGUAUGCUUUACAGAAAUUCUACAUUACUUCUGAUCCACAAUAUGUCAACCACAUAUUCCUAUCAGAAAUUCUACAGUGCUCCCACUCACUUCUUUGGAAAUACAAGUUUCUCAUAAACCUUGUACAAACCCAAAAUCUUUGAUCAUCUCAUCAAAGUGUAUAUUCCAACUCCGAGAUGCUUGCACCAGUCCAUUGAAGGAUCACUGGAGCUUGCAUACUUGCUAGUAUCUUUAGGAUCGACAAAACCUUCUGGUUGUAUCACAUACAAUGUUUGCUCAAGGAAACCGUCGAGAAAACAAUGUUUUGGCAUCCUACAUGCAAUAUUUCAUAAAUAAUGCAUCAACAACUAACAUAAUUCUAACAGACUUUUAGCAUCGCUACGAGUGAGAAAGUCUCAUCAUAGUCAACUGUUUGAUCUUAUCGAAAACAUCUUUGCGACAAGUCGAGCUUUUCUUAAUAGUGACUUAUCACCAUCAUCGUCUGUCUUCUUUUAAAGAUCCAUUUUUACUCAAUAGUCCUAUGACCAUCAAGUAGUUCUACCAAAGUCUACACUUUGUUUUCACACAUGGACCCUCUCUCGGAUUUCAUGGCUUCUAGCCAUUUGUCGGAAUCUGGGCCCACCAUCGCUUUCUCCAUAACUCGUAGGUUCACUCUUGCUCAACAACAUGACCUCCAAGACAGGGUUACCGUACUACUCUGCAGCAGUACGCGACCUUGUCGACCUACGAGGUUUGUAGUAACUUGAUUCAAAGCUCAAUGAUCAUCAUCAUCAGCUUCCACUUCAAUUGGUGUAGGCACCACAUGAACAACUUCUUGCGCCCUGCUACACACUGGUUGAAGUGAUGGUUCGAUAACCUCAUAAAGUUCUACUACCCUCCCACUCAAUUCUUUCGAGAGAAACCUUUCCUCGAGAAAGGAUCCGUUUCUAGAAACAAACACUUUGCUUUCGGAUCUGAGAUAGGAGAUGUACCCAACUGUUUUGGAUAUCCUAUGAAGAUGCAUUUAUCCGCUUUGGGUUCGAGCUUAUCAGACUAAAACCUUUUUCACAUAAGUUUCGAAGCCCCAAACUUUCAAGAAACGACAGUUUAGAUUUCUCUAAACCUCAGUCUAUACUGUGUCAUCUCAACGGAAAUACGCGGUGCCCUAUUUAAAGUGAAUGUGGUUGUCUCUAAUGCAUAACCCAUAAACGAUAGUGGUAAUUCGAUAAGAUACAUCACAUCAUGCACCAUACUAAAUAGUGCGUGGUAUGACGUUCAGACACAUCAUCACACCAUGAUGUUCCAGGUGGCAUGAACUGUGAAACAAUUUCCACAUUGUCUUAACUGUGUACCAAAAACUCGUAACUCAGAUAUUCAUUUCUAUGAUCAUAUCGUAGACAGUUCAUCCUCUUGUUACGACGAACUUCACUCUGAAACAGAAUUGAACUUUUCAAUAUUUCAGACUUGUGAUUCAUUAAGUAAAUACUCCUGUAUCUACUCAAGUCGUCAGUGAAGUAAGAACAUAAUGAUAUCCACUGCGUGCCUCAGCACUCACUGGACUGCAUACAUCAAAAUGUAUCACUUCCAACAAGUUACUAUCUUGUUUCAUCUCAAUGAAAACAAGGCCUUGCUCAUGUGGUAUGAUUUGCAUGUCACUAGUGAUUCGAAAUCAGGUGAGUAAAGAUCCAUCAGCAUGGAGCCUCUUCAUGCAAUUCAUACUAACAUGACUCAAGCGGCAGUGCCACAAGUAAGUGGUACUAUCAUCAUUUAACUCGUAUCUUUUGGCACCAAUGUGUAACACUACAAUCGAGAUUCAAUAAACCAUUGAAGGUGAUUAUUCAAGCAAAUAGAGUAACCAUUAUUCUCUUCGAAUGAAUAAUCGUAUUGCAAUAAACACGAUCCAAUCAUGUUCAUGCCUAACGCAAGCACCAAAUAACAAUUAUUUAGGUUCAACACCAAUCCCGAUGGUAGAGGGAGCGUGCGACGUUUGAUCAUGUCAACCUUGGAAACACUUCCAACACGUAUCGUCACCUCGCCUUUAGCUAGUCUCCGUUUAUGUCGUAGCUUUCAUUUCGCGUUACUAAUCACUUAGCAACCGAACCGGUAUCCAAUACCCUCAUGCUACUAGGAGUACUAGUAAAGUACACAUCAACAUUAUGUAUAUCAAAUAUACUUCUUUCGACUUUUGCCAGCCUUCUUAUCUACCAAGUAUCUAGAGUUGCUCCGCCUCAGUGACUGUUCCCCUUAUUACAGAAGCACUUAGUCUCGGGUUUGGGUUUAAUCUUGGGUCUCUUCAUUAGCGCAGCAACUGUUUUGCCGUUUCACGAAGUAUCCCUUCUAGCCCUCGCCUUUCUUGAAACUUAGUGGUUUUCCAAACCAUCAACUAUUGAUGCUCCUUCUUGAUUUCUACUUUCGCAGUGUCAAACGUCGCGAAUCGCUCAAGGAUCAUUGUAUCUAUCCUUGAUAUGUCAUAGUUCAUCACGAAGCUCUCAAAGCUUGGUGGCAGUGACUUUUGGAGAACCAUCACUAUCUCAUCUGGAAGAUUAGCUCCCACUUGAUUCAAGUGAUUGUCGUACUCAGACAAUCUGAGCACAUGCUCAACGAUUGAGCUUUUCUCCUUUACUUUGUGGUCAAAGAAUCUUGUUGGAGGUCUAGUACCUCUUAACAAGGGCACAAGCAUGAAAUCACAAUUGCAUCUCUUCGGAACAUCACUCAUGUUCCGUGACGUUUUACAACGUUUUCGGCGCCUUGCUUCUAAGCCAUCAAGUAUCUUGCACUGAACUAUCGUGUAGUCAUCAGUAAUGUGUAUGUCGGAUGUUCAUAGCAUCCACAGACGACGCUCGAGGUGCAGCACACCGAGUGGUGCAUUAAGGACAUAAGCCUUCUGCGUAGCAACGAGGACAAUCCUCGGUUUUACAGACUCAGUCUGCAAAGGUUGCUACUAUCAAUUUUCAACUAAAUUUUCUCUAGGAACAUAUAAAAACAGUAGAGCUAUAGCGCAAGUUACAUCGUAAUUCGCAAAGACCAUUAGACUAUGUUCAUGACAAUUAGUUCAAUUAAUCGUAUUACUUAAGAACUCCCACUCAAAAAGUACAUCUCUCUAGUCAUUUGAGUGGUACAUGAUCCAAAUCCGCUAUCUCAAGUCCGAUCAUCACGUGAGUCGAGAAUAGUUUCAGUGGUAAGCAUCCCUAUGCUAAUCAUAUCAACUAUACGAUUCAUGCUCGACCUUUCGGUCUCAUGUGUUCCGAGGCCAUGUCUGCACAUGCUAGGCUCGUCAAGCUUAACCCGAGUGUUCCGCGUGUGCACUGUUUUGCACCCGUUGUAUGUGAACGUUGAGUCUAUCACACCCGAUCAUCACGUGGUGUCUCGAAACGAAGAACUGUCGCAACGGUGCACAGUCGGGGAGAACACAAUUUCGUCUUGAAAUUUUAGUGAGAGAUCACCUCAUAAUGCUACCGUCGUUCUAAGCAAAAUAAGGUGCAUAAAAGGAUUAACAUCACAUGCAAUUCAUAAGUGACAUGAUAUGGCCAUCAUCACGUGCUUCUUGAUCUCCAUCACCAAAGCACCGGCACGAUCUUCUUGUCACCGGCGCCACACCAUGAUCAUCCAUCAACGUGUUGCCAUCGUGGUUGUCGUGCUACUUAUGCUAUCACUACUAAAGCUACAGCCUAGCAAAAUAGUAAACGCAUCUGCAAGCACAUAUGUUAGUAUAAAGACAACCCUAUGGCUCCUGCCGGUUGCCGUACCAUCGACGUGCAAGUCGAUAUUUCUAUUACAACAUGAUCAUCUCAUACAUCCAAUAUAUCACAUCACAUCGUUGGCCACAUCAUAUCACAAUCAUACCCUGCAAAAACAAGUUAGACGUCCUCUAAUUUUGUUGUUGCAUGUUUUACGUGGUGACCAAGGGUAUCUAGUAGGAUCGCAUCUUACUUACGCAAGCACCACAACGGAGAUAUAUGAGUUGCUAUUUAACCUCAUCCAAGGACCUCCUCGGUCAAAUCCGAUUCAACUAAAGUUGGAGAAACCGACACUUGCCAGUCAUCUUUGAGCAAAGGGGGUUACUCGUAACGAUGAAACCAGUCUCUCGUAAGCGUACGAGUAAUGUCGGUCCAAGCCGCUUCAAUCCAACAAUACCGCGGAAUCAAGAAAAGACUAAGGAGGGCAGCAAAACGCACAUCACCGCCCACAAAACCUUUUGUGUUCUACUCGAGAAGACAUCUACGCAUGAACCUAGCUCAUGAUGCCACUGUUGGGGAACGUCGCAUGGGAAACAAAAUUUUUCCUACGCGCACGAAGACCUAUCAUGGUGAUGUCCAUCUACGAGAGGGGAUGAGUGAUCUACGUACCCUUGUAGAUCGUACAGCAGAAGCGUUAGUGAACGCGGUUGAUGUAGUGGAACGUCCUCACGUCCCUCGAUCCGCCCCGCGAACAAUCCCGCGAUCAGUCCCACGAUCUAGUACCGAACGGACGGCACCUCCGCGUUCAGCACACGUACAGCUCGACGAUGAUCUCGGCCUUCUUGAUCCAGCAAGAGAGACGGAGAGGUAGAAGAGUUCUCCGGCAGCGUGACGGCGCUCCGGAGGUUGGUGAUGACCUUGUCUCAGCAGGGCUCCGCCCGAGCUCCGCAGAAACGCGAUCUAGAGGAAAAACCGUGGAGGUAUGUGGUCGGGCUGCCGUGGAAAAGUCGUCUCAAAUCAGCCCUAAAACCUCCGUAUAUAUAGGUGGGAGGGAGGGGAGGAGGCAGCCUCAAAACCUAAAGGUUUGGCCGAAAUUGGAGGUGGAGGAGUCCUACUCCAAUCCUACUUGGAGUAGGAUUCCACCUUCCCACUUGGAAACUCUUUCCACCUUGUGUUUUUUCCUUCUCAAACCUUAUGGGCCUUAGUGGGAACUUAUUCCAGCCCACUAGGGGCUGGUUUAUCUCUUCCCAUAGCCCAUGAGACCCCUUGGGGCGUGACACCCCUCCCGAUGGUCCCCGACACCCCUCCCGGCACUCCCAGUACACUACCGAUGAUCCCGAAACUUUUCCGGUAAUGCACGAAAACCUUCCGGUAACCAAAUGAGGUCAUCCUAUAUAUCAAUCUUCGUUUCCGGACUAUUCCGGAAACCCUCGUGACGUCCGUGAUCUCAUCCGGGACUCCGAACAACAUUCGGUAACCAACCAUAUAACUCAAAUACGCAUAAAACAACGUCGAACCUUAAGUGUGCAGACCCUGCGGGUUCGAGAACUAUGUAGACAUGACCCGAGAGACUCCUCGGUCAAUAUCCAACAGCGGGACCUGGAUGCCCAUAUUGGAUCCUACAUAUUCUACGAAGAUCUUUAUCGUUUGAACCUCAGUGCCAAGGAUUCGUAUAAUCCCGUAUGUCAUUCCCUUUGUCCUUCGGUAUGUUACUUGCCCGAGAUUCGAUCGUCAGUAUCCGCAUACCUAUUUCAAUCUCGUUUACCGGCAAGNNNNNNNNNNNNNNNNNNNNNNNNNNNNNNNNNNNNNNNNNNNNNNNNNNNNNNNNNNNNNNNNNNNNNNNNNNNNNNNNNNNNNNNNNNNNNNNNNNNNGACACCCAACCAUUUUGUCAAUUGUACAUUAAAUAUGGCUUAAUAUCUUAGAAAAAUGAUUUGGACCAAUUUUGAAACAAAUAUAUGGCAGGUCCUUCACAAAAAAACUCAUUUCGGGCACUUGAAAAAUGAAAAAUGAUUUUUUCAUACAAGGGAGAUGAAAACUUCCUUAAUCAACAUUGUUUGUCAUUCCAACAUGCACCAUUAUGCAAAAUAUGAGACCAUUUCAAUAAACUAUGCCAUGAAUAUGGCCAUGAGAUUGAUCAUGUGGCUUGAAAGCCAUGAAUCUUCACACAUGAUAUAUAGCUCAUUUGUGUGAACACUUUUUAAAAAUAAUUGUCGUAUGACAAGUUUAUUAUUUUACAUGGUAACUUUAUCACAUAUGAUGACAUAAUGCAAAGGUUUCCCAUUUUUUGUUUUUUUUGAAUUUUUCAUGGCCUUUCAAAAUGCGGUCGAAACGGCGGGCAUGACCGUUCGUACCUAAUGGUUGAAUCUUGGAAACUCUUUUCCGGUGUUUCUAUSRUWWAAUAUAAGGCAACCGCAGUUCAAUUGUACCCGCCUCGAGCGUGAUUCGACAUAGAUUUGUCUUUUUCACGAGAGAUGGAUAAAAUCUUUUGACACCCAACCAUUUUGUCAAUUGUACAUUAAAUUGGCUUAGUAUGUUAGAAAAAUGAUUUNNNNNNNNNNNNNNNNNNNNNNNNNNNNNNNNNNNNNNNNNNNNNNNNNNNNNNNNNNNNNNNNNNNNNNNNNNNNNNNNNNNNNNNNNNNNNNNNNNNNUAUAGGAUCACGUGGUCAUGUGGAAACCAGUCGGUUACUUCAAAAGAAGGUAUCGGAUCGGAAUGUCCGCAAGAGUGAGCCUUGCUAGUGGAGUGGAUGUACAACCCAGCCACCAGGUUCAAGUCCCAUCGGGCGCGUAAUUAGGGUUCUUAUUAUUUUAAAAAACUCGCUAUGGGGUCCCUUACAGUUUACCUUCAAAAAAAAAUCGUUCGGCCGGUCGCGUGCGGCCCACGCGUUGUGGCUUGUCAGUGCAUGCUAACAUUUUUUGUCCAGAUUUGCUACAACCGCAAUAAAAUUUGCUUACAAGCGUCUUUUUAUUUUUKKUUACAUUUUGUUCAUUAAAAAAGCUACAUUCACGUUUGGUUGUAACUCGAGUUAGUUGAAUUUUUUUGCUAUAACCGUGUUAAUUUUKKCUACAAUCGGCAUCAUUUUUUGUCUUCAACCGUUCACUAAAAAAAGUUAGCGUACACGUUCGUUAGAGUUGCAACCCGAGUUCACUAGAUUGUUUUGUCUACAACCCUUACUUUUGUUUUGUCUAUCACGCAUCAUCAACUUCGUUUUUUUACUUACGAUCACGUAGAUAUUUUUUUGUCUACAAUUAUUUUUUUGUUUGCAGCCGUUGACGAAAAUUAUUGCAUCGUGCCAAAAUUUAACUGUAUUAAAAAAAAUWGUUGCAUGGAUAGAUUUAAUGGUACGCCCCAUGGAUAUGACGGUCGCGCCUACGCGUAAUACUGCCUUCCCGAUCAUGCGAACGGGCGCCUGAGCGAUCUCUAGCGAGCUUUGCUAUACUUACAAGGUGUUACAGGGAUGAGGGGUUACAUCUUGUGGGAGUUUUUAAUUGGUCAUUAGUAGAGGCACGUGCCCAUCCCAUUGAAUGAUUGAAAUACUGUGUGUGUAUGUCUACCAUUUUUUAUCACUAGCGGCCUAGCCAUGUCCUUUCUUCUUCUUUUCUUCCCGMUCUACCCCCUAACUCUCUUUGGCGAAUAAAUGGCGUUGUUGAUGACUCAACAACAGCGGUUCUGAGCGAUAGCGGAUAUCGGCAACAUGAACUCGAAUUGUUCACGAGUUGGAGACGCGUCGCCAUCCCGGCGCUGGCACUGAUCCAUUUAUCAUCAUCUAAAUUUUAUAUCGUUGAUCUAUGUGGUUCUGUAGAACUUACGCGGACAUCAGCUACAGGAUGUGCAAUAAGAAUUCCAGCGUUGGGAACGUCACACUGUCCCCCUAGUAAAUGUAGUUCUAUGAAGUGGGUUUUCUGUUGUUAGCGUGCAACAGCCAUCGGUGACGACGUAUUUGAACAAUAUUCCAUGUUACACUAUUGUGCCUUUUGAACAGAACAAAUUCAAUUAUUGAAAGAACAUUAUGUACUUUAUUUAAAAGAAACUAUGUUUUUGAUCCCUUAAGUUUUCAAAAAGUAUAGACUUGGUUCCUCAAGAUUUUUUGGUAUACAUUUGGUCCCUCAAGCUUAAAACCGGAUAAGUUUGGUCGUAAACCAGAUUUUGAGCCCGUUGACCGGGUUUGACCGCCACAAAACCGCCUGAUGAACAAUAAUUUUAAAAAAAUGUCCAACAUGCUUACAUGCGCAAGGUGCGGCCAAAAUUUUAUGGUAUUUCCACACUCGAGGACCUCCUGGCAAAAAACAAAAUAAUCUAUGUUCGAUGAACCGUAAAUUCAAAAAAUAUUUGAAAAAAUUCAAAUAAUCUGAAAUUAUUUGAGGUCUAAUGUACUUAUAUGCUCAGUGCGACCAAAGUUGUCGUCUUCGACAUUCGAGGAGCCCGUAGGACUAAAAAACUAAAUUUUGCUACAACAAAAAUAGACCUAAAUUUGUUUUUUGCUAGAGCCCGUCCGAUAUUAUUUCAUGACUAAACUUUCGGUCGCACGUUGCGCAUGUAAGCAUAUUCGGACCUAAUUUUUUUCAUUUUAUAAAUUGUUUGAAUUUUUUUGGAUUACUAUUCACCAGGAAGAGUUUUUUUAACCAACCGACUCCUCGAGUGUCGAAAGAGCACGGAAUUUUGGUCGACCUUGCGCAUGUAAGCAUAUUAGAUCCCAAAAAAAUUCAGUUUUUUUUAUAUUUWRUUUUAUUUUUUUAAGUACUGUUCAUCAGGUGGUUUCGUGACGGUCAAACCCGGUCAACGGGCUCAAAAUCUGGUUUAGGACCAAACUUAUCCGAUUUUGAGACUUGAGGGACCAGAUGUAUACCAAAAUUUUCUGAGGGACCAAGUGUAUACUUUUUGAAAACUGGACCAAAAACAUACUUUUCUCUUUAUUUAAUUUGAGGUGUUAUGGACGAAAGAAACUUCUAUAUAAAUAAAUUUGUUCACCAUAUUUAGCUCUGCUUAAGCUGAAAACCUUCCUAUAUACACUGCACAUCCGUCUCCUCCUUUGCCCACAAUAUGUACGAAUUGCACGAAAUGAUUAGUCAGCGAUUGCUACUAGUAGUACAUUAUAUUCCAUGGAUAAUCCAUGGGCUUCCUUGAGCACAGUAAUACUUAAGUGCAUUCCAACAAAUAAUGAUUACAAGCCAGUCAUGUAAAGUAAUUCGAUGUACAAAUACAUGUGUAAUUCCAUAAUGAUGAUCUUUCGAGUAUUAACGAUUUCGACCAAUUUGAAUAUAGUUGCAAGACACAUGAUUCCAACAACCACCUCGGCCAUUGANNNNNNNNNNNNNNNNNNNNNNNNNNNNNNNNNNNNNNNNNNNNNNNNNNNNNNNNNNNNNNNNNNNNNNNNNNNNNNNNNNNNNNNNNNNNNNNNNNNNCUGUUUUCGGGUGAGGCACAGACGUGCCUCUCGCAAAGGCAAAACUGUGCCUUUCGCGGAAGCAAAACCAUGCCUCUCGCAAAAAAAAAACAUUUUUUUUCCUUUUGGAAGAGGCACGGGGUUGCCUCUCGCAAAGGCAAACCCGUGCCUUUCGCAGAAGCAAAACCGUGCAUCUCGAAAAAAAACAGAAAAUGCGAUUUUUUUCCUUUCCGAAAGGCACAGGCGUGCCUCUCGCGAAGGCAAAACCGUGUCUUUCGUGAAAGCAAAACCGUGCCUCUCGCAAAAAAAGAAAAUGCGUCUUUUUCCCUUUCCGAGAGGCACGGGCAUGCCUCUCGCGAAGGCAAACCCGUGCCUCUCGCAAAAAAAAAACAAAAACGARKUUUUUCACGUAAAAAAAAGAAAACGCGUUUUUUACGCAAAAAAAAAAACUAUUUUACGUCCAAAAGUUACGAAAGACCGGUUCAAAAACCAUAAAACCAAAAAACAAAAAAAAAUACAAGAAAAACCAACUCAAAAAAGGCGAAAACGCGUAGCGAAAAAGUAAAUAAAUAAAAAAUCCGAAAGGAACGCUCAGAGCGUGACACGUGGCAACGGCUGAAAACGCGUCAAGUGACGGCGCGCGGGAGCGAUCGCUGGAAGGCUCGCGAGGGAGCGCUCGCUAACUAGUCUUAAUAAUCCAUUUUCUUAUAGUAUUAUUUUGGGCCACCGACAUCGAAUUGGCCCUCCUKGKUUUUUUUUUUGAGAAAAGACACCCACGGGAGCAUCGCAUAUGUCAUAUUUAUCCAGAAAGCAACAACACAAACAAAGGACAACGAAACAAAAAACGAGAUGUGAGAAAUAAAAUUGCAUUAAGACCACAUUGGUCCUCUUCUACGUGUGCUUAAUCGUCUUUGUCGCGGCUCGGCCAGUCUGCAAUGGGAGCUCCAUAUCCGCGCCCCCUCCGGGNNNNNNNNNNNNNNNNNNNNNNNNNNNNNNNNNNNNNNNNNNNNNNNNNNNNNNNNNNNNNNNNNNNNNNNNNNNNNNNNNNNNNNNNNNNNNNNNNNNNUCUUAGCAGAAUGUUGCAUAGCUGUUGUAAUUGUGUUGUUCUGUUGUGUACCAAAUAUAGGAAAUUAUGGGGUGGGGGAUUUCUGGGGAAUUGAGGGGAUUUGGUGGAGGGGAGGGUAUCAUCAAAUCCCCACCAAUCCCAAGCCCUUGGGGUGGAAAACAUGUUGGGUCUAGUCCCACAUCGAUUGUGGGAGGAGACAUAACACGACUUAUAAGGGUGAGGGUGUCCCCUCCUAAUAGGCUAGUUCUUUGUSGGGGGGGGGGGGAGGGCCCAAGUCCUGUCAUAAGUCGGUGUUGCUCUUCGGUUGGGCCUGUUGACGCAUGUGGGUCGGAACGCUGGUGUUAGCGAACCCGAGAUUGCGUAACAAGUGGUAUCAGAGCCCAGGUGCCCGGAAUAAAUCUCGGUGGACUCACGGGUGGUCGGUCAUGGUUGGUGGGCUGGAGACGCUGGUAUUAGCGGGUCCAUGGGUGACCGAUGUGUGAGGAGGAGUUUGUUGGGUCUAGUCCCACAUCGAUUUUGGGAGAAGACAUAACACGACUUAUAAGGGUGAGGGUGUCCCCUCCUAAUAGGCUAGUCUUUUGGGGGGAGGAGGGCCCAAGGCCUGCCAUAAGUCGGUGUUGCUCUCCGGUUGGGCCUGUUGACGCAUGUGGGUCGGAACGCUGGUGUUAACGGACCCGGGAUUGCGUAACAAAACACGAGUGCCAAAUGAGGCCUAAAUGUGAUUGUGAUGACACUAGGGGCAAGUUUCGACUCACUCGGGGAGGGGGAAGAAGGGUUUAAGAAUAAGAUACGGGAAGAACUGUCUGAAUGUUAAGAGAACGAAAUGCAUGCAUGAAAUCAAUGGCGCAGCUAGACAAGAUUCUUAGGGGGGGGACAAACAUAAAAUAUGGAUAUUUAAGGGGGUCAAAUGCUAAAAGUUUCCUAAUCUAAUCAGUCUUAUUUUUUUUUCUUCUUGCUUUUAGCCAAGGUUGGGGGCCACGUCACCUGCAGCGCUGCACAUAGCUGCAUGAAAUUGUGUAUGGCUGAUCGGUAAGGAUAAAUCACGAGUGGACAUGGUGCCACACGAGCAUGGUAUCCACCACUCAUUUCUUCGUGAUUCGUGUUGUAUUUACAUUGCCAAAAUGUAUAUGGGUCGUAUUCUAUGUAUAAUAGAUGAGUAUGGCCCACAAAUCUGCACAAGUGCAGUUAAAGCUCAUUGAUGACCACACCGAUCCCACACUACUGAUUAGAGGAGCUAUUCUCUUAGGCUGGUCACAAUGGAGAGUAACAUAAGGUAGGAACCUACACGCUUUCCUAGACUAUGUUCCUACCUCCACAAUGGGGAGUAACAUGUAUGUAGUGUCAUGCAACAAUGCAUUUAUUAGGCUAUAGACUCAUUGUUUCUUGGAGUGUGUGAUGUUCCGGUAACUUAGCUAGUUACCACAAGCACCUCUCUCUUCACUAAAUACGUGCCACAUAGCAAAGUUGUAUUGAAGUGUGUGAUGUUACUGCUAAGUUCCUCCCCAUUGUGACCAGUCCUUAGUUAUUUGCAGCGUACAUCAACGCCAACCCGCACCAUUGCAUGCAUUUUCUCCCCAUUCAUUGUUUAUUCUGCUCCUCUCGCACUCAUCUUGCUUCUCUAGUUCUCCCUCUUCGUUCAUGGCAUUGCUAGCUAGGAUUCAUNNNNNNNNNNNNNNNNNNNNNNNNNNNNNNNNNNNNNNNNNNNNNNNNNNNNNNNNNNNNNNNNNNNNNNNNNNNNNNNNNNNNNNNNNNNNNNNNNNNNUACAUGUAAGGCUGCAACGACAUAGGGAUGUAAUUGUUGCUCGCAAGGGGAAAAAGCUAGCAAGUUUUUUUAUACAAAAAAGGAAGUAAUUGUACUUUUUUUUAGACAGUCUCACAAAGAUUUAUUUAAUUGAGACCAAUGUUUAUAGGAAUAAAUGCAAGAUCACCGGGAUUCCCUAAUCACACAUGGCGGCUAAUCCCUAGUCUAGUAACAUGCUUCGCUAAAUUGUGAGUCUCGAAAUUCGAUCUCCUAAAUUCAUGAGCAUAAGUACAAGAAGUAAAUGAGUUUUUAUGAUCUAUGAUCUCAUGUAAUAUAGCUCCAUAGCUUGGCGGGUUCUUUUGCUUGAUAUCAUCCACCACCACCUUGCAGUCUCAGGCCACAUAUAUGUUUUGCACAUUGGGAUCAUUCGCAAGGGCUAAGGCCUCACGCACCGCUAGUGCUUCAAGAGUUGUUGGAUCACUUAUACGUUUGAAGACAAUGGUCGACGCCCCUUGGAAUGUUCCAUUGUGAUCACGACAUAUGGCGGUAGCAACCGCUCUUCUCUGAUUCGGUGAAACAGCAACAUCAACGUUUACCUUGAACACUCGCGCCGACGGAUNNNNNNNNNNNNNNNNNNNNNNNNNNNNNNNNNNNNNNNNNNNNNNNNNNNNNNNNNNNNNNNNNNNNNNNNNNNNNNNNNNNNNNNNNNNNNNNNNNNNCAUUAUGACAUCAUCGCGAUGUCAGGCUGGCAUCAGCAGUUGACUGGUCAACUGACCAGCGGGUCCCGAACGUCAUAGGCACAAGUUUUUAUUAAGAUUAAAUAUUAAUUAAUCAGAUUAAUUUAGUGGGGGACCCACGUGGCAUUCUCUAAUUAUUCUAAUUGAUUAAUUUAACUAAUAUAUUUAUUUAACUAAUUCAUUAACUCAUUAAUUAAUUAUUAUAUCUAUUUAUUUAAUAAAAACAUUAUUUUUAUUUUUAUUUUAACUAUCGCGUGGGGUCUCCCUGUCAUAGACAGCGGGUGCUUUGGCCCCACCGGUAAGUGGCCUAAGGCUAUUUACUCAUUUUAUUAAUCACAAAUACAUAACCAUACAAAUGUUGUAUUCCUCUAAAUAUCCAUAUACGCAAAUACAUACAUCGCAUCUCAUACAUACAUACAUACANNNNNNNNNNNNNNNNNNNNNNNNNNNNNNNNNNNNNNNNNNNNNNNNNNNNNNNNNNNNNNNNNNNNNNNNNNNNNNNNNNNNNNNNNNNNNNNNNNNNNNNNNNNNNNNNNNNNNNNNNNNNNNNNNNNNNNNNNNNNNNNNNNNNNNNNNNNNNNNNNNNNNNNNNNNNNNNNNNNNNNNNNNNNNNNNNNNNNNNNNNNNNNNNNNNNNNNNNNNNNNNNNNNNNNNNNNNNNNNNNNNNNNNNNNNNNNNNNNNNNNNNNNNNNNNNNNNNNNNNNNNNNNNNNNNNNNNNNNNNNNNNNNNNNNNNNNNNNNACAUACAUACAUACAUACGCAUCUAAUACAUUUUUUUUUAUUUUCUCUCAAAACUCUCAUCUCCCUCUCUGUCAACAGACAACAGAGAAACAACUCUGUGCUAACUCAACAUAGAAGAACCAAACGUUCAAUCCUUCCUACCGGAGUCUACCGUCGACGGAUCGGGGUCCCGUUUGCCGGAACGGAACCGGGGCGGCGAGGAGAACGACAUGGUGGGAGGAGCCCGAGGAGGGGCUCACCGACGUUGACGGGAGGGGCCGGUGAAGCCAGAGUUCGCGGGAAGGGGCGGAGGAGACGACAUGGAGGCGGACGAGGCGGUGACGGUGACGGUGACGGCGCGGUUCCGGUGGUGAUGCCGGUGAGGACGGUCGCCGAAGAAGUCGUGCCGGCGAGGUCUUGCCGAGAGGGGCCCCGAUGAGGAGGGCCCCCGGGAUGAAGCCGCCGACGGGGAGGGGCUCGGCCGGCGGGGCUCGUGGGGUCGGUCUCCNNNNNNNNNNNNNNNNNNNNNNNNNNNNNNNNNNNNNNNNNNNNNNNNNNNNNNNNNNNUGCAAAGGUUUCCCAUUUCUUUGAUUUUUUUUGAAUUUUUCAUGGCCUUUCAAAAUGCGGUCGAAACGACGGGCAUGACCGUUCCUACCUAAUGGUUGAAUCUUGGAAAUCUUUUGGUGUUUCUAUGAUUAAAUAGAUACUUGUGUACCUAGAAAUGAUUUUUGGAAAAAAAAGCAAACUAUAAGGCAACCGCAGUUCAAAUUUGACCCGCUUCGAGGUGAUUCGACAUAGAUUUGUCUUUUUCACGAGAGAUGGAUAAAAUCUUUUGACACCCAACCAUUUUGUCAAUUGUACAUUAAAUAUGGCUUAAUAUCUUAGAAAAAUGAUUUGGACCAAUUUUGAAACAAAUAUAUGGCAGGUCCUUCACAAAAAAACUCAUUUCGGGCACUUGAAAAAUGAAAAAUGAUUUUUUCAUACAAGGGAGAUGAAAACUUCCUUAAUCAACAUUGUUUGUCAUUCCAACAUGCACCAUUAUGCAAAAUAUGAGACCAUUUCAAUAAACUAUGCCAUGAAUAUGGCCAUGAGAUUGAUCAUGUGGCUUGAAAGCCAUGAAUCUUCACACAUGAUAUAUAGCUCAUUUGUGUGAACACUUUUUAAAAAUAAUUGUCGUAUGACAAGUUUAUUAUUUUACAUGGUAACUUUAUCACAUAUGAUGACAUAAUGCAAAGGUUUCCCAUUUUUUGUUUUUUUUGAAUUUUUCAUGGCCUUUCAAAAUGCGGUCGAAACGGCGGGCAUGACCGUUCGUACCUAAUGGUUGAAUCUUGGAAAUCUUUUGGUGUUUCUAUGAUUAAAUAUAAGGCAACCGCAGUUCAAAUUUGACCCGCUUCGAGCUGAUUCGACAUAGAUUUGUCUUUUUCACGAGAGAUGGAUAAAAUCUUUUGACACCCAACCAUUUUGUCAAUUGUACAUUAAAUUUGGCUUAGUAUGUUAGAAAAAUGAUUUGGACCAAUUUUGCAACAAAUAUAUAGUAGGUCCUUCACAAAAAAACUCAUUUUGGGCACAUGAAAAAUGAAAGAUGAAUUUUUCAUACAAGGAAGAUGAAAACUUUCUUAAUCAACAUUGUUUGUUAUUCCAACAUGCACCAUUAUGCAAAAUAUGAGACCAUUUCAACAAACUAUGCCAUGAAUAUGGCCAUGAGAUAGAUCAUGUGGCUUGAAAGCCAUGAAUCUUCACACAUGAUUGCUCAUUUGUGUGAAAACUUUUUAAAAAUAAUUGUCGUAUUACAAGUUUAUUAUUUUACAUGGUAACUUUAUCACAUAUGAUGACAUAAUGCAAAGGUUUCCCAUUUUUUUGAUUUUUUUUGAAUUUUUCAUGGCCUUUCAAAAUGCGGUCGAAACGGCGGGCAUGACCGUUCCUACCUAGUAGUUGAAUCUUGAAAACCUUUUGGUGUUUCUAUGAUUAAAUAGAUACUUUUGUAUCUAGAAAUGAUUUUUGGAAAAAAUAAAGAGCAAACUAUAAGGCAGCCGCAGUUCAAAUUUGACCCGCCUCCACCUGAUUCGACAUAGAUUUGUAUUUUUCACGAGUGAUGGAUAAAAGCUUUUGACACCCAACCAUUUUGUCAAUUGUAUAUUAAAUAUGGCCUAGUAUGUUAGAAAAAUUAUUUGGACCAAUUUUGAAACAAAUAUAUGGUAGGUCCUUCACAAAAAAACUCAUUUCGGGCACUUGAAAAAUGAAAAAUGAAUUUUUCAUAUAAGGAAGAUGAAAACUUCCUUAAUCAACAUUGUUUGUCAUUCCAACAUGCACCAUUAUGCAAAAUAUGAGACCAUUUCAACAAACUAUGCCAUGAAUAUGGCCAUGAGAUUGAUCAUUUGGCUUGAAAGCCAUGAAUCUUCACACAUGAUAGCUCAUUUGUGUGAACACUUUUUAAAAAUAAUUGCCGUAUUACAAGUUUUUAAUUUUACAUGGUAACUUUAUCACAUAUGAUGACAUAAUGCAAAUGUUUCCCAUUUUUUGUUUUUUUUGAAUUUUUCAUGGCCUUUCAAAAUGCGGUCGAAACGGCGGGCAUGAUCGUUCCUACCUAGUGGUUGAAUCUUGGAAACCUUUUGGUGUUUCUAUGAUUAAAUAUAUACUUGUGUACCUAGAAAUGAUUUUUGGAAAAAAUAAAGAGCAAACUAUAAGGCAGCCGCAGUUUAAAUUUGACCCGCUUCGAGCUGAUUCGACAUAGAUUUGUCUUUUUCACGAGAGAUGGAUAAAAGCUUUUGAUACCCAAUCAUUUUGUGAAUUGUACAUUAAAUAUGGCCUAGUAUGUUAGAAAAAUGAUUUGGACCAAUUUUGNNNNNNNNNNNNNNNNNNNNNNNNNNNNNNNNNNNNNNNNNNNNNNNNNNNNNNNNNNNNNNNNNNNNNNNNNNNNNNNNNNNNNNNNNNNNNNNNNNNNAGUCCCACGAUCUAGUGCCGAACGGACGGCACCUCCGCGUCCAGCACACGUACAGCUCGACGAUGAUCUCGGCCUUCUUGAUCCAGCAAGAGAGACGGAGAGGUAGAAGAGUUCUCCGGCAGCGUGUCGGCGCUCCGGAGGUUGGUGAUGAUCUCGUCUCAGCAGGGCUCCGCCCGAGCUCCGCAGAAACGCGAUCUAGAAGAAAACCCGUGGAGGUAUGUGGUCGGGCUGCCGUGGAGAAAUCGUCUCAAAUCAGCCCGAAAACCUCUGUAUAUAUAGGUGGGAGAGGGGGGACCUUGCCUUGGGGCUCAAGGAGCCCCAAGGGGGUCGGCCGAGCCAAAGGGGGGAAGGACUCCCCCCCCAAACCGAGUCCUACUUGGUUUGGUGGGUGGAGUCCUUCUUUCCUUUCCCACCUCCUCCUUUUUUUUCUUUUCUCUUUGAUUUUUCUUCCAAUGCGCAUAGGGCCCUUUUGGGCUGUCCCACUAGCCCACUAAGGGCUGGUGCGCCACCCUCAAAGCCUAUGGGCUUCCCCGGGGUGGGUUGCCCCCCCGGUGAACUCCCGGAACCCAUUCGUCAUUCCCGGUACAUUCCCGGUAACUCCGAAAACCUUCCGGUAAUAAAAUGAGGUCAUCCUAUAUAUCAAUCUUCAUUUCUGGAUCAUUCCGGAAACCCUCGUNNNNNNNNNNNNNNNNNNNNNNNNNNNNNNNNNNNNNNNNNNNNNNNNNNNNNNNNNNNNNNNNNNNNNNNNNNNNNNNNNNNNNNNNNNNNNNNNNNNNNNNNNNNNNNNNNNNNNNNNNNNNNNNNNNNNNNNNNNNNNNNNNNNNNNNNNNNNNNNNNNNNNNNNNNNNNNNNNNNNNNNNNNNNNNNNNNNNNNNNNNNNNNNNNNNNNNNNNNNNNNNNNNNNNNNNNNNNNNNNNNNNNNNNNNNNNNNNNNNNNNNNNNNNNNNNNNNNNNNNNNNNNNNNNNNNNNNNNNNNNNNNNNNNNNNNNNNNNNNNNNNNNNNNNNNNNNNNNNNNNNNNNNNNNNNNNNNNNNNNNNNNNNNNNNNNNNNNNNNNNNNNNNNNNNNNNNNNNUCCUCGGUCAAUAUCCAAUAGCGGGACUUGGAUGCCCAUAUUGGAUCCUACAUAUUCUACGAAGAUCUUAUCGUUUUAACCUCAGUGCCAAGGAUUCAUACAAUCCCGUAUGUCAUUCCCUUUGUCCUUCGGUAUGUUACUUGCCCGAGAUCCGAUCGUCACUAUCCGCUUACCUAUUUCAAUCUCGUUUACCGGCAAGUCUCUUUACUCGUUCCGUAAUACAAGAUCCCGCAACUUACACUAAGUUACAUUGCUUGCAAGGCUUGUGUGUGAUGUUGUAUUACCGUGUGGGCCCCGGGAUACCUCUCCGUCACACGGAGUGACAAAUCCUAGUCUUGAUCCAUACUAACUCAACGAACACCUUCGGAGAUACUUGUAGAGCAUCUUUAUAGUCACCCAGUUACGUUGCGACGUUUGAUACACACAAAGUAUUCCUCCAGUGUUAGUGAGUUAUAUGAUCUCANNNNNNNNNNNNNNNNNNNNNNNNNNNNNNNNNNNNNNNNNNNNNNNNNNNNNNNNNNNNNNNNNNNNNNNNNNNNNNNNNNNNNNNNNNNNNNNNNNNNAUCUCUCUCGAAGUAUCACGGUUUCGAACGAGAACUCAUCUCUUACAAAGGGAUUUCAUUUUUUUGAACUUAUUUGAACUCCAUACUUUUUGUGUGUACAAAAUGCACCAUUCAAAGGCACAUCACAAAAUUUCAACAAUUUCUGACUUCAUUUGGUAUUCUUCGUGCAUUUACUUUUUUUUGAGCUAGUUGAGCCUGAAAUUGAAAAGCACUACAAAUGAACUCUGAAAAUGUUGAAAGUUGCCAUGGUAUCAUCAUUUCACCCACAUAGCAUGUGUUAAAAAAGUUGAGAGGGCUANNNNNNNNNNNNNNNNNNNNNNNNNNNNNNNNNNNNNNNNNNNNNNNNNNNNNNNNNNNNNNNNNNNNNNNNNNNNNNNNNNNNNNNNNNNNNNNNNNNNNNNNNNNNNNNNNNNNNNNNNNNNNNNNNNNNNNNNNNNNNNNNNNNNNNNNNNNNNNNNNNNNNNNNNNNNNNNNNNNNNNNNNNNNNNNNNNNNNNNNNNNNNNNNNNNNNNNNNNNNNNNNNNNNNNNNNNNNNNNNNNNNNNNNNNNNNNNNNNNNNNNNNNNNNNNNNNNNNNNNNNNNNNNNNNNNNNNNNNNNNNNNNNNNNNNNNNNNNNNNNNNNNNNNNNNNNNNNNNNNNNNNNNNNNNNNNNNNNNNNNNNNNNNNNNNNNNNNNNNNNNNNNNNAUGAGGGUUUCGAACGAGGACUCAUCUCUUACAAAGGGGUUUCAUUUUUUUGAACUUAUUUGAACUCCAUAAUUUUUGUGUGUUGAAAAUGCACCAUUCAAAGGCACAUCACAAAAUUUCAACAAUUUAUGACUUCAUUUGGUAUUCUUCGUGCAUUUACUUUUUUUUUUUGAGCUAGUUGACCCUGAAAUUGAAAAGCACUACAAAUGAACUCUGAAAAUGUUGAAAGUUGGCAUGCUAUCAUCAUUUCACCCACAUAGCAUGUGUUAAANNNNNNNNNNNNNNNNNNNNNNNNNNNNNNNNNNNNNNNNNNNNNNNNNNNNNNNNNNNNNNNNNNNNNNNNNNNNNNNNNNNNNNNNNNNNNNNNNNNNUAACCCGYWAAMCCGUAAAACUARUACUACGUAGUAUAUAUAUAUAUAUAUAUAUAUAUAUAUAUAUAUAUGCAGUAUGUAUUUUAAGACUUUUGCUAGCACGGAAAUAAUUAUGUGUGUAAUAUUUUUGUUCAUAUGAAAAUAGGUGGAAUUCGUUGAUAUUAUUCUGGUGAUAUUUUGUAUUCGGAAGGAUAUCCUUAUUAAACCAGAGGUAUGAAUGACAUAUUGUAAUUCAUCUUCUAUUUAUUUUAUAGAUGUAGUGUCAAGAUAAAUGGUACAAUAUAAAUUAUUAUGCGUAGAUGUACAAUCGUGUGUGAGUAUUUGUUAAAUUGUUAUAUGUAAAAAAGAUAAGUAAUGGAUGUUGUUAUUACAAUGUAAAUAUAAGAAUAUGAUUUUUAAUGGACUAACGAUGUAAAUAUGGCUGCUCGUUAGGUACUAUGGAAAAUUUGUUAGUGUUUUAUGGGCACAUCAUACGUGAGGGUCCUUCUGGUGUGGAUGUGUCUAGGUGCGGGAUGACUACGGUUGUAGUGAAAGACAUGGUUAAUGUAGAGUAUGCGGCAGUUAGAAGGUGCAUCCGAACGAUGUUUGGUUCAGCGAUGAAUGAAAAAAAAAUGACCAUGGAGGCUUUCGUGGUUGAGGGAGGAAAUCGUUGGGUUCUGCGGCGGGUUACUGAUGAAAGAGCAUGGGCGUCGUACAUGGGUUUUGCAAGCAAUCCCACUAACUCCAUGUAUGGACAACCCAUGGUUUAUGUGGAGUUCAUUUCUGCCAGUGAUGUCGCCGAGUGCAGUAGCGGUGCCGGUGAGGUUGAGUUGGCCAUAACUGUAGCCCCCGACGCCGUCCCAUCGGAACCAAGGGGUGGCCAACAUAUGGCCAUAACUGUAGCCCCCGACGCCGGCCCAUCGGAACCAACAGGUGGCCAACAAGUGUAUGACACGGGAUAUUGGUCUGCGGUCGUUGACAUGAGCAAACAUGUCGAGGGAUUGCCGGAGGCGCUAGAUGAUGACGAUGAUGGUCAUUCUUAUGCCUCUUUGGAAUCAGAUGAUGAUGAAGUUGUUCCUCCUGAGAAGGCGGUCGCUGCAGCAAUUAACCCAAAGUUUUUACAGGUUACGAGCAUCACCAAUGAAUUUCACUCUGUUGCUGGCCUAGACGCGGAGAGUCUGGCCGUUGGACAGAUUUUCCCAGAUAAGAAAUCUGCUAAACUAGCAAUACAUAGCUAUGCAAUUUCUAUACACAUGCAACAUAGAGUGAAGCAGUCUGAUAAAAAGGAGUUGAAGCUCAUAUGCAUCCAUCGCGAAGCGGGUUGCCGCGGAAGAGUUAUUGCUCGCUAGAAGCCUGGGGUAUUUCAGCCAUGGCAUGUCACAAAAAUAGAGCAACAUGGUUGUGAGCAAACCGGCACUCUUUCAGAGCACCGCAAUGUGACUGCAGAAUAUGUGUCACACGUGAUGCAAACCAUUGUGUAGCAAAGUCUUAAUAUUAGUAUUAGGGCUUUGUGUGCAACUGCAUCUGAUCUGAUUGGUUUCCCUGUCAGCUAUAGCAAGGCUCGUCAUGCAAAGGAAAAGAUAUUUCAGAGGUUGUAUGGAACCUAUGAGGAGGCGUACUCUUUUGCCCCUAGAAUGUUGCAUCAGAUUUCAGUUGCUAACAGGGGGACUCAAGUUUUCCGGAAAGAACGUCCAAAUCCAUUGAACCCGGACGAGCAAAUCCUGGACCGCUUAUUCUGGGCAUUCGCCCAGACUAUACAAGCAUUCAAGCAUUGUGGUCCGAUUGUAUCAAUUGAUAGUACAUUUCUCAUUGGAAAGUAAAAGGGCACACUCUUAGUGGCGAUGGCAGCUGAUGCAAACAAUCAACUUCUUCCUAUUGCCUAUGCACUAGUGGAGAGCGAAAACAAACAUAGUUGGCUAUGGUUCCUGUGUUGCCUCAAGAUGGGUGUCAUCAAAGAUCGGGAAGGGGUUUGCAUCAUCUCUGAUCGCAACACCAGACUAUUAAGCGCGCUCGAGAUAAUUAAGGCUUCACAAGAUCCAGAUUGGGGGUGGCCCGAUCUGGAGACAAGGUGGUGCAUGAGGCAUUUGGCAGCUAAUUUUUAUUCGAAAUUCAAAAACAAAGAUUGGUUCAAGCUAUUCAAGAGGAUGUGCAUGCAGAAAACUGCAGCAAAAAUAAAUGCUAUCUGGGCAGGUAUCAAUGGUCAGAUCGAGCGCGCAGCCCUCCCGGCGAGAGAAGGCCGGAGGGGUCGUCAAACAGUAAUAAAUUUGAGCGAGUGGAUCAGUGAGAAUUGUCCCAAUUUAUACAAGUGUGCGCAGUCUCAGACACAGGAACACGAGGGACAGUACAGCCGUGGUCUUCGUGAACACAGACCCCCUGAACGAUUAUCACCCUCCGGUCCUCGGGCAAGGCCAGUUGGUCGUCGUCGCGUAGGGUGAUUCGUCUAUGUAUGUGUGCGAACUAUUGCAUCUCUCUAUGUCAGUUUCAAACUUUCAGAUGUACGUACAAGACAUCUACGUAGUUUCAUGAAAUAAAAGUUCUCGAUAUAUUUCGACGCAGUUUUCCAAUUUAAAGUUGCUUCUAUAAAAUAAGAUACAUAAAAUAAGAUUCAUAAAAUAACAUACAUAAAAUAAGAUACAUUAAGAUGUAGUUUUUCAUAAAAAACUACAUAAAGUCGUCGUCAUCCUUCGACGAUGCAGAGCUCUCGCCCUUUGACGAAGCGCUACUCUUGGCCUUCGUCGAUGAUGCGCUCUUGGCCUUCGUCGAUGAUGCGCUCUUGGCCUUGGUACUCGGCAUGAAGAUAUCGUCUUCGUCCUCACUAUCGUCAAUCCAUAAAAAGGGAUGUUUUACUCCACCUCCACCGCGUAUGUGUUGGCCUUUCUUCUUCCAUCUUUCAUUCAACCACAAAAGUUCUUUCCGAAUCUCCUCAUAUGUCCUUGCAGGCCACCCCUUACUAGCUAAUGCGUGGGCAACCUCAUUCAGUAGCGUGUCAGUAGUGAUGAGUUCGUCCCAUGAAACUAUUCUAUUAUCUAUCUUGAAAUUGCUAGCUAAACGCAGAAGACACUCGGACAUACCACUGUGAAAACUACGACCAAAAGGAUAAUGAGACAUUUUCAGGACACUCCUUACCCACCUUGGUCUGGAAAGUGUUUUAUAGGUGCAGCAGAGCGAGACGAAUAACUAAUGGCGGGAAAACGAGGAGGGAAAGCGAGGGCGGGAAAGCGAGGCAGGAACAAAAUGGCGGCAAAGCUAUACGCGGGAAAAAAUGGCGGGAAAGCGAGGCGGGAAAUAAAUGGCGGGAUAAAAUGAACAUACACGUAGCUGAAAUUAAGAUACCCAUUGCGGAAAUUAAGAUAGACAUUCCUGAAAAUAAGAUACAAUUUGCCGAAAUUAAGAUACAACUUGCAGAAAUUAAGAUACAACUAACACAAAUUAACAUACAAUAAAAUAAAUCUACUGAGUCCAACGUGGAUAUUUUCCUUUUCCAUCACCAGCUUCUUCUGCUGCCUUGGCGGCACGAGCCCUUUCUCUCUUUCUCUCCCUCUCAGCUUCACGGGCAUGUUCCCGCUGUCUGUAAACCUCCUCCAGCCGAAGUUUCUCUUCUUGAUUUUUCCUUAUCAUCUCAUCAAGAAAAGCCCCGUGCUCCACACAGUAAUCUUCCCACUCUUUCUUCUGCUCUGCUUUCUCCUCUGCUCAGCCUUCUCACGACGCUCUUCCAAGUCCAAGCUAGCCCAUGCACGGCGACCUCUUUCACGAAUCUCGGUCACCGCCCAGUCCAGCAUUUCCGUGUCAAUCCAACGAUAGUACAUGCAGAGAGCAGGAGGAGACUAAAGGAUGAAUCAGAUUCAAGUAAACAAUAAUAUCAAAUAACAAUAAUCUGGAUGACUUGAGCAUACCGGAGGCCUGACGUACGCAGAAAUAGAUUCGGGUGGAUCAGAUUCAUAAUUGGCGCACAUGAAAAACUUCACGCCCAACCAAUCUGAAAAAUCCGUCACCUCCUUCACCUUGCAGACAUCUCCGCACCAACAUCGAACUGCUUCCACCCCCCGAGGCAAGCUUGCACUCUGCAUUUUCCUAGGCCUAAUGCUCUGAUCCGAACAAGGCAAACUCAUACUGACUAUGGAGGUGCAGGUGCUUUGAAGUCUGGCUGAUGGCGAAGAGAGUUUCACUCCCUGCCUCCUUUUAUAGGCUCUGCCGGAUGUCUACGCGGGAAAAAACGGUGCGAAAACGAGAAACUUUAGCGGGAAACUUAGGCGGGAAAAUAACGCGGGAAACUUAGGCGGGAAAAAAUUGCACUGCUCGUCCGUCGUUAUCGCGUGCAUGUGGCGGGAACAAAUACAACAAACAGCCUCAGUUAGUGCAAUCAGCCUUUAGGCCCUACUUGGAAUGCCGUUCUAUUUUUACAAGUGCAAUACUUUACAAAGAUGUGUAUUAUUUUUACAAGUGUACUCCCUCCGUUCCUAAAUAUAAGUCUUUUUAGAUAUAUUACUAGAUGACUACAUACAAAGCAAAAUGACAGAAUCUACAUUCUAAAAUGAGUCCAUAUACAUCCAUAUGUAGUCUUCUAAUACAAACUCUUAAAAGACUUAUAUUUAGGAAAAUUUAGCGGGAAGUUAGCGCCGUUUGCCAGACAGCAGCCUCGUAGUCAGCGAAAUCAGCGUCGCUGUCACGAGCAGCGCGGAGAUUCGGCCGGCCGCCUGGGGUGGUGGCGGCACGGCCCAGGAUCUGUCCGUUACGACCCGGUGUGGCGGGAACGGGGUGCGCAGCCGGCCGCCUCAGCUGGUGGCGGCAGGCCCCAGCCGCCUCGGGCGGUGGCGGCAGGUCCCACAACCGCCUCGGGCGGUGGCGGCAGGUGCCACGUGCCGCCUGGCGCGCCUGCCGCCACCCGGGGGAGGGGGUCCUUUCCCUUUUUAGCGUUCGCAGGUGGUCUUUUCUGGCAUUGACGUUCGAGAGGGGGUCCUUUUGGACAAAAAUUCAGUUUUGCUUGGCUGUCGUAGAUUUGAACUGAAUGGUGAUGUUUCUCAUAUGCUGUUUUAGCAAUGGAACCUUGUUGUUGGAAACUAACUGUAAGAUUCAGCUUGACGUCUUACCUCGUUAGAGGCGACGGGUCCGUGUUAUAUAGGCAGGGGCCAACCCUGACAUGCAUACAACUUGGAGAGGAAGAUUACAAAAAGAUAAGUACUAGGAGAAGGUAGUUGAACCAAUCUAUAUCUAUACCUAAUAAUAAAGAGGUUAUUGCUUCCGUCGGAAAAUCCACCGCGAUAUUUUUAUAAAAAAGCCCGUGUAAUUUUUGUUAUUCAACCCGCGCUCCAUCAUUUAUCUGCAACGCAAAAGGAAAAACGAUUCGAUGCAAAAAUUAUACCCGUACGCAUCGCCUCUUUCCGUCGACCCUGGGCCACCCUGGCCUCUGCCCAGGCCGCCGCCACACCACUCGCUGCCGCGGCCGACCUCAACCGCCACCGCUGCCGAUCUCAACCCACCCGCCUCCGCGGCUGUACCUCUCCCCGCUUACUGCCCCCGUUGCGGCGCUCGAGCGCUUCGCGUCGACCCUGGUCCACCCUAGCGUGUGCCCAGGCCGUUGCCAUACCACUCGCCGCCGCGGCCGACCUCAACCACCACUGUUGUCGAUCUCAACCCACCCGCCUCCACGGUCGUACCUCUCCCGCUUGCUGCCCCCGUUUCGGCGCUCGAGCACAGCUUCUGGAUCAAAUCAACGCGACAACUAUAGUGACUUGGGAUGAUGCGUCUGCUCGAUGGAGAACGGCGGCGGCGCGACAGAGCGAAGUACUUGCAGGUGGAGGCGGGCCUCCAUGGCUCACACGGGGAACUCCGAGGUUAUGGCGCGGCAACGACGACUUCUUAUGGCCAGAUAGAGGCGCCUAACCCUUGCUCCACUCAUCGUAUCCCCUCCUCCGGCAGGAACUCAUCAUCUGGUGAGAUCCCCUCCCAUGCCUCCAACCGUGUGCCAAGCACCGGCAAGAAAUUUUGUUUUGUGGGGAUUUGUUUGCUGAUGAAUGAAUGUAUUGAAUGUAAGAUUGUAUUGUUGUAGAGACAGAGAAUGGAACGUCACCUUCAGUUUGUCAUCCCAUCCCACAUUCUCUACCCCAUGAGUGAAAUAAGAUAAUAGUCCAUUGAUCAAUUCACGUAGCCUCUUUGUUUUGCUUUGCUUGUCCCGCUCGAUUUCUCGUCAUGGUGGAAUUAGCAAUGGAUGGGUUGAUUCUCAACAAAAUAGGAUAGGACUGACUACAUUAGUUAGUUAGCUUAUUAUUUUAAUAAAUCAAAAUGAUUAUAAAAAGAUUAAAAGCGUGUGGUAUUUUCUUUCUCGUUGCAACGCACGGGCCCUUUUGCUAGUAGAAUCUAAACUACUCUAGAUAUCCUAGCUGCAUACGGCGGCAGAGCCGAUCCUCUCCUUGUGCAUCACGUCAGGAAGUUGGUUUAACAUCAUUCCUUAAUCACAACUGUAGUAAGUUGAGAUUAUGUUUAAACUCUUCAAAAUUUCGUGCAGGCAAUGUCUUAGUAAAGCCAUCUGCAACUUGAUCUCGGAAAUGCACAAAACGAAUAUCCAGUUUUCUCGCUGCAGCCCUUUCUCUGACAAAAUGGAAAUCUAUCUCGAUGUGCUUAGUUCGGGCGUGAAACACUGGAUUUGCUGUCAAAUAUGUAGCACCAAGAUUAUCACACCACAGACAUGGAGUUUGAAAACUUCUCACCCCAAGUUCUCUCACAAGAGAUUGAACCCAGAUAAUUUCUGCCGUUGCAUUUGCCAAACUUUAUAUUCUGCUUAUGUGCUUGAUAUAGAGAUUGUAGCAUGUUUCUUUGCGCACCAUGAUAUAAGAUUAGAUCCAAAAAAUAUGGCAAACCCACCACUGGAGCGUCUAUCAUCAACAUGUCUUGCCCAAUCAGAAUCUGUGAAUGCACUAACAAGUGUUGAUUUUGACUUAGUGAAAACCAAACCAACAUUCAAUGUGUGCUUCACAUAUCUCACUAUGCGCUUUGCAGCAGUCCAAUGAGCAAUAGUAGGUGCAUGGAGAAACUGUCAUACUUUAUUAACAACAAAAGAAAUAUCUGGCCUUGUGAGAGUCAAGUACUCGAGAGCACCUAGUAGACUUCUGUACUUUGUACCCUCUUCUUGGCUCAAUGGUUUUCCUUCUAUGAGAGACAAUUUUUCUGUGCUAGAGAGGGGGGUUAGUGAUGGUUUGCAUCCUUGUAACCCAGCUCUUCUUGCAUAUUUUUCUUGAGAAAGAUGAAGUCCAUCCUCAUGUUUCCUUACUUCAAUCCCUAGGAAGAAGUGCAAGUCUCCCAAAUCCUUGAGGGCAAACUCUGCAUUCAAAUCCUUUAAUAGUCCUGUAAUUGCCUCAUCAGAUGAGCUUGUGGCAAUGAUGUCAUCAACAUAAAUAAGCACAAAGAUAGAAGUAUGGGACUUAUUGUAAAUGAACAAUGAGGUGUCAGAUUUGGAAGGAACAAAACCAAGUGCUUGCAACUUUUGACUGAGACGUGAGUACCAUGCUCUGGGGGCUUGCUUCAAUCCAUACAGAGCUUUAUCAAGUUUGCAAAUGUAAGAUGGUUUAUUUUUAUCUUCAAACCCAGGAGGUUGUUUCAUGUAUACCUCUUCCUCCAGAACGCCAUGUAGAAACACAUUCUGUACAUCUAGAUGUCUUAGGCGCCAUCCCCUGAAAACAACAAUGGACAAAACCAAGCGAAUUGUUGCAGCUUUUACAACAGGACUGAAAGUGUACUCAUAGUCAAUGCCAUAACGUUGUUUAAAGCCUUUUGCAACAAGUCUAGCUUUGUAUCUAUCUAUGGUUCCAUUAAUUUUUCUCUUAGUUCUGUAGACCCAUUUGCGGUCAAUAAAUUUUUUACCUCGUUGUGGGGGAACUAGAUGCCAUGUUCGGUUUCUUUUGAGUGCCAUAUAUUCUUCAUAAAUAGCACUUUUCCACUUUGCAUCACCAAGGGCCUCAUCAAGGGAAUUUGGUUCACCUGUAGAGCAAGCUAAUCCAAACUUGAGCACAUUUUUGUAAUUAACAGGUUGAAUUUGUAGCCGUAGGAAUGAUCGCCAUAGAGGAUCCAGGUGAAUCCUCAGGUGCAGGAGACAGCGAUCCCGAGAGGGAUUCGACACCUGUUGUAUUGGCUAGAUCUUCUGCGACGGUGUGUGGGGCAGCGUCUGACCCAGUCUGCGCAGGAGAUCCCAGCCCAUCAUGUGCCAAUGAUGAGGCGGCCCCAUGCAGAUCAUCAUCGGAUUCAAUGCAUGGCUGGUGUCGCGUGUAGACACACAGAUCACCCAAAAGACUGGCGCGCGUAGGUGGCGGCGGCCCUGUCAUUUGCUGCCUGGUGUUAGGCGCUGAUUGGAGCAGGCCACACCCAGGUGAAGGCACUGACACGCCCUGCACGUCUGUGUGCGCAGAUCUCAUGGACGAUCUCCUCGGCCGCGGUGCCACUAAUCCCGAGGGGGAUUGGUUCCCCGCUUGGGGACACAUAAAAUUUCGCCCGUUUUCCCUAGUUUCUUCAGAAUUUUCUGUAUCAUCACAAGACGCAAAUGCACAGUUAUGAGGGUUAGUCAACAAUUGAUCAUUCAAGUUAUUUCCCCGUUGAUCAAAACUGGUAAGAUGAGGGGUUAAGAGAAGGAUCUCUUGGCGAAGAAGGGCACCAGCAUUGGGGUGUAAAUCGGUGAAUGGAAAUUUUGUUCCAUCAAAGACCACAUCAUGAGAGAUAUAGACUCGGCCGGUGGACACAUCUAGGCAUUUAACACCCUUAUGUUGUGCACUAUAACCAAGGAACACACAUUGCUUCAAUCUAAACAUAAGCUUGCGUUGUUGUAAGGCCUAAGAUUCGACCAACAAGCGCACCCAAACACACGUAGGGAGUUGUAGUCUAGUUUGAUGUGUAGGAGGCGUUCCAUGGGAGUUUCAUUGUGGAUAACACGGCUAGGGAACAUGUUGAUAAUAUGAACAGCAGGAAGGAAAGCGUCAUCCCAAAAUUUGAGGGGCAUGGAGGCACCAGCGAUAAGAGCAAGGCCGGCCUCAACAAUGUGUCUAUGUUUGCGCUCAACUGAGCGAAUUUGCUCAUGUGCAUGAGGACAAGACACAUGAUGGGAGAUGCCAAGUUUUUGGAAGAAUAGGUUUAAUUUUUCAUAUUCACCCCCAAUCAGAUUGGAGAGCAAUGAUUUCUGUGUCGAACUUGCGUUCAACGAGUGCUUGAAAUUUUUGGAAAACUUGAAACACAUCAGAUCUUUUCUUGAGAAGAUAGAUCCAAGUGUAUUUGCUAAAGUCAUCUAUGAAGCUCACAUAGUAGGUAUGUCUACUGAUACGUCUCCAUCGUAUCUACUUUUCCAAACUCUUUUGCCCUUGUUUUGGACUCUAUUUUGCAUGAUUCGAAUGGAACUAACCUGGACUAACGCUGUUUUCAGCAGAAUUGCCUUGGUGUUAUUUUUGUGCAGAAAUCAAAGUUCUCCAAACGUCCUGAAAAUUUACGGAGAUCAUUUUUGGAAAAUAUGAAAAAUACCUGCACGAAGAUCCACCUGAGGGGGUGGGCCAGUGGGCCACAAGCCCUACCUCCGCCACCCCCUGGUGGUGGUGGGCAAGCUUGUGGGGCCCACACGGCUCUGCCGCCCCCAAUCUCAGCUCUAUAAGUUCACUUUCGUCCCAGAAAAAAUAAAAAGAGAAGAUUUCAUCGCGUUUGCGAUACGGAGCCGCCGCCACCACCUGUUCUUCAUCUGGAGGGCAGAUCUGGAGUCCGUCUUGGGCUCCGGAGAGGGGAAAUCGUCGCCAUCGUCAUCAUCAACCUUCUUCCCUCUCCAAUUCCAUGAAGCUUUUCGUCGUUCGUGAGUAAUCUAUUCGUAGGCUCGCUGGACGGUGAUGAGUAGGAUGAGAUCUAUCAUGUAAUCGAGUUAGUUUUGAUGGGGAUUGAUCCCUAGUAUCCACUAUGUUCUGAGAUUGAUGUUGCUACUACUUUGCCAUGCUUAAUGCUUGUCACUAGGGCCCGAGUGCCAUGAUUUCAGAUCUGAAAUUAUUAUGUUGUCACCAAUAUAUGUGUGUUUUAGAUCCGAUCUUGCAAGUUGUAGUUACCUACUAUGUGUUAUGAUCCGGCAACCCCGGAGUGACAAUAACCAGAACCACUCCCGGUGUUGACCAUAGUUUGAGGAGUUUAUGUGUUCACCAAGUGCUAAUGCGUUGGUCCGGUUCUUUAUUAAAAAGAGAACCUUAAUAUCCCAUAGUUUCCUUUUGGACCCCGCUGCCACGGGAGGGAUGGACAAUAGAUGUCAUGCAAGUUCUUUUCCCUAAGCACGUAUGACGACACACGGAAUGCAUGCCUACAUCACAUUGACGAACGGGAGCUAGCCACAUAUCUCUCCGUGUUAUAACUGUUGCAUGAUGAAUAUCAUCCAAACAAAUCACCGACCCAUUGCCUACGAGUUUGUCCUACUGCUGCCGUUACUUGUGUUGCUCUGCUGCUAUUACUUGUCUUGCUCUGCUGCUGUUACUACUGUCGCUUGCUACUGUUGCUACUUGCUACUGCUGUCACUACUGCUGUUUCUUGCCACUGCUAUUGCUCAUUACACUGCUGCUACCUGCUACAAUCUUGAUUCGCUGGUCGUUGACGGGAACUGACAAUUUCCGUCAACGAGGCAACUUGGCGCCAUUGAUACGACACUUAGGAAUAGUGUGCCGUCAACAGAUCGUUUCUGACACCGUUGUUAUCAUACUACUUUGCUGUUAUUACUUUGCUUGCAGAUAUUAAUCUUUCAGGCGCGGUUGAAUCUGACGCAUUCAGCUGCUAAUACUUGAGAGUAUUCUCUCACCUCCUGUUUGGCGAUCAACAACUUUGGGUCGAAUACUCUACCCUCGAAAACUGCUACGAUCCCAUGCGCUGGUGGGCCGUCAACAACAUUCUUCUAGUUUCGAUUGCCGGAGAGUGCUAGCAGCAUUCUUCUGGUGCCGUUGCAAGGGAAGGUCUGCUGUUACGGAGUCAUCUACCAACAGAGCUGGGGGCCCGGACCCCAUACAUCAGAAAAAAUGAGUUGUAAAGGCUUGGUAGAAAUACUUGUGGAAAUAGGAUACGGUAACUGAUGACUCUUAGCACACUGACAUGAAUCACAAAUAGUUUCAACAUGACGCUCAACCAUAAAUGGGAGCUUAUUUUUCCUAAGCACUCGUUCAACUAAAGAAAAAGAUGCAUGCCCUAGACGAUCGUGCCACAGAGUUGAAGUAAGCUUGGUGACACCAUAUGCUCGCUUAUUGGAUGUUCUAAGCUGUGGAAGCAAUGGAUAGAGCCCUCGAACACAUCUACCUCGGUAUUGAACCCUCUUCGUUGCCGGAUACUAAAUCAAAAAGAAGAAGGGGUGAAACUUAAGGAAUACAUGAUUGUCAAGGGCAAUUCGUUGAACAGAAAUGAGAUUAAUGGAACCACUAGGGACAUGCAAAAUUUUGUGAAGAUGGAUUUUUCGAUGUGGGGUUUUAAUAACUGAAUGACCAAUGUGUUGGAUCCUCAUACCUGUUCCAUUGACAAUGUGGAUCUAGUCUUGGACACGAUUCUUCUCUCUCACGGUGACUUCCUCAAGUUCACUCAUGAUGUGGUUGGAUGCACCACUGUCGAUGUACCGGUUGGUGUCGACGCCAUACGAUCCUUCAGCAGCUCCUGCAACUUUUUCAUCCUGUGAGGAGUCACUUUCAUCCUCAUCAAACCUGUACCAACAAUCCUUUGUGGAGUGGCCGUGUUUCCCACAGAUUUGGCAUCUCAUGGCAUCGGGACGAGAGGUUUUGGAGCUGCAGCGGCCCCUGUUGUUGGAGGAGGGGGGGGGGGCGCUGCCCCCGGAGUGUUGGGAGUUGGUGUUGUUGGUGUUCCCCGCAGGCUUGCUCUUGUUUCGUGGUGGGCCACGGUAGCGAGACCCUCGAGGGCCGCCACGAGAGGCGAUGUUUUGCAGAUGAUUUGAAGCCGGCAGCGUUGUGGAGCAACGCCACCCUCUGAUCAAAAUUGCUCACCUGAGCAAAGAGAGCUUCGAGGGUGACUGGUUCGGUGCGGGCGUCGAGGGCCGACACCAGGGGCUGGUACUCCAUAUCCAACCCUGCAAGGAUGUAGGAGAUGACUUCAUCGUCAUCCAGGGGCUUGCCGGCGGCUGCCAACUCGUCAGCAAGCGAGCGCAUGUGGGCGAAGUAAGUGCCCGCAGAUUGGGUCCCCUUGUGCGCAUCGGAGAGAGCAAUGCGGAUGUUGUUCACCCGCGAUCUGGACUGCGAUGAGAACAUGCUGGCAAGUGCAGUCCAGAGCUCGUUGGCCUUGCGGAUGGAGGUGACCUCAACAAGGACAUCUCCAGAUAGGUUGUUCAAGAGAUGUGCUAGUACCUGUUGAUGCUCCCUAACCCAACCUUGAUAUAGAGGGUUCGGGACAUAAUCCUCUUUUCCAUCUUUGUCUUUGGUGAUGAUGCUCUUCGGUGGCUCCGGUGUGGAUCCAUCGGCAUAGCCGAAGACCCCCCAUGCCGAUGAGCUGUGGCGUGAUCUGCGCUCGCCACAUGACAUAGUUUGUCCUGGUGAGCUUCUCCGCGACUUGCUUGUUGAUGACGGACAUAGAUGCGGCGGAGGAAGACGACAUGGUGGAGCAACGGAGAUGGCGAGAGAAAGGCUAGAUGUGAUGGAGGAAGGAGGCUCUGAUUACCAUGCAAGAUUCAGCUUAACGUCUUACCUCGUUAGAGGCGACGGGUCCGUGUUAUAUAGGCAGGGGCCAACCGUGAUAUGCAUUCAACUUGGAGAGGAAGAUUACAAAGAGAUAAGUACUAGGAGAAGGUAGUUCAAACAAUAGAAUACAAACUACUCUAGACAUCCUAGCUGCAUACGGCGGCAGAGCCGAUCCUCUCCUUGUGCAUCACGUCAGGAAGUUGGUUUAACACUGACUUUUGUUUCACUCUGAGUAAUGCAGCCAACUAAACUGACUUGUUUUAGCAAUGGUGAUGGAUCAUAUGUUGUCUUGAACUUGCCGACUGGGGAGACACUAAACUAGUAGUCGAGGUUGUUGUUUGGUUGUGACGUUGUUGAAGCUAUUCGAGGUUGGGAUCAAGUUGCAAAAGAUUCAUGGUUUAGUGACAAGAACUUGCUGGUAAUUAACAUGUUCUCCGCUGCUUCUGAUUAGGACUGUACUUCCUCCAUUCUUAAAUACUCCCUCCGCGUUAAAAUAAGUGUCUCAACUUUGUAGUAGCUCUAAUAUAAAAUUGUAUUAAGCUUGAGACACUUAUUUUGAGACGGGAGGAGUAUGUCUUCCUAGAAAUUUCAGUAAAGACUGCGUAUGGACGGAUACAUAUAGACAUAUUUUAUAGCAUAAAUUCACUUAUAUUGUUCUAUAUGUAGUCCAUAAUGAAAUUUGUAAAAAAAAUCGUAUUUAGAAACGGAGGAAGUAUAUAUAUAUAGAAUAUUCGAAGCGCAGCUAGUGAUGUUUAGAUUGGUAGAUAAAUUUCAAGGGACUCGUGUGCGGGUGCUUUGGCAAGAGUUUAUCACCCCCCCCCCCCCCCCGGUAUGAUCAGGUGAUGGAGGUCACUGUGCCGGGAGGAUGAAAGCAUUUUGUCAGAAAGAUGUAGAUCAACUAGGUUUUGCUUGGCUGUUAUAGAUUUGUAUUGUUUUAGCAAUGGGAUAUUGUUGUUAGUUAAGGCCUAACAGCGGGCAAAAGUGCAACAUUAUUACACCGACAUUUUGAACAUAUUCAAGUCGCAAGCCUCCUCCUCCCGCGACACACGUCAUGGGAGAAACCCUAACGCCGCUACUGUGAAGACUCCCUCCUCCUCCCCUUCUCCCCUCCCCUGUAGUCGCCUGUGGGCUUACCCAGGCGAAGCCCGGUCGGGGCAUCUUUCCCUUUUCGCUUGGUAGCGUGUGGCACAGCCGACGGAGACGCGACGCAAGCAGGGGCGCGACAGUGCGGCAUCCAAUCUGGGUGCGGGGCAGGGGCGUAGCCAGGAUUACCAACCAUUGGGUUUAGCUCUACUAAAGAGUGGGUUCAGUUCUUUGCUUAGUCUUAAGCUAGUGUAAAUCUAUAAGGGACAUGUCAAAUUUUAUUGGGUUCACUUGAACCCAAUGCUAACAAGCUGGCUCCGCCCGUGGUGCGGGGCGGCGACACCUGGCCAAGUUCUCACGCGGGUGGCUCUGUGGUGGCGGGGGUGGCUACGAUGUUGCCGGUGGCUUCAUUUGGGUUCGCCCAGAUCUGGCGGCGGCUAUACCGCAGGUGGCACAGGCUCAGCGGCGGCCUGGGUGGCUCGACGUGGGCAGGAGCUCGGCGGGCGGCGGUUCUGGUCGCUGCCGCACGGCCCGCACCUCGUCGUCUGGUUGUGUGGAUGCUGGAGGUGGAUGGCGACCACCGGUGGAGGGACUCAUCUUGUCGAGCCGCGACGCCGGUCCGAGGGCGGCUCCAAUUCAUUCCCUGCUGCGCUUGAACAUGCCACGACAUAGGGCUGGACCUUUCCGAGAGAUGGCCACCGCUGAGGGAUGGAUUCGACACCGGGAGAAUCAUGAAACCAUCCUUGCCUCCCGUUAGGUGGCACACCGGGUUCGGGGAGCUCGUCCUUGCACGGUCGGGAUAGGACGGGGCGGUGGCGGCCAAGUGCGGUCGGCCCUAGGGUGGGCGUGAGACUUGGGGGCAGUGCCAUCCAGGGGUGGGGAAGGAGAUGCCUUCCCGUCCGUUUCUUUGCCGGUCAUGGCUGCAAGCUUCGGUUGGGGAUGGUGUCGUGACCAUGGGUAUCGGGGCGGCGGCCCUGGAGGCGGGAGGCAUGGGCUCAUGGGCGGAGCUCACAGCUCGGGUGUGAGCUGGUUGUCAUGGUCAUGCGGCGGUGUGGUGGUGAGGGUGCGGCAUCCGGAGUUGUGGGUGCGGCGGGCCUGGCUUGUUGUACCUCACCUCAGUGGCUUUGAGGAUUUUCCUCGGUGAAAACCUGCUUUGGCUCUGCCAAGCCAAUGAUGGCGUCGUCUAUGGGCAUCGUCUCCUUCUUGAAGGCGUUGUCGCGGCUGCCCUACAUGCCCCGGUUGCUCUGAGGAAAACCUUGAUCUCGGGAUCGGGCGGUGGCGAUACUCCUGUGUCAUGCCCUUCAUGAAGGCACCUCCUUGGAGUGUUUGGCUCGUCGUGCACAGCUUCCUCUCUUCGUGGUGAUUCUCUCACGGUUAAGGCCUCCGGAGACUCCAAGUGGUGCUCCCUCUGCCUACAUGUAGUUGCUUGGAGUGGAUGUGAUGGUCUAGCUGUUCUUAUACACCCUUAUAUCUGGUCUUGAGUGUGUUUUGUGGGUAUGAGUUGUUUGUGUUGGUUUGCAUGGUGAUCGUUGCUUCAUAUAUACAUAAAGCGGAGGGCGAGCCUUGUUCGGUAUGGGAUACUCUUGUUUGAGAGUUGUACAUAGAACGGACUUUGUUUAAUUCUGAGUAAUGCAGCAGUGGCCAUGCAUGCUAAUCACAAGAGGCGUACUACAGGAAUCUGUUUACCUGGGCUAUCACACUCAGCAUAUUUGCUUAGUUGAGAAGACAUUGACCUUUGACUUGUCACAAAUUGGCCACGAAUUGGUCGCCUGGGGAACAACGGGGGAGCUUUCUAGGAAGCAGCAGUAGGCACAAGCGACAUGCAAAUGCAAGGCCAAAGACUUGACUGAAACAUCUCAAAGAGAGGAAGGCCACACAAGCAUCUCCGAAGCAUUUCCACAAAUUCACAGCCGGCCAGGCUCUGCAUCUUCUGCCUCUACAACGCCGGAUCUGCUGCAGCUGCUGCUCCCGUUCCUGCUCUGCGUCCACCACGGUUGCGAGAUUGGAUUUUCGGUCUGUCAUUCUCCGGUUAAAAAACAGGUCGUCUCAAGCCCUGCAUCCCUCUUGCUCACACCAUUCUCUUCUCCACUGAUUCCACGGUGUUCUUUCGAUCCUUUCAAUGGCCGAGGUGGUUGUUGGAAUCAUGUGUCUUGCAACUAUAUUCAAAUUGGUCGAAAUCGUUAAUACUCGAAAGAUCAUCAUUAUGGAAUUACACAUGUAUUUGUACAUCGAAUUACUUUACAUGACUGGCUUGUAAUCAUUAUUUGUUGGAAUGCACUUAAGUAUUACUGUGCUCAAGGAAGCCCAUGGAUUAUCCAUGGAAUAUAAUGUACUACUAGUAGCAAUCGCUGACUAAUCAUUUCGUGCAAUUCGUACAUAUUGUGGGCAAAGGAGGAGACGGAUGUGCAGUGUAUAUAGGAAGGUUUUCAGCUUAAGCAGAGCUAAAUAUGGUGAACAAAUUUAUUUAUAUAGAAGUUUCUUUCGUCCAUAACACCUCAAAUUAAAUAAAGAGAAAAGUAUGUUUUUGGUCCAGUUUUCAAAAAGUAUACACUUGGUCCCUCAGAAAAUUUUGGUAUACAUCUGGUCCCUCAAGUCUCAAAAUCGGAUAAGUUUGGUCCUAAACCAGAUUUUGAGCCCGUUGACCGGGUUUGACCGUCACGAAACCACCUGAUGAACAGUACUUAAAAAAAUAAAAAUAAAAUAUAAAAAAAACUGAAUUUUUUUGGGAUCUAAUAUGCUUACAUGCGCAAGGUCGACCAAAAUUCCGUGCUCUUUCGACACUCGAGGAGCGGUUGGUUAAAAAAAUCUUCCUGGUGAAUAGUAAUCCAAAAAAAUUCAAAACAAUUUUAUAAAAAUGAAAAAAAAAUUGGGUCCAAUAUGCUUACAUGCGCAACGUGCGACCGAAAGUUUGUCAUGAAAUAAUAUCGGACGGGCUCUAGCAAAAAAAACAAAUUUUGGCUAUUUUUUGUGAGCAAAAAUUUGUUUUUUUGCCACGGGCUCCUCGAAUGUCGAAAGACGACCAACUUUUGGUCGCACUGAGCAUAUAAGUACAUUAGACCUCAAAUAAUUUCAGAUUAUUUUGAAUUUUUUCAAAUAUUUUUUGAAUUUACGGUUCAUCGAACAUAGAUAUUUUUGUUUUUUUGCCAGGAGGUCCUCGAGUGUGGAAAUACCAUAAAAUUUUGGCCGCACCUUGCGCAUGUAAGCAUGUUGGACAAUUUUUUUUAAAAUUAUUGUUCAUCAGGCGGUUUUGUGGCGGUCAAACCCGGUCAACGGGCUCAAAAUCUGGUUUACGACCAAACUUAUCCGGUUUUAAGCUUGAGGGACCAAAUGUAUACCAAAAAAUCUUGAGGAACCAAGUCUAUACUUUUUGAAAACUUAAGGGAUCAAAAACAUAGUUUUCUUUUAAAUAAAGUACAUAAUGUUCUUUCAAUAAUUGAAUUUGUUCUGUUCAAAAGGCACAAUAGUGUAACAUGGAAUAUUGUUCAAAUACGUCGUCACCGAUGGCUGUUGCACGCUAACAACAGAAAACCCACUUCAUAGAACUACAUUUACUAGGGGGACAGUGUGACGUUCCCAACGCUGGAAUUCUUAUUGCACAUCCUGUAGCUGAUGUCCGCGUAAGUUCUACAGAACCACAUAGAUCAACGAUAUAAAAUUUAGAUGAUGAUAAAUGGAUCAGUGCCAGCGCCGGGAUGGCGACGCGUCUCCAACUCGUGAACAAUUCGAGUUCAUGUUGCCGAUAUCCGCUAUCGCUCAGAACCGCUGUUGUUGAGUCAUCAACAACGCCAUUUAUUCGCCAAAGAGAUUAGGGGGUGAUCGGGAAGAAAAGAAGAAGAAAGGACAUGGCUAGGCCGCUAGUGAUAAAAAAUGGUAGACAUACACACACAGUAUUUCAAUCAUUCAAUGGGAUGGGCACGUGCCUCUACUAAUGACCAAUUAAAAACUCCCACAAGAUGUAACCCCUCAUCCCUGUAACACCUUGUAAGUAUAGCAAAGCUCGCUAGAGAUCGCUCAGGCGCCCGUUCGCAUGAUCGGGAAGGCAGUAUUACGCGUAGGCGCGACCGUCAUAUCCAUGGGGCGUACCAUUAAAUCUAUCCAUGCAACAUUUUUUUUUAAUACAGUAAAUUUUGGCACGAUGCAAUAAUUUUCGUCAACGGCUGCAACAAAAAAAUAAUUGUAGCAAAAAAAUAUCUACGUGAUCGUAGUAAAAAAACGAAGUUGAUGAUGCGUGAUAGCAAAACAAAAUAAGGGUUGUAGCAAAACAAUCUAGUGAACUCGGGUUGCAACUCUAACGAACGUGUACGCAACUUUUUUUAGUGAACGGUUGAAGCAAAAAAUGAUGCCGAUUGUAGCAAAAAUUAACACGGUUAUAGCAAAAAAAUUCAACUAACUCGAGUUACAACCAAACGUGAAUGUAGCUUUUUUAAUGAACAAAAUGUAACAAAAAAUAAAAAGCGCUUGUAGCAAAUUUUAUUGCGGUUGUAGCAAAUCUGGACAAAAAAUGUUGCAUGCACUGACAAGCCACAACGCGUGGGCCGCACGCGACCGGCCGAACGAUUUUUUUUUUGAAGGAAAACUGUAAGGGGACCCCAUAGCGAGUUUUUUUAAAAUAAUAAGAACCCUAAUUCGCGCCCAUGGGGACUUGAACCUGGGUGGCUGGGUUGUACAUCCACUCCACUAGCAAGGCUCACUUCUUGGCCGGGAACAUUUACCGAUCCGGAAUACCUUUCUUUUUUGAAGGAAACCGACUGGUUUCCCACAUGACCACGUGAUCCUAUAAGAAAAACUGCUAAUAUCUUUUGUCACAUGCAUUUAUUUAGAAUUGACUAAUAAAUAUGUAUGUGCGUUACAACGCAAGAGUAAGUAUUUAUUUAUCCGAGCCAUUGUCUUCAUUUCGAUUCACCUACCACCACACUUAGAUACCAACAGUCGGUGUCUUUCAACACUAAGGAGAAUAUUUCAAUAAAUUAAGUCUAUUAAAAAACCUAUAUGUGUCACUGUUACAUGCAGCAGAUGAAAUACAAAAUAAGAUCCUAUGUAUCAGUUGCAACAUUAAUGUUCAUGACUAUCACAAGAAUUGUUUGAAUAUAUUUAAAAUAAAUUCUUCAUGUACUUAUAAUGUUUAUGAAUUUAAUAAGUGUAUGUAUAUGCUAUAAAAAUUAUUUGUGUAUUCAUUAUGGAAAAUAAUUGUGUCGUCCGUUGGUAAGUACGCGGGUGGAUUUGGUGAAAGGAAAUACAUAUGUAGCGUCUUCAAUCAUGUGACAUUUAAAAAAGAGAUGCUGGUGGAAGUACAACAUGCCUACGGAUGGUAGUUGAUUCAUUGUAAUUAUUUCCUUGCCAAGCAACACAGAGCAAUGCGUGUGGCAUGUUCAUUUGUAUUACAAAUUGACGUCGGUACAAAGAGAUGACGAAUCAUGCACCAUUUAUUUAGAUUGCAUCCUAAAUAUAUUAUUUUUAAAAUAUUAUACGCAUUUUUCUAAUCAAAUUUCAUAUAUAAUAUGUUAAAAUUAAAGUUAUGGUUUAAAAUAUAUGAUUAUUUUAAAAAAUCUAUUCUAGAUGGACUGCAGGUUGUUUAACACAAAUAUUAGGGGUUAUAUGUAAAAAUUCAAAAAAAAGUUUGUUGUGACUUAAAGUCAGACUGGGGGUUCAUUAGUAUAAAAUUCAGGGGGCUUUUUAAAAAGAAAAAACAAUUCGUCUGACUUAAACCAUACUACAAGUUGAUUUCCUAAAGCUAUAGGGGCUUUUCUAAAAAAUGGCCGACAACGGACAACCAGGAGCAUUAGCUGUUUUAGUAUUAAGAGAUAGAGAUAGAGAUCUUUUUAAAAUGUUAUAACUUCUGAACAGAGUAUCAAAACAUAGAACACUUUUCAUCAUUGGAUUUGUUAUGUCGAGUUCUUCAAAACUAGAUCCCAUAUGAUAGGUUUCGUCGAAAUUCUUUUCAUGAGUAACUUUGGGUGCGAUGGAGGAAAAAUUGGUGCUAUAGGGAUGCAUUGGUUGGGUCGGGCAACUUGCGGUUCUUGGCUACUCAACAUCAGAUUCAAAAGAGUUACCGUGACCACUAGUGGGGACAGGGCCUAUAGUCCCGGCCCGUAAGGGGCUUUAGUCCCGGUUCAACAAACGGGACCAAAGGGGCGGGACUAAAGGCCUAACCUUUAGUCCCGGCCCUGUUCCAAGCCGGGACCAAAGGUGCUCCACGUGGGCGCCUCGGAGCGCCCUCAGGGGCAGGCCCUUUAGUCCCGGGUCUUUACACGGACCGGGACUAAAGAGUUUCAGAUUUUGUUUAUUUUUGGGUUUUAGGGUUUUAGGGUUUAGGUGUUCGGAAGAUUAACAUGAUGCCUCGUUUAGUGUUCGGGAAUUAGUUUUCAUAUAAUUCUAAAUAGAAAUAAUUAUGCAUAUAUAUAUAUAUAUAAGAUUAACUUAUCUUACAAGCGAGCAUAUAUAUACAAUUAUAUGGAGAUCUGAAUUAUCGGGACUAGAGCCCGUCUAUUCGAUUACAUGGACCAACAUCAGUAAUGGCCCCUAGCUACACUAAAUCGUCCUUUGUCAUCUAUAACUUCCGUCCUGAGAAAGGUCGCAAGCUCCUCUGCAACAACAAUCGCGCGUUGCUCUGGUAGGGACUUCUCCCUCAUGACCGUGUACUAUAUAAGAAGAGGAGAUGAAUAUGAAUAUCAAUCAGGAUAACAAAGAAUGACGGGUAAAAAUAGAGGUGUGAAUGUUCAUUGCUUACGUCGAAUUUGUGAUCCUUGUGCUCAGAGGUAAACGUGCGAAUGGUCUCGCAAACAUAGUAUCCGCAUAGAUGCGUCCCCCGUGGCUGUUGGUCGCACUUUACGAGAAUAGAAUAUACACUACUAGGAAAAGGGCUAUAGAUGAUAUAGAUACUAAUGGCGCACCACACAAGCAGUGCGCCACUAUUAUAUAGUAAUGGCGCACCAUGUGAGGUGUGUCAUUAGUGUGGUGGAUACUAAUGGCGCACCACACUCUCGGUGCGCCACUACUAUAUAUAUAUUUUUUUUUGCAAAACUACUAAUGGCGCACCAGCACCUGGUGCGCCAUUAGUAACCUGGUUACUAAUGACGCAUAUGUUAGUAGUGCGCCACUACUAUAAAAAAAAUUGGUUUUUUUUUGCAAACUACUAAUGACGCACCAAAGCUAGUGCGCCAUUAGUAACCAGUGUUACUAAUGGCGCAUCUAUUGGUGGUGCGCCACUACUAUUUUUUUUACAGAACUACUAAUGGCGCACCAGAGGAGGUGCGUCAUUAGUAACCAGGGUUACUAAUGGCGCAUAUGUAGGUGGUGCGCCAUUAGUAACCUGGGACCAGCUAGAUAUUUUGGACAGCCACCUACCACACUCACUUUCCCCACUUUCAUUCUCUCCACCUCCUCCUCCAAGCUUGUCUCGGGUGCCUCCUCCUCCUCACCUCAUUUGCAUCAUAGAUUCACCCAAAUGAAGUGGUUAAAUUACCUUUUUUGAUAGGUAAGUAAGGGGAAAGCUUUUAUAUUGUAGAUCUACUUUUUUCUCCCUGCAACAACGUGCACAUGCACUUUUUAUGGCCUAGCUAGAUCUACGUAUGUUUGUUGUGUUGCAUAUGUUUGUGGUGUUGCAUAUAUGUUUGUGUUUGCAGGUACCGGUAUUUGAAAUGCGAUAGUUGCCAAUUUUUUCCGGAAUGUUGAUUCAUUUCCGUUUCGGCGAGAAUUUGGCACUAUGCAUUCUUUUUUGUCCUAUUUUUAGGCAAAGUCAUGCCAAUUUUUUUUGGUUCUAAAAUAUCAUUUUGCUCUACCCCGCAGGCGACCAUAGUCCGCACGAUGACCGAAGGCAUCGUGAAUAGGUUUUUGAGCUCCGCGAAGGCCGAGAUGCUUCAAAAGAACGAGACGGAGAUAAGAUGUCUGUGUCGAAGAUGCAAGCUGAAGAGCCUUAUGGACCCGGAUUCCGUAAAGGUGCGGGACCACCUGCUCUUGCGUGGUUUCAUGGAUGGCUAUCGGUGGCAAGGUGAUGAAGAUGAUUAUGAAGUCGUCCAUGGGGGGCGGGAAAGAAAUGAGGAAGGGCAUGAGCAAGACAACCGCGGCGAGGGCGGGCGAGAAGACGAAGAAUCUCCAGGACACAGUCAUCAUGUAGAAGAUGCCGGACAUGAUGAUGAGGAAGAUGCCGGAGCAGACGAAGGGCAUGAUCAUGAAGAUGAAGAUGCCAGAGCAGACGACGAUGGACCAUCCAUGGCCUGGGUGCAGGACCCUCAUAUUCAAGAGCUGCUUCUCAAGCAGACGGAUAACGCAAGAGCUGCCGCCCGAGAGAAAGCCAAGCUGGAUCAACUGGAGAUAGACGCGGUUACUCCAUUGUAUGAAGGAUGCAGGCCCGAGGAUACCCGCCUGAAAGUAAUGCUCAUGGCUCUGGAGAUGAAGGUAAAACACAAAAUGACCGACGCAUGCUUCGACGAGAACAUGUCAUUCUGGCACGAACGUCUUCCCAAGGGGAACAAGUGCCCGACCAGUUUCGAGGAGGCGAAGAAAAUCGUGUGUCCUCUGGAUUUACCGCACGUGAAAUACCAUGUGUGCAUGAACAAUUGCAUCAUUUAUCAGGACAAGCACGCGGAGUCUACCAUAUGUCCGGUGUGCGGCGUCAGUCGAUACAAGAAGAGGAAGAAAGCUCCUCAAAAAGUGGUGUGGUACUUUCCGAUCACUCCUCGUCUGCAACGGUAUUUCGCGGACCCUAAGGUAGCAAAGCUCAUGCGUUGGCACGCGGAUAGGGAGGAGAAAAAGCGAGAAGAUGACGGAAAUGAUCCGGAGAUAAAUAAAAAAGACAAGAUGCUGAGUCACCCUAAGGAUGCGAGCCAGUGGCAAGCGUUGAACUACGAAUACCCAGAAUUUGGGGACGAUCCAAGGAACAUCGUGCUGGGCGCGAGCACCGAUGGAGUCACUCCGUUUGGCAGCCAGAGAAGCACACAUAGCACCUGGCCUGUGUUUGUGUGGAUGUACAACCUUCCCCCUGGUUGUGCAUGAAGAGGAAGUACAUUCACAUGAGUAUGCUAAUUGAAGGGCCGAAACAACCAGGGAACAACAUCAAUCUAUAUCUGGGGCUGCUGAAAGAGGAGCUAGACACGCUGUGGAAAACGCCAGCCAAUACGUGGGACGCCGCAGAGAAAGAAUAUUUCCCUAUGAGACCCGCACUGCUCACGACGGUGCACGACUAUCUCGGUUACGGAUAUGUCGCGGGGCAGGUGGUCCACGGAUUUUCUAGAUGCGUCAGGUGCAUGGAUGACACAUUGUAUCGCCAGCUAGAUAGAGAUCCCGGGUCUUCAAAAAUCGUGUUCAUGGGACAUCGAAGGUGGCUUCGCGACGAUGACACAUGGAGAAAACGCAAGGAUCUGUUCGAUGGUGAAACCGAACCCCGAAGACGGCCCCUUAUGAGGAGCGGCCAGGAAAUAUACGAGUUGUUGAAAAAUUGGAAAGAGUGCCCACCGCCAGGAAAGGCGCCACAGCCGGGAAAGAAGCGAAAGGCGCCAGAGCCGCUGCUGAAGGUAUGGAAAACGAGGUCUGUUUUCUGGGACUUGCCGUACUGGAAGAUCCUCCGUGUGCCUCACAGCCUUGAUGUCAUGCAUAUCACGAAGAACGUGUGCGAGAGUCUGCUUGGUACCCUGCUCAACAUGCCAGAGAGGACCAAAGAUGGACCGAAAGCAAGGGCAGACUUGAAAUCAAUGGGCAUCAGGGAGGAGCUUCACGCUAAUAAUGAUGAUGAUGAUGAUGAUGAUGAGGCGAAGCAGGACAAGGAAAGUCGUCGCAAAGGCAAAAAGUACAAGAAGACCGGAAAUGACUUCCCUCCCGCGUGCUUCACUCUAAGUCAGGAGGAGAUCGAUCAGUUUUUCACCUGCCUCGUAGGAGUAAAACUUCCUUACGGUUACGCGGGGAAGAUAAGCAGAUACCUAGACUCAGCGAAGCAGAAGUUUAGCGGGAUGAAGUCUCACGACUGUCACGUGCUGAUGACGCGGAUACUUCCAGUUGCAAUCCGUGGGAUCAUGGACGCGCACGUCCGUGAAACGCUAUUUGGCCUAUGCAACUUUUUUGACGUCAUCUCUCGGAAGUCGGUUGGCGUGAGGCAACUUAGAAGGCUACAGGAAGAGAUCGUGGUGAUACUAUGCGAGCUUGAGAUGUACUUCCCGCCCGCAUUCUUCGACGUUAUGGUGCAUCUGCUGGUCCAUAUCGUGGAGGAUAUCAUCCAACUCGGGCCGACGUUCCUGCACAGCAUGAUGCCGUUCGAAAGGAUGAAUGGUGUCAUCAAAGGAUACGUUCGCAACAUGUCACGUCCAGAGGGAAGCAUAGCCAGGGGCUUUCUGACCGAAGAGUGCAUCUCCUACUGCACGAAUUAUCUAGGCAUCGAGAACCCCGUUGGUCUGCCCGUCAACAGGCACCUCGGCAGGCUCGCAGGAUGGGGUCACCGUGAGGGUCGCCGCGAAAUGCAUGUCGACUUCGAGGGUCGACUCGCUGACUUUGAAAGAGCAAACCUAGUCGCGCUACAACAAAUAGACGUGGUCGAUCCUUGGGACGUAGAGCACAAAACCUUUAUUGAAAAGACGUACAAUGACCGAGGCCAACAGAGGACGGACGGAGAUAUAAUCAAAGAGCACAACUCAUGUUUCACGCGUUGGUUCAAGCAGAAGCUUUUGUCGUACCCUUUACAUGAGGAUUCUUCCGCGGAAGAACAACUCAUAUUCGCCUUGUCACAGGGCGCCGAGCACAACCUGAUGACGUAUGAGGCGUACGAUACCAACAGCUACACAUUCUACACCGAGGGAAAGGACAUGAAGAGCGAUGGUUAUCAGAACUCCGGGGUAACGAUGGAAUCCUACACCGGUAACGACAAGGACAGAUACUACGGAAGGAUCGAGGAGAUUUGGGAGUUGAGCUACGCUGGAGAGAAGGUCCCGAUGUUCCGUGUCAGAUGGGCCAAGAGCGUCAUAAAAGAAGACCGGUAUUUCACCACCAUGGUUAUACCCGAAGCCAAAUCCAAGACCGCGGGCGCAAACAUCACCGCGAAAAAUGAGCCAUGGUUACUAGCUUCCCAAGUGGACCAAUGCUUCUUCAUUACCGACCCGCCAAAGCCCAGUCGUGUUGUCAUGAGGAGAGGCAAAAGGAAGAUCAUCGGAAUGGAUGGAGUCGCCAAUGAGCAAGACUUCGACAAGUACGGCGACCCGAAGAUGGAACAUGACGACGAUGAUGAAGUACCAGCAUACACCACAAGAAGAAGCAGGACCACCCUACCUAAAGGACGUCCGUUCAAGAGAAGAACUCCAUUUACGAAAAAUAAGGGCAAGAAGAUUGUGAACAAAUAGCUAGCUAAGAUCGAUUGUAUUUAAAUUUGAUGAUAUUUUUUCAUAUUCAAUAUGAAAAAAUAUUGAAUAUUCAUGAGGACACUCGAUCUCGAUCCCCUCCAUUUCGAUCGCUAUCACCCCUCGCAAGAUCCCCCUCGCCACCGAGCACCCCCCGCACCCUCCCCCGCUCCACCGCCGUCGCCGUCGGCAUACUUACCACUAGAACACCUAUUCACAAGAUACUAGGCACUUCUCAAAAAAAUACUAGGCACUUCUCAAACCAAGGUGCAACCAGCACAAGAAAACAAUGCAAAAAAAAUACUAGGCACUAGAUGUUGUUGUGAGGCACUAGAUAUUCAUAGGCAUCUAAUUGCAAACAUAAAAAAAAUACUAGACAUCUACUUGAAAACAUAAAAAAAAUACUAGGCACUUCUCAAACCAACGUGCAACCAGCACAAGAAAACAAUGCAUAGAAAAAAAGGAAAAAAAAGAGGGGGGAACACGAUUCGAACCCGCAACCUCCUGCUAGGAGGCAAAACCCACGGACCACUGCGCUGCUACUUCGGAGGUUAACAACAUAGACAAGGCGCACCUCAUAUACAUGCGCCAUUACUACAUAAAAAACAUUCUAAUGGUGCACCGCUCGGGGUGCGCCAUUCCUAAGCCGGGUCGCGCCCUCCUCUCUUCUCCCGCGGCCUCCCCCUACCCCUUUCCACCAAACAGCAGCUCCCCCACCUUCGUCCACGCAGCCCACGGAGCUCUGGCGCGCUAGGGUUUGCUCCGCCUCUGCCUCCGCCGCCGCCGCCGCCUCCGCCUCCGGCACCUAGCCGCCGGCCGUCCCGUCACCGCCUCUGCCUCCGUCACCACCGCCGCCUCCGCCUCCGACACCUAGCCGCCGGCCGUCCCGUCACCGCCUCUGCCCGCCUUGCCGCCCUUUCUCGUCGCCGGACGCCCAUCUUCCCAGAUCCUCGGCACCUGCCUCUCCAUCGCGCCCUCGGCCUGCACGGCGCUCGGCGCGAGCUGCGCCACCGCCCCAGGCCAUGACCCCGCUGCCCUGCCCCGCCGCGUGGCGCCCCUGCAAGUCGGCGGCAGCCACCGACCGCCCAGUCUGCACCCCGACACUUGGCUUAGUCUGAUUUGAGGUACCAUUUUACAAUUCCCCAAUUUUUUUGGUUUAGGGUUAGGCGGUUAGCUUCAUUGCUCGCUGAUUUGUUGUGUUGUGCAUACUCGACUACAGUACAUGAACAUGAACUGGUUAAUUUAGCACAUCAUUUUUGUUCGAUUCUGUCAUUGAUUGAUAAAUGGUAAAUUCAUAUUCAUGAGGUUAUCAGGGUUUCUUGCUUUCGUUGCAGUCCUGCUAAGUCUGUAAUUAAAUAGUCCAAACAAAGUGGCAGGUGAUGCUGCAAGGUUAUAUUUUUUCUGCUGGUUUAGCUUAUAUUGGUUGGCAUGGAUGAGUGUUAAGUCACUAAAUAUUGUUUAUGUUUUGAUCUUUAGUUGGCUAUAUAUAAGUUUCACCUGCUGGCUCAAGUUUACUUUAAUGAUGCAAGUUAAAUAUAUAGCUACAAGCUAAUUUAAACAGCAAACAGUGGCCCAUACUAGUGUCAGCUCCUGUGGUAUCGCACGCUUGCACACUUUCGUGACCUCUUUUUCUCUACUUUUGAAAUGUUAGUUUGCUCAUGUGUAUUAAUCAAGGUGACAAACAGCAUGCUGGAGUAAACUUGUAAGGCACAUACUCUUUUGAUACUUAGGUGCACGUGAACUUGCAAGAGAUGCUCGAGCUACAAGACCCGAUGACCUCAUGAAUUCUGUUGUUGGAGGGCUAGCAAGUGGAGCUGUUCUUGGCCGAAUACAAGGUUGGUCAUUAUACUCCACGGUCAUAUGUUGACUUAUAUUUCUUUUCAUACUUAACAUCUUUCAGUGACUCGCAUUUGCAGUUUUUCUCAAGUCAAAUUUGACUGUAGUGCUCAAUUCCUCCUUGUCCUUAUGAAUUUGAUCUCUACAGUACACCAAGCAAGCUUAUAUAUCUGAAAAACUUAAGUUUAUGAUAUCACACAUACUAGCAGAUGAAGAUGCAUAUUAUAUUACAUUACGCACUGAAGCUCAGGGAAAUGUGCGAUUAUAGUCAGUCAUGUGCGUUCUGGUGGAGCUUGUGCAAAUGCUUAGAAGGUUGGUUCUGUGCCAACUAGCUGCAUCAGAGAUCAGACACGACCGAAAUAAUUUUUUACCACAUGACCUCGUAUAACGGGACUCUCUUGUUUUCACACAAGCACGUGUUUUUUUCAAGUAUAUAAAUGCAUCCAUGUACCAAACAUCACAGGGUGAAUUUAAACGACACCUUAGGGUUAUCUUGUUCUCUAUAACCACAUGUUGUGUGUCAAGGCAACUAUUGAGAAAGUCUGUUUUCUGUAUUUUGUGAGAUGGCAGAUUGCUUAUGAUAGAUACUUUCAAGGUGGGAUCCUCCCUUCCAUUCAAAGUUUAGUUUACUUCGUAAGUAAUGUUUAGUUUACUUCGUAAGCUUGCAAAAACGUCUACAUUGUAAUCCGUAACUCUUAACUUAGUCUCUCCUAGUACUUAUCAAUUUUACAUGUGUUGUCAUACUUAACGCAUGCCUAAUUUUAACACUAAAUCAACUUCAUUAAUUUUCAGGUACAGUACUUGGAUCAGCGGAAGAGGAGCAUCAACACCACGGGCAGAGGAGCAGCAGCCGCUAGUUCUUCAGGUACAAUGGGGGGACAACAGAUAUUGCUAUCUGAAAAAUGAGUUAGCCAGUCAUCUAAGUUGAGCUGAUUUUGAUUUCCGUAUGUUAUGGGGGGACAACAGAUAUUGCUAUAUGUUCAUUCUUGAGGGUACAAACUUGCUAAAAUAUUGAUGAUUUUUUGUUGGGUGACCUAUUUUUGUCCAUAUGAAAGCAGAGGACCAUAUGGUUUGUGUCCUUUUCAUCCAUAUGAAAGUAGAGGCACAUUGUGGUGCUAGUUUGCUGGGUUUUGUUUCUGACCAUCGUGUCGUGAUGAUUUUGCAGGUACCCCGAGAGGCCCUUGAGUUUGCCGGAAUGUCGAUUAAUUUCCGUUCCGGCAAUUUCGGGUACUCCAUAUGUCCUAUUUUCAGCAAAGGUCAUGCUGAAAUUUUCCGUGAAUUUUAGCAUGACUUUGCUAAAAAUAGGACAUAUGGGGUACUUGCGACUAAUGCAUGGGCCGGGGUAUCUUAGUACUUAAUUAAGUAGGAUCAACUGCCCCUUUAUUCUUGCUGCAUUAAACCAUAGGUGGCAAUAGAGCCAAGUGAUUAGGCCCAACUUAGAAUUCUCCUUCCCUUUUCUUGAUAGGGUAUAUUAUUAGAAGAUACCCAUAUAUAUCAGUCAACCUAGCGUGCCUCGGCAUCGAUAAACCCUAAAUGAUGAAAACUUAACUUAGCAUUUAGGGUGCCUCAGCAUCGACAAACCCUAAAUUAUAAAACCUUGGCUUUUAGGGUGCCUCGGUGUCGAUAAAAACCUAAAUGAUGAAAUCUUAGACUUUUAGGGUGCCUCGGCGUCGACAAACCCUAAAUGAUAAAAUCUUAGCUUUUAGGAUGCCUCGGUGUCGACAAACCCUAAAUGAUGAGACCAUGAUCUUGUUCCUUGACAAUAACCAACUUUUUGACCAAACUUUUUUCCUAUUUAGAGCGAAACAUGGCCCACAAUGAUGAGGCCGGCGGUUCGGGCAAGCCAUUCUGGGAGCUGUCCCAGGAGAUGGUGGAAGAACCUCACCGCUAUGAGGACGCCGCGGAAGACACCGAUCCCGAGUACACAACCCCUAGUGGCGUCAGGGAUGACACCACUGAUGGUGUCGCCGAGGAUGCCACCAUUGAUGAUGGCAGCGCACGCGCAGAUGGCAGCCAAUCGAAGAGGCAACGGAAGGACCGGCGCCCGAACGUGCUCAGCACCGUAAAGGAGGAAUUUACUGAAGUGAACUCCGACGGGUAUCCAACGGCGCCCAAAGAAAUAGUCAAGGGGUACGCGGUUCAGCUCGGGUGCAUUCUCCGGAGCACUGUCUCGAUCAACACCGAGAACCUAAGGCAUAAGGACCGAGGGAAUUUGCGCAACCUCCUCUUCACGAAGCUGCACGAACGAUACAAGUUCCCCGGUGACGUCGCAAACACACGCCUCUCAAGGAAUAAAGUGAACAGUGUCGCCCUCACGAAGAUGAGCAAGGCCCUGUCUACUUGGAGAAGCGUGGUGAAUAGAAUGAUUGACAAAGGUGAUAGUUAUGAGAAGAUCAAGGCGAAAAAUCCAUCGAUCAGCGAAGAUGACUACAAGGAGUUCAAGAUCAAGUGCGAGAGCAAGGCAACCGCGGAAUCAAGUCAGUGGGGGAAAGAAAUGCGGGAGUUGAACUUAGGGGUCCACCAACUCGGUCCCGGCGGUUACGGAGUGGCGGAACCUAUAUGGGACAAGGAGGACGCGGAGCGUGCCGAGCAAGGCUACCACCCUGCUUCGAGAAAUACGGUGACAAGCAGACCAGGAACUAUGUCAGGGCUCGGUACAAGGUGGACCCAGUAACAAAGGAGCUUACCACGGAUGCGAAGACCAGGGCGCUUGAGCGUGUUCUAGUAAGGAAUACACCCCACGUAAUUAGCUCCAUAUGGUUGCAUUCUAAUUAAUGAAGCCAAAUAUCUAAAUGGUUCAUUCCUUCCGCAGGACACUGAAAGCAGUAGCGCGGGGUCGUCUCAGAGCUCCCAUUGGGACACCAAUUUAAAUAGGGCGUUUAACAUAAUGAAAAACAAGGAUAAGUCCAGUAAGCCGUCGUCAGCUGGUCGUGUGGCCGGCAAAGGCUUGUCCACGAAAUGGUCGUCAUACUAUAACGCUGGUGGGCGAAAGGAGAGAAAUACCAACUUGGUAAGCCAGUCGCGCGAGGUUGAAGAACUCAAGGCAAAAGUGGCGCGGAUUUCGGAGAUAGUCCAAGAGCUAGUGCAACACCAAGUGGGAGGGGUGAUCACCGCCAUUGUGCCUACCUUGAUUGAGGGGCUGCAGGCGUGGGUUGCGGGCAGCCAACAGGGGCCGCCCCCGAUUCCCAGCUUCACGGCCAGCAACUCGCACAACGCGCAGGCGAUGCCAUUGGUGUCUCCGGCGCCGGCCGGCACCUCGGCAGCAAGCGGCCCCUCCGUCACUUGCACGCCCGCCGUAGGCGGUGCCUCGACAUUAGCCAAGCUCGACGCCAUCACGGUAACUAAGCCUCUCUCGGCCGAUGACUUCAUCUCCUUGCCUUUGACUGGGCAUCCCCUGACGCCCUACAUGUUUUCGCAGGGCGCCGGCGCCGACGUUCCAUGCACUCUCCUGCACUUCAUGGGCGCGAGUUGAUCGAUGUUGCCAAGGGCAGAAUCGUUCAACCGGGCAACCCCAUAUUCCACGGUAAACCAAUGCCACCCACCACGUAUAGGGUUCAACUGGUUCGGGUGCUGCCAGGCUGCGACGACUUGUUACCUCCGUUCCACCCCGCUGGGGCCGACAUAGAUGAUGUGAUGACCCUCAGCGCCUGCUUAAGCUGGCCCUUGCUUUGGCCGAAGAGCCAGAUUCGUUUGGGGGCGGGGGACACCACCCCACAGACAACACCGCCAGUCGUGCCGGCGCCAAGCCAUGGCAAGACCGCCGCAACGCUACCGGACAUGCAUAUGGCACAGGAUCCGGACAUGCAUAUGACACAGGUUCCGGACGACGACGAUGACGACGAUGGUACAUUUACCAAGGUCGAUAAGUACUUUGCCGAACAUGGGUACGGUGAGGAAUUCUUGGGGCCUCCUUCUCAAGAACCCAACCCUGCAAAAGACGACCGCGAUCUAGCUGGUACCGCGGAGAAACCCAAUUGCAACAGGCGUUGUCUGGCGUUUAGUUUUGAGGAGACGCCUCCAGCUGCCGCCUUCACCGAGCCUCAGAUAGCCGAGGUGUGAAAUAUUAUCAGCCCCAACACACUCAAGAAGGUGGUCUCUGAGCAGAUGAACUGGAUCCCAUUACAUCAGCAGAAGAAGGGACGGAAAAGAAAGACUAACAAGGGUGCGAUCCAGCCGGCACUGAGUACGAUCCGUGCUCUGGACGGGCCACCUUCACCUAAGGAUAUCUCGAGGAGGGUGCAUGUGGCGGGUAGGCCGAUGCUACCGACUAAUCUGCUCAAUGCUGCAACCGGUGCUAUGUGGAGUCUGCAUGACAGUGUUCUCUAUUUGGAGAAGCGGCGUCUCUCCGAGAAUAAUGUGGCAUACCCAGUUUUCGUGGCCAAGGUGCCAGAGGGCAAGGGCUUUGUCGAUAGCGCCAUUGGGGGUAUGAUCGUCCUGCGGUUUGCUGACAUCUUUGCUAUGUUUAACCUUCAUCCGCUGCACUACACCUUCGUUCGGCUAUUUUCGCUGAGUAUGGAGAUGCGGAUCAUUAGAGACAAGACCCCGGACCUAGUGAUAGUCGACCCCUUCUAUAUGCGUGCCAAGAUCUUGGGCAACGCUGGGGACCGGCAAGUCGCGAGUUCAUACCUCGAAGGCGUCAUUCUGGCAAACUCAGAAAAGGAUAACUUCCUCGUGCCUUACUUUCCCUGGUAAGUUAUCCCCUCAUCGCCACGUAACAUAUGAUUUCUUAGAUUUUGAUCGUCCUUUGUUGUUCUAACAUUCCGUGUUUUGUGCAGUGACACACGUUGCACACUCAUCCUCUUAAGCCUGAAAUAUUCCACGGCCACGUAUUUCGACUCGGACCGUCAGUCAAAAAAAGACUACACAAAUAUCAAGAAAGUUCUUGAUGAAGCUCUUCCUGGAUACGCCAUAUCUGGAGGCACCUUCAGCAGGACAAGUCUCAGGCACGGCAAGCACGUGUUCACCCACAAUACAACGUUCGCGUGCGUCAAGCAGCCGCCUGGCAGUCAGAAGGAUGCCUACUACGCCCUCCAUCACAUGCGGGCGAUCAUACGGGACAGUAAUCACCUUCGGCUACCAAAUAAUCUCAAAGAUUGGGCCGCACGCUUGUCGGCAAUCCAGGAUGCGGACAUCAGACAAGAAUUCUUUCGCAUCCAGUCGGAGUUUGCGGAAAUCAUCCAUCAAGAUGUCCUUCGUACCUCGGGGCAGUUCUACCUCAGAUCUCCGCUGUCCAAUAGUGAGAUAGAUACAAUGCUACAAAUGGAGGCUGACAACGACCGCAAUUUCAUGACCAUCACGAAAGACGGCAGCUUCAUCCACGUUCCCGUGAAUCGCUACUAAUUCAUGUUGGAAUAUUAAACUUUAAUGAACUGGUAUGUCUCUUUGGUUUGGACAGUCGUUCAACUUAUAUAUAAUCGAUGCUAUUUAUUAGUAGGACCAUGAAUCGUGUUGUUAUAGUUGUAAUAUUAAACUUUAAUGAACUUGUAUGUCUCUGUGAAUUGCUACUAAUGUUUUGUUUGGAUAGUGCAUAGAGAUGUCGUCGUAUGUCGUGUACAAGGGUAAGGUUCCCGGAGUCUACGACGACUGGGAGGAGUGUUGGAGACAGGUUCAUCGAUUCAGCGGUAACAGUUACAAAGGGUACACCACAAGGGCGGAGGCGGAAGUUAGAUACGCGCGCUAUCUAGCGGGAGAGAGGAGGGAGCGUUGGAGGAACCGGAUGAAGACCAGUUUCAUUGCGAUUAUGCUCAUCGUGAUGACCGCAGCUCUCUUCUAUAUGUGAUGGUAGUUUAGAUGGUCGAUAUAUCGACUUGUAAUGUGAAGACAAACUCGCUACUCGCGGUCUCGAGACUUGUAAUGUUCUAACUUUGUUCGGUAUUUUAAAUUCGGAGACUAAUAUGAUGAAUUGUAUUCGGAGACUAAUCUUCUAUUGUAUUCGAUAAAUCUGUUGUUUAUAUGUUGUGCUAUCUAUAUUCUGUGCAAUAAUAUAUUUUGUAAUCUGUGCAAAUAUCAGAAAAAAUAAAAUAAAUACUAAUAUUCAUACUAGUGGCGCAUCACUCAGCACACUAGUGCGCCAUUAGUAAGCCAGAGCAUAUGGGUACAUAUGGCCGUGGGAGGCAUACUAAUGGCGCACCAUAAGCUAUACUAAUGGCGCACCAGGAUAUAUACUAAUGGCGCACCGGGAUCUAUAUUAAUGGCGCACCAGGAUAUAUACUAAUGGCGCACUACCUGGUGCGCCAUUAGUAUACCAGAUACUAAUGGCGCACCAUGAGCAAUACUAAUGGCGCACUACCUGGUGCGCCAUUAGUAUACCAGAUACUAAUGGCGCACUUGUAGUGCGCCAUUGUAAAAAAAUCUAAUGGCGUGAUGCUAGUGGCGCACCUAUAGUGCGCCAUUAGUAGCAAAAAAUGGUGCGCCAUUAGCAAGCCUUUUCCUAGUAGUGAUAUAUAAUCAAAAUAAUAAUCUAGCAUCAUAAAUGUAUUGAAAAUAGAAGUAUAUCAUACUACUACUUACCUGAGCCGCUCUAAAGGUCAGCUUCUCAGGCUCGAUACCGGGAGUCACGCACUUGAACCGCUUCCAAACCCUGUCCGACAAGGAUAAUGAUUUGCUAAGUUUUUCAUUAAUUGAUAUAUCAGAAAAUCAUCGAAAGAGACCGAUAGAGGGCAAGAAUGAUUGAAAUUACCCUUGAAGCAUGUCCUGCAGGCUUUGGAACUGUUCCAAGGGUCUCGAUAAUGGGUCGAAGGCAUCAAUUCUUCCCUUAUCAAUUUGAAUGUCCAACAGAAUCCAAUGGAAGCUGCACAUGUAUAUAUAUAUAUGUGUGUGUGUGUGUGUGUGUGUCAGUAACUUAUCAAUUACACUUAUAAGUGAAUGGACACAACAGAGUAAAGACCCUCACCUGAAGUUGUAUGGAAACAGUAUGUGGUCAUAGAAAUUUUGAUCUGUUAGAAACCUUAGAAGGUUUUCCUCCGUCUCCUUGGGUUUAUCAGUUAGCGUCGCUAUAUGUAUUUUAUCUGGGUCAAUAAACCCAAUAUUUAGGAUGUUCUUACUUUUACAAUCCAGAAUCUUCAUUCUGCAUAAUAGAGUACAAGUUAUAUAUAGACAAUGAAUUGAAAUAACUAAACAAGUUAUAUGUAGACAACGAAUUGAAAAACUUACACACAAUAGCAACUCAUAAGCGAUUUGUCGAGGGCGUCGCCAUUGUACAUCUGGAAGAGUUCAUCAAAGUCGAUAUGGAUUUCUUCGGGGCGGCCAUAGUACUCCCGUGGGACACUCACCACGAUCAUCGUUCUCCCAUUCUUUGAUUCACUUAAGUACCAUGUAUGCAAGUAACGCAUAUUUGUUGGGGGAUCAUCUUUGCUGACCAAAGGUGCUCCCAUGACAAACUGUGGCUUAGGGGCUACCACAGCCUUGGGUAACCUGUCGUCUUGGGAAGCCAGAAUGUCUUUAACCGGGAUACCCCAUUCAUUCGCCCACUUCUUUUAUACUUCCAAAUCUUGCCCCUGCACCAGAGGGGGGACAUUCUCGGGUAACACCCUGAGGGGUGGGAUCGACUGUUUGGCCUGUUGUCCAAGCUGAGGAACGUCUAAUCUUUUUUUGCUUGUAGUUGAACUUGAUUUGUUCCCACUUGCACUUGCACGUGAUCUGCUCUUUUUCACUUCCUUCUGCAAUGUGCGUGUAUCUGUUGGAAAUAUGCCCUAGAGGCAAUAAUAAAUUAGUUAUUAUUAUAUUUCUUAGUUCAUGAUAAUCGUUUAUUAUUCAUGCUAUAAUUGUAUUGAUUGGAAACACAAUACUUGUGUGGAUACAUAGACAAAACACUGUCCCUAGUAAGCCUCUAGUUGACUAGCUCGUUGAUCAAAGAUGGUUAAGGUUUCCUGGCCAUAGGCAAGUGUUGUCACUUGAUAACGGGAUCACAUCAUUAGGAGAAUCAUGUGAUGGACUAGACCCAAACUAAUAGACGUAGCAUGUUGAUCGUGUCAUUUUGUUGCUACUGUUUUCUGCGUGUCAAGUAUUUGUUCCUAUGACCAUGAGAUCAUAUAACUCACGGACACCGGAGGGAUGCUUUGUGUGUAUCAAACGUCGCAACGUAACUGGGUGACUAUAAAGAUGCUCUACAGGUAUCUCCGAAGGUGUUCGUUGAGUUAGUAUGGAUCGAGACUGGGAUUUGUCACUCCGUGUGACGGAGAGGUAUCUCGGGGCCCACUCGGUAAUACAACAUCACACACAAGCCUUGCAAGCAAUGUGACUUAGUGUAAGUUACGGGAUCUUGUAUUACGGAACGAGUAAAGAGACUUGCCGGUAAACGAGAUUGAAAUAGGUAUGCGGAUACUGACGAUCGAAUCUCGGGCAAGUAACAUACCGAAGGACAAAGGGAAUGACAUACGGGAUUAUACGAAUCCUUGGCACUGAGGUUCAAACGAUAAAGAUCUUCGUAGAAUAUGUAGGAUCCAAUAUGGGCAUCCAGGUCCCGCUGUUGGAUAUUGACCGAGGAGUCUCUCGGGUCAUGUCUACAUAGUUCUCGAACCCGCAGGGUCUGCACACUUAAGGUUCGACGUUGUUUUAUGCGUAUUUGAGUUAUAUGGUUGGUUACCGAAUGUUGUUCGGAGUCCCGGAUGAGAUCACGGACGUCACGAGGGUUUCCGGAAUAGUCCGGAAACGAAGAUUGAUAUAUAGGAUGACCUCAUUUGGUUACCGGAAGGUUUUCGUGCAUUACCGGAAAAGUUUCGGGAUCAUCGGUAGUGUACUGGGAGUGCCGGGAGGGGUGUCGGGGACCAUCGGGAGGGGUGUCACGCCCCAAGGGGUCUCAUGGGCUAUGGGAAGAGAUAAACCAGCCCCUAGUGGGCUGGAAUAAGUUCCCACUAAGGCCCAUAAGGUUUGAGAAGGAAAAAACACAAGGUGGAAAGAGUUUCCAAGUGGGAAGGUGGAAUCCUACUCCAAGUAGGAUUGGAGUAGGACUCCUCCACCUCCAAUUUCGGCCAAACCUUUAGGUUUUGAGGCUGCCUCCUCCCCUCCCUCCCACCUAUAUAUACGGAGGUUUUAGGGCUGAUUUGAGACGACUUUUCCACGGCAGCCCGACCACAUACCUCCACGGUUUUUCCUCUAGAUCGCGUUUCUGCGGAGCUCGGGCGGAGCCCUGCUGAGACAAGGUCAUCACCAACCUCCGGAGCGCCGUCACGCUGCCGGAGAACUCUUCUACCUCUCCGUCUCUCUUGCUGGAUCAAGAAGGCCGAGAUCAUCGUCGAGCUGUACGUGUGCUGAACGCGGAGGUGCCGUCCGUUCGGUACUAGAUCGUGGGACUGAUCGCGGGAUUGUUCGCGGGGCGGAUCGAGGGACGUGAGGACGUUCCACUACAUCAACCGCGUUCACUAACGCUUCUGCUGUACGAUCUACAAGGGUACGUAGAUCACUCAUCCCCUCUCGUAGAUGGACAUCACCAUGAUAGGUCUUCGUGCGCGUAGGAAAAAUUUUGUUUCCCAUGCGACGUUCCCCAACAGUGGCAUCAUGAGCUAGGUUCAUGCGUAGAUGUCUUCUCGAGUAGAACACAAAAGGUUUUGUGGGCGGUGAUGUGCGUUUUGCUGCCCUCCUUAGUCUUUUCUUGAUUCCGCGGUAUUGUUGGAUUGAAGCGGCUUGGACCGACAUUACUCGUACGCUUACGAGAGACUGGUUUCAUCGUUACGAGUAACCCCCUUUGCUCAAAGAUGACUGGCAAGUGUCGGUUUCUCCAACUUUAGUUGAAUCGGAUUUGACCGAGGAGGUCCUUGGAUGAGGUUAAAUAGCAACUCAUAUAUCUCCGUUGUGGUGUUUGCGUAAGUAAGAUGCGAUCCUACUAGAUACCCUUGGUCACCACGUAAAACAUGCAACAACAAAAUUAGAGGACGUCUAACUUGUUUUUGCAGGGUAUGAUUGUGAUGUGAUAUGGCCAACGAUGUGAUGUGAUAUAUUGGAUGUAUGAGAUGAUCAUGUUGUAAUAGAAAUAUCGACUUGCACGUCGAUGGUACGGCAACCGGCAGGAGCCAUAGGGUUGUCUUUAUACUAAUGUUUGUGCUUGCGGAUGCAUUUACUAUUUUGCUAGGAUGUAGCUUUAGUAGUAAUAGCAUAAGUAGCACGACAACCCCGAUGGCAAUAUGUUGAUGGAUGAUCAUGGUGUGGCGCCGGUGACAAGAAGAUCGUGCCGGUGCUUUGGUGAUGGAGAUCAAGAAGCACGUGAUGAUGGCCAUAUCAUGUCACUUAUGAAUUGCAUGUGAUGUUAAUCCUUUUAUGCACCUUAUUUUGCUUAGAACGACGGUAGCAUUACGAGGUGAUCUCUCACUAAAAUUUCAAGACGAAAUUGUGUUCUCCCCUACUGUGCACCGUUGCUACAGUUCGUCGUUUCGAGACACCACGUGAUGAUCGGGUGUGAUAGACUCAACGUUCACAUACAACGGGUGCAAAACAGUUGCGCACGCGGAACACUCGGGUUAAGCUUGACGAGCCUAGCAUGUGCAGACAUGGCCUCGGAACACAUGAGACCGAAAGGUCGAUCAUGAAUCAUAUAGUUGAUAUGAUUAGCAUAGGGAUGCUUACCACUGAAACUAUACUCAACUCACGUGAUGAUCGGACUUAGGAUAGUGUAAGUGGAUCAUGAACCACUCAAAUGACUAGAGAGAUGUACUUUUUGAGUGGGAGUUUAGCAUAUAAUUUGAUUAAGUUGAACUCUAAUUAUAUUGAACAUAGUCUAAGUCCACUUUGAAUAUAUUUGUAUUGUAGAUCAUGGCUCACACGACAGUCAUCCUGAAUUUUAAUACGUUCCUAGAGAAAGCUAAGUUGAAAGAUGAUGGAAGCAACUUUGUAGACUGGGCUCGUAAUCUUAAGCUAAUCUUACAAGCUGGGAAGAAGGAUUAUGUCCUUAAUGCUGCGCUAGGAGAUGAACCACCCGCUACGGCUGAUCAGGAUGUUAAGAACGCUUGGUUAGCACGUAAGGAGGACUACUCAAUAGUUCAAUGUGCAGUCUUGUAUGGCUUAGAACCGGGACUUCAACGUCGCUUUGAGCGUCAUGGAGCAUUUGAGAUGUUCCAGGAGUUGGAGUUUAUCUUUCAGAAGAAAACCCGGAUCGAGAGGUAUGAGACCUCCGAUAAAUUCUAUGCUUGCAAGAUGGAGGAAAACUCGUCUGUCAGUGAACAUGUGCUCAAAAUGUCUGGGUACUCAAACCGUCUAGCUGAGCUGGGGAUUGAACUCCCGCAAGAAGCUAUCACUGACAGAAUCCUUCAAUCACUGCCGCCAAGCUAUAAAGGCUUUGUGUUGAACUACAACAUGCAAGGGAUGAACAAGUCUCCCGGCGAGUUGUUUGCGAUGCUGAAAGUCGCAGAGUCUGAACUCCGUAAAGAGCAUCAAGUGUUGAUGGUGAGCAAGACCACUAGUUUCAAGAGAAACGACAAAGGCAAGAAGGGCAAUUCGAAGAAGAGCGGCAAGCCUGUUGCCAAUCCGCCGAAGAAACCCAAGGCUGGACCUAAGCCUGAAACAGAGUGCUUCUAUUGCAAGGGUAUGGGUCACUGGAAGCGCAAUUGCCCCAAGUAUCUGGCAGAUAAGAAGGCGGGCAAAGAAAAAUCAGGUAUAUUUGAUAUACAUGUUAUUGAUGUGUACUUAACCGGCUCUCGUAGUAGUGCCUGGGUAUUCGAUACCGGUUCUGUUGCUCACAUAUGCAACUCGAAGCAGGAACUGCGGAAUAGACGAAGGCUGGCGAAAGACGAAGUGACGAUGCGCGUAGGAAAUGGUUCCAAGGUUGAUGCAAUCGCCGUCGGCACAGUGUCACUUCAGCUACCAUCGGGAUUAGUGAUGAACUUAAAUCAUUGUUAUUUAGUGCCUGCGUUGAGCAUGAACAUUAUAUCUGGAUCUUGUUUAUUGCGAGACGGUUACUCUUUUAAGUCUGAGAAUAAUGGUUGUUCUAUUUCUAUGAGUAACAUCUUUUAUGGUCAUGCACCGAAUGUGAGAGGAUUGUUCAUAUUGAAUCUUGAUAGCGAUAUGCAUAUACAUAACAUUAAGACCAAAAGAGUUAGAGUAAACAAUGAUAGCGCCAUAUUUUUGUGGCACUGCCGCUUGGGUCAUAUUGGUGUAAAGCGCAUGAAGAAACUCCAUGCUGAUGGACUUUUGGAGUCACUUGACUUUGAUUCACUUGACACGUGCGAACCAUGCCUCAUGGGCAAGAUGACUAAGACUCCGUUCUCCAGAACAAUGGAGCGUGCAAGUGACUUGUUGGAAAUCAUACAUACCGAUGUGUGUGGUCCAAUGAGCGUAGAGGCACGCGGCGGAUAUCGUUAUUUUCUCACCUUCACUGACGAUUUAAGUAGAUAUGGUUAUGUCUACUUGAUGAAGCACAAGUCUGAAACAUUUGAAAAGUUCAAGCAAUUUCAGAGUGAAGUGGAAAAUCAUCCUAACAAGAAGAUCAAGUUCCUACGGUCUGAUCGUGGGGGUGAAUAUCUGAGUUUCGAGUUUGGUGCUCACUUAACACAAUGUGGAAUUGUUUCGCAGUAAACACCGCCUGGAACACCACAGCGUAAUGGUGUGUCCGAACGUCGUAAUCGUACUUUGUUAGAGAUGGUGCGAUCUAUGAUGUCUCUUACUGAUUUGCCGUUAUCAUUUCGGGGUUAUGCAUUAGAAACAGCUGCAUUCACUUUAAAUAGGGCACCAUCAAAAUCCGUUGAGACGACACCAUACGAACUGUGGUAUGGCAAAAGGCCAAAGUUGUCGUUUCUUAAAGUUUGGGGAUGUGAUGCUUAUGUCAAAAAGCUUCAGCCUGAAAAGCUGGAACCCAAAGCGGAAAAGUGCGUCUUCAUAGGUUACCCAAAAGAGACAGUUGGGUACACCUUCUAUCUCAAAUCCGAGGGCAAAGUGUUUGUUGCUAAAAACGGAGCUUUUCUCGAGAAGGAGUUUCUCUCGAGAGAAUUGAGUGGGAGGAAGAUAGAACUUGACGAGGUUGUCGAACCUCUCAUCCCUCUGGAUGGUGGCGCAGGGCAAGGGGAAACCUCUGUCGUUGCGACGCCGGUUGAGGAGGAAGUUAAUGAUGAUGAUCAUGAAACUCCAGUUCAAGUUUCUGUUGAACCACGCAGGUCGACGAGAUCACGCGCUGCUCCAGAGUGGUACGGUAAUCCCGUCUUAUCAAUCAUGUUGUUAGACAACAAUGAACCUGCAAAUUAUGAAGAAGCAAUGGUGGGCCCAGAUUCCAACAAAUGGCUAGAAGCCAUGAAAUCUGAGAUAGGAUCCAUGUAUGAGAACAAAGUGUGGACUUUGGAGAUACUACCUGAGGGCCGCAAGGCUAUUCAGAACAAAUGGAUCUUUAAGAAGAAGACGGACGCUGACGGUAAUGUGACCGUUUAUAAAGCUCGACUUGUGGCAAAGGGUUUUUCACAAGUUCCAGGAGUUGACUACGAUGAGACUUUCUCACCCGUAGCGAUGCUUAAGUCCGUCAGAAUCAUGUUAGCAAUAGCUGCAUUUUUCGAUUAUGAAAUCUGGCAGAUGGAUGUCAAAACGGCGUUCCUUAACGGUUUCCUUAAGGAAGGGUUGUAUAUGAUGCAACCCGAAGGUUUUGUCAAUCCUAAAAAUGCUGACAAGGUGUGCAAGCUCCAGCGAUCCAUUUAUGGACUGGUGCAAGCAUCUCGGAGUUGGAACAAACGCUUUGAUGAGGUGAUCAAAGCAUUUGGGUUUAUACAAGUGGUUGGAGAAUCUUGUAUUUACAAGAAAGUGAGUGGGAGCUCUGUGGCGUUUCUAAUAUUAUAUGUGGAUGACAUAUUAGUGAUUGGAAACAACGUAGAGCUUUUGGAGAGCAUAAAAGGUUACUUGAAUAAAAGUUUCUCUAUGAAGGACCUAGGAGAAGCUGCUUACAUUCUAGGCAUUAAGAUCUAUAGGGAUAGAUCAAAACGCCUCAUAGGACUUUCACAAAGCACAUACCUUGAUAAAGUUUUGAAGAGGUUCAAAAUGGAACAGUCCAAGAAAGGGUUCUUGCCAGUUUUACAAGGUACGAGAUUGAGUAAGACUCAGUGCCCAGCAACUGAUGAAGAUAGAGAGCAUAUGCGCUCCGUCCCCUAUGCUUCAGCCAUAGGUUCUAUCAUGUAUGCGAUGUUGUGCACUAGACCGGAUGUUAGCCUGGCCAUAAGUAUGGCAGGUAGGUUCCAGAGUAAUCCAGGAGUGGAUCACUGGACAACGGUCAAGAAUAUCCUGAAGUACCUGAAAAGGACUAAGGAGAUGUUUCUCGUGUAUGGAGGUGACGAAGAGCUCGCUGUAAAAGGUUACGUCGAUGCAAGCUUUGACACAGAUCCGGACGACUCUAAGUCGCAAACCGGAUACGUAUUUAUUCUUAAUGGGGGUGCAGUAAGCUGGUGCAGUUCCAAGCAAAGCGUCGUAGCAGAUUCUACAUGUGAAGCGGAGUACAUGGCUGCCUCGGAGGCGGCUAAGGAGGGUGUCUGGAUGAAGCAGUUCAUGACGGAUCUUGGAGUGGUGCCAAGCGCACUGAAUCCAAUAACCUUGUUCUGUGACAACACUGGUGCCAUUGCCUUAGCAAAGGAACCACGGUUUCACAAGAAAACCAGACACAUCAAACGACGCUUCAACCUCAUCCGCGACUACGUCGAGGAAGAGGACGUAAAUAUAUGCAAAGUGCACACGGAUCUGAAUGUAGCAGACCCGCUGACUAAACCUCUUCCACGGCCAAAACAUGAUCGACACCAGAACUGUAUGGGUGUUAGAUUUAUUACAAUGUAAUUCACAUGGUGAUGUGAGGGCUAGAUUAUUGACUCUAGUGCAAGUGGGAGACUGUUGGAAUUAUGCCCUAGAGGCAAUAAUAAAUAUAUAGUUAUUAUUAUAAUUCCUGUAUCAAGAUAAUAGUUUAUUAUCCAUGCUAUAAUUGUAUUGAAUGAAGACUCAUCUACAUGUGUGGAUACAUAGACAAAACACCGUCCCUAGCAUGCCUCUAGUUGGCUAGCCAGUUGAUCGAUGAUAGUCAGUGUCUUCUGAUUAUGAACAAGGUGUUGUUGCUUGAUAACUGGAUCACGUCAUUGGGAGAAUCACGUGAUGGACUAGACCCAAACUAAUAGACGUAGCAUGUUGAUCGUGUCAUUUUGUUGAUACUGUUUUCUGCGUGUCAAGUAUUUAUUCCUAUGACCAUGAGAUCAUAUAACUCACUGACACCGGAGGAAUGCUUUGUGUGUAUCAAACGUCGCAACGUAACUGGGUGACUAUAAAGAUGCUCUACAGGUAUCUCCGAAGGUGUUAGUUGAGUUAGUAUGGAUCAAGACUGGGAUUUGUCACUCCGUGUGACGGAGAGGUAUCUCGGGGCCCACUCGGUAAUACAACAUCACACACAAGUCUUGCAAGCAAUGUAACUUAGUGUAAGUUGCGGGAUCUUGUAUUACGGAACGAGUAAAGAGACUUGCCGGUAAACGAGAUUGAAAUAGGUAUGCGGAUACUGACGAUCGAAUCUCGAGCAAGUAACAUACCGAAGGACAAAGGGAAUGACAUACGGGAUUAUACGAAUCCUUGGCACUGAGGUUCAAAUGAUAAGAUCUUCGUAGAAUAUGUAGGAUCCAAUAUGGGCAUCCAGGUCCCGCUAUUGGAUAUUGACCGAGGAGUCUCUCGGGUCAUGUCUACAUAGUUCUCGAACCCGCAGGGUCUGCACACUUAAGGUUCGACGUUGUUUUAUGCGUAUUUGAGUUAUAUGGUUGGUUACCGAAUGUUGUUCGGAGUCCCAGAUGAGAUCUCGGACGUCACGAGGGUUUCCGGAAUGGUCCGGAAACGAAGAUUGAUAUAUAGGAUGACCUCAUUUGAUUACCGGAAGGUUUUCGGAGUUACCGGAAAUGUACCGGGAAUGACGAAUGGGUUCCGGGAGUUCACCGGGGGGGCAACCCACCCCGGGGAAGCCCAUAGGCCUUGGGGGAGACACACCAGCCCUUAGUGGGCUGGUGGGACAGCCCACAAGUGCCCUAUGCGCCAAGGAGAAGAAAAUCAAGAGAGAGAAAAAAAGGAGGAGGUGGGAAGGAAGGGGGACUCCCUCCCACCAAACCUAGUCCAACUCGGUUUGGGGGGGGAGAGUCCUCCCCCUUGGAUCGGCCGACCCCCUUGAGGGUCCUUGGACCCCAAGGCAAGGCCCCCUCCCUCCCACCUAUAUAUACGGAGGUUUUAGGGCUGAUUUGAUACGACUUUUCCACGGCAGCCCGACCACAUACCUCCACGGUUUUUCCUCUAGAUCGCGUUUCUGCGGAGCUCGGGCGGAGCCCUGCUGAGACAAGGUCAUCACCAACCUCCGGAGCGCCGUCACGCUGCCGGAGAACUCUUCUACCUCUCCGUCUCUCUUGCUGGAUCAAGAAGGCCGAGAUCAUCGUCGAGUUGUAUGUGUGUUGAACGCGGAGGUGCCGUCCGUUCGGUACUAGAUCGUGGGACUGAUCGCGGGAUUGUUCGCGGGGCGGAUCGAGGGACGUGAGGACGUUCCACUACAUCAACCGCGUUCUCUAACGCUUCUGCUGUACGGUCUACAAGGGUAUGUAGAUCACUCAUCCCCUCUCGUAGAUGGACAUCACCAUGAUAGGUCUUCGUGCACGUAGGAAAUUUUUUGUUUCCCAUGCGACGUUCCCCAACAAGAUUUUUAUAGUGUGCUGAAAUUUAUUGUCACUUGUCACUAUGGAAACUGUUCCUUUGAGGAGUUUGUUCGAGGUAUCUUCACCACGAACGGAAGCACGAGGAGUUGUUCCUCAUCCUGAGGUACCUACUGACUUUUGUGAAAAGAUUGUCGAGGUUUUCAUGGAUGACUUCUCCGUUUACGGGUCUUCCUUUGACGAUUGCCUCAGCAACCUUGAUCGAGUCUUACACAGAUGCAAAGAUACCAACCUCGUCUUGAAUUGGGAGAAGUGCCACUUUAUGGUUAAUGAAGGCAUCGUCUUAGGACACAAAAUUUCUGAGAGAGGCAUUGAAGUUGAUAAGGCUAAGGUUGAUGCAAUUGAGAAAAUGCCUUGCCCCACAGAUAUCAGAGGUAUACAAAGUUUCCUAGGUCAUGUUGGUUUUUAUAGAAGGUUCAUUAAAGACUGUUCUAAGAUUUCUAGGCCUCUUACCAACCUCUUGCAGAAGGAUGUUCCUUUUGUUUUUGAUCAGGAUUGUGAGGAAGCCUUUGAAAUACUUAAGAAGGCUUUGAUAACCGCACCUAUUGUUCAACCACCUGACUGGAACUUGCCCUUUGAAAUCAUGUGCGAUGCUAGUGAUUAUGUUGUUGGUGCUGUUCUAGGACAGAGAGUUGACAAGAAGUUGAAUGUUAUUCACUAUGCUAGUAAAACUCUAGACAGUGCCCAAAGAAACUAUGCCACUACGGAAAAGGAAUUUUUAGCAGUCGUGUUUGCAUGUGAAAAGUUCAGAUCUUAUAUAGUUGACUCCAAAGUCACUAUUCAUUCUGAUCAUGCUGCUAUUAAGUACCUUAUGAAGAAGAAGGACGCUAAGCCUAGGCUGAUCAGAUGGGUUCUCCUGCUACAGGAAUUUGAUUUGCACGUCGUUGACCGAAAGGGUGCUGAUAACCCUGUAGCAGAUAACUUGUCUAGGCUAGAGAAUGUCCUUGAUGACCCACUACCUAUUGAUGACAGCUUUCUUGAUGAGCAAUUAAAUGUCAUCCGCACUUCACAUAGUGCACCGUGGUAUGCUGAUUAUGCAAAUUAUAUCGUAGCCAAAUACAUACCACCCAGUUUCACCUAUCAGCAAAAGAAGAAAUUCUUCUUUGAUUUGAGACACUACUUUUGGGAUGAUCCUCACCUUUAUAAGGAAGGAGUAGAUGGUGUUAUUAGACGUUGUGUGCCUGAACAUGAACAGGGACAGAUCUUGCAGAAGUGUCAUUCCGAAGCCUACGGAGGACACCACGCUAGAGAUAGAACUGCCCAUAAGGUAUUGUAAUCAGGUUUCUAUUGGCCCACUCUCUUCAAGGAUGCCUGUAAGUUUGUCUUGUCUUGUGACGAAUGCCAAAGAAUAGGGAAUAUCAGUAAGCGUCAGGAAAUGUGUAUGAACUAUUCACUUGUCAUUGAACCAUUUGAUGUCUGGGGCUUUGAUUAUAUGGGACCCUUCCUGAGUUCCAAUGGGUACACUCACAUCUUAGUUGCUGUGGAUUACGUCACUAAGUGGGUAGAAGCUAUCCCCACUAAAAAUGCUGAUCACCACACCUCUAUUAAUAUGCUUAAAGAAGUCAUUUUCCCAAGAUUUGGAGUCCCUAGAUAUCUGAUGACUGAUGGCGGUUCACACUUCAUUCAUGGUGUUUUCCGCAAGAUGCUCGCUAAGUAUGAUGUCAAGCAUAGAGUUGCAUCUCCUUGUCAUCCUCAGUCUAGUGGUCAAGUGGAGUUGAGUAAUAGGGAGAUCAAGUUCAUCCUACAAAAGACCGCCAAUAGAUCUCGAAAGAACUGGUCUAGCAAACUUGACGAUGCACUAUGGGCUUAUAGGACUGCUUAUAAGAAUCCCAUGGGCAUGUCACCGUAUAAAAUGGUUUACGGUAAGGCCUGUCAUUUACCUCUUGAGCUGGAACACAAAGCUUAUUGGGCAAUCAAAGAGCUCAACUUCGAUUUCAAACUUUCCAGUGAGAAGCGGUUGUUUGAUAUCAGCUCGUUAGAUGAAUGGAGAGCCCAGGCAUAUGAGAAUGCCAAGUUGUUCAAGUAAAAGGUUAAGAGAUGGCACGACAAACGAAUACAAAAACGAGAGUUCAAUGUAGGUGAUUAUGUCUUGCUAUACAAUUCUCGUUUGAGAUUCUUUGCACGCAAGCUUCUCUCUAAAUGGGAAGGUCCUUACGUUAUCGAGGAAAUAUAUCGUUCCGGUGCCAUCAAAAUCAAUAACACGGAAGGAAAAUUUCCUAGAGUGGUAAAUGGGCAAAGAAUCAAGCAUUACAUCUCUCGUACUCCCAUAAAUGUUGAGACCAAUAUCAUCAAUGUCAUAACUCCAGAGGAGUACAUAAGGGAUGUUUAUCAGCCUACUUCAGACCCUGAAAACGAAAAAGUAUCUGUUUCGGUGAGAAAUUGGACUCCGACGCUUUCCCAAUAGGAAAUUUCCUCCGUUUUGGAAUUUUCGGAAAAUUUGAAAAAUAAAAAGCAGUCCUGAGAGCGCACGAGGCGGCCACAAGCUUGGACACUGCCCCCUACCCCUGGUGGCGGAGGGCAAGCUUGUGGGCACCUCGUGUGCCUCCCGGACUCCAUUUUCUUGCGGAGCACUCCUUCUGGUCCAGAAAAAAUCAAUAUAUAUUCGCCCGAAGGUUUUGAUCUCCGUAUCGCGCAGUUUUCCUAUGUUUUCGUUUCGAGCUGGUUGUCUGCUGCAGAUUUAGAGCAAAGAUGUCUCAGGAAUCUGUUGGGGAGAAUGAUCUUCACCAAGUUCAUGAGGAAGUAGAUGCUUAUCUAAAAAGAGUAGAAGUCACGAAAGCUAGGGACCAAGCUAAGGAGAAAACCCAAGCUAGGGAGGAAGUUCAACCUAUGUUCAACAUUGAAGACGUUGAAGGAGUGGAUUUUCUCCAACCCUUCCUCCACGUGUUGUCUCCAUCCUUGAUUGAACUCUUGAGGUUUUGCGAAACAACUCGUGCUUGCAAUAUUUCCCUUUCUCGUGAAGUUGUUUUGCUGGAAAACCAUGUCACUGAUCUCAAAGGUAUAAAUCAAAGAUUGAUAGCUCUCUUGGAAUCAAAGGCGACAACUCCACCACCAUCACCACCGAAGGAAGACAACUAAGCAUUGGUAUGGGCAAUCCCCUUGGCUUCUGCCAAGCUUGGGGGAGUUGCCCUGGUAUCAUAUCACCUUUAUAUCUUUUGCUUUUACCUUUGUUUUAGUUCUUUCCUUUUCAGUUUUUAUUUCUUCUCUUAGAGGAAUAAGUCUUUAGUGUUUAGUUUGAGUCUUUUGCUUUUGUCUCUCCCCCGAUGUAUUCAAGCUUACGAGCUAUAUAAUAAAGAGUAUCUUAGUCAAGGGCUUUGCUUUGUGCCAUGAUCAAUAGUAUGAAAAGAACGAUAGCAUGAAAGAUCAUGAGACGAUCUUUUGGAAAGUGAUAACUUCACAUAUGACACGUAUGAUGAUUGAAACUUGUUGAGAAUAAACUUGUUGGUUAGUGAUUGUUGCAAUUAAUAAGAAGUAAUAAGGAAAGAGAGGUUCACAUAUAAAUAUAUCAUCUUAGACACUUUUUACAAUUGUGAGCACUCACCAAACUAUUACAUGCUUAGGAGUAGAUGUUGGACAAGGAAGACAACAUAAUGAAUUGUGUUUGCUUGGUUCCAAACAAUGUUAUAUGAUUAGAGAUCCCUUAGCAUGUGACGAUUGCUUCCACCUCAUAUUAGCCAAAACUCUCGCACCAAGUAGAGAUACUACUUGUGCAUCCAUAAACCUUCAACCCAGUUUUGCCAUGAGAGUCCACCAUACCUACCUAUGGAUUGAAUAAGAUCCUUCAAGUAAGUUGUCAUCGGUGCAAGCAAUAAAAAUUGUUCUCUAAUAUGUAUGAUCUAUUAGUGUGUGGAAAAUAAGCUUUGUACGAACGUGUGAUGAGGAAGACAUAAAAGUGACGGACUGCAUAAUAAAGUUCUUUAUCAUAGGAGGCAAUAUAAAGUGACGUUCCUCCGCACUAAGAGGACACAUAUUCAAACCUCAAAAGCGCAUGACAACCUCUGCUUCCCUCUGCGAAGGGCCUAUCUUGUACCUUUACUUUUUGCCCUUGUAAGAGUCAUGGUGAUCUUCACCAAUUCCCUAUUUUGCCUUUGUCUUGGCUACCGUCACAUGCUUGGGAAAGAUCUAUAUUCAUAUAUCAACUUGGAGUUGAGUACUUAUGCUUUAUUAUUUUUGACUUUGCCCUUGAGGUAAAUCGUUGGGAGGCAAAACUAUAAGCCCCUAUCUUCCUCCGUGUCCAGCUGAAACUUUGACACCAUGAGUACCACGUGAGUUGUAACAAUUGUGGAAAACAAAAGAGAUGAUUGAGUAUGUGGAUUUACCUUACAAGCUCUUAUUUGACUCUUUCUGAUGUUGUGAUAAAUUGCAAUUGCUUCAAUGACUUUGGACUAUUGUUGGUUACUUCUCGGUAAGGUUUUUGCUUCAUGCUUUGCUUUGUGAAGGAAUUGUUACUUUCCCAUAAGAAUCUUUAUGAUGUAUUGCUGUCCUAUGUGUGAUCAUAUGAUGCCCUCAUGUCCGUAUUAUGUUUUUUCGACACCUUCGUCCCUCAACAUGUGGACAUGUUUAUGGAACUUGAUUUUCGCUUGAGGACAAGCGAGGUCUAAGCUUGGGGGAGUUGAUACGUCCAUUUUGCAUCAUGCUUUCAUGUUGAUAUUUAUUGCUUUAUGGGAUGUUUUAUUACUUUGUGGUACCAUAUUUAUGCCUUUUCUCUCUUAUUUUGUAAGGUUUAUUCGAAGAGGGAGAAUUCACGCAGCUGGAAUUCUGGACUGGAAAAGGAGCAAAUCUUAGUCCACUAUUCUGCACAUCUCCAAAUGCCCUGAAAAGUUACGUGGAUUUUUUUGGGAUUAUAUAAAAAAUACUGGGCGAAAGAAGUAUCGGAGGGGGGCUGCCAGGGCACCACAAGCCCUGCCACCGCCACCCCCUGGUGGCGGAGGGCAAGCUUGUGGGCUCCCUGACGGCCCACUAGCUCCCCUCUUUUGCUAUAUGAAGGGUUUCAUUCCAGAAAAAAUCAAUCGGGAGCUUUUUCGUGGUUUCGCCGCCGCCACGAGGCGGAACUUGAGCAGAUCCAAUCUAGAGCUCCGGCAGGACGAUCCUGCCGGGGAAACUUCCCUCCCGGAGGGGGAAAUCGUCGCAAUCGUCAUCACCAACACUCCUCUCGUUGGAGGGGAGGCAUCUUCAUCAACAUCUUCAUCAGCACCAUCUCCUCUCCAAUCCCUAGUUCAUCUCUUGUAAUCAAUCUCCGUCUCACGACUCCGAUUGGUACUUGUAAGGUUGCUAGUAGUGUUGAUUACUCCUUGUAGUUGAUGCUAGUUGGAUUACUUGGUGGAAGAGUUUAUGUUCAGAUCCUUGAUGCUAUUCAUUACACCUCUGAUCAUGAUUAUGAUUAUGCUUUGUGAGUAGUUACUUUUGUUCCUGAGGACAUGGGAUAAGUCAUGCUGAUAAUAGUCAUGUGAAUUUGAUAUUCGUUUGGUAUUUUGAUAUGUUGUAUGUUGUUUUUCCUCUAGUGGUGUUAUGUGAACGUCGACUACAUAACACUUCACCAUACUUGGGCCUAGAGGAAGGCAUUGGGGAGUAGUAAGUAGAUGAUGGGUUGCUGGAGUGACAGAAGGUUAAACCCCAGUCUAUGCGUUGCUUCGUAAGGGGCUGAUUUGGAUCCACUAGUUUAAUGCUAUGGUUAGACGUUGUCUUAAUUCUUCUUUUGUAGUUGCGGAUGCUUGCAAGAGAGGUUAACCAUAAGUGGGAUGCUUGUCCAAGUAAGGGCAGUACCCAAGCGCCGGUCCACCCACAUAUCAAACUAUCAAAGUAACGAACGUGAAUCAUAUGAACAUGAUGAAAUUAGCAUGACAGAAAUUCCCGUGUGUCCUCGGAAGCGUUUUUCCUCCUAUAAGACUUUAUUCAGGCUUGUCCCUUGCUACAAAAGGGAUUGGGCCACUUGCUGCACCGUUGCUACUACUUGUUACUUUUUGCUUGCUACGUUUCACCUCGCUACACAAUCACUUGUUACCACUACUUUCAGUGCUUGAAGUUAUUGCCUUGCUGAAUUCCGUUUAUGAGAGCCUUCUGCUCCUCAUUGGGUUCGACACUCUUACUUAUCGAAAGGACUACGCUUGAUCCCCUAUACUUGUGGAUCAUCACAGUCCCGCUACAAGCAAGGCCACCCUCAGAAAUGGAUUUCAUCGCGGAUCACCCGUUCCUCUUCCUUAUCCGGGAAGACACUUCUCGUGUCGUGCUAUUUAUCGGUCAUGUGGUCAAUCCCCUCCUAACUUCGUAAAAAAAUCUCUGAAUUUGUCUCUUGUCAUUUGCCUCAGUUGUUACAUGUAAGGGGAGGGUUUCGACAGUCAAUCAUGUUAACCAUGCAAUAAAUCCAAUAAAUGUUCUAUGUUUUUUUUAUGAAUUCUACACUAGUAUGUUGCCAUAUUAUUCUUAUGGGCAUUUUCUGUGUCGACUCGACCACUUUGACCCAAAAUACUAGCUAUGCCACCACCUAUGAGCUAGAGAGGUAGAGGGGUGGCAACACACUGAUUUUGACUUCAUUUUUGAAAGGAAUAGAAAAACACAAUUAAUUCAAAGUCAAUUGACAUGAAAUUGUAACUAAAGAUUCUUGUCAAACUUUGCGAAAAAAGAGGUCCAAAUGGAUGGUAAAGUUCCUUUUUCUUUAAAAAAGUGAGAUCAGAGGAAAUUCCCUCCACUACUUUUUAUUUGCUCAAUUCAAUGAACCAAGUAUAUUUUUUUUAGAAAAGGAGGAUGACCCCUGGCCUCUUCAUCUGGGAGAUGCAUGCGGCCAUUUUAUUGAUUAUUCUCGAGGAGCUUACAAAGUAUUACAACAAUAUGUCUGAAUCCGCCAUCUUCGCAACAUCUGUCGCUACUUCUAUCCAUAUGAUGAAGGGGUGCUAGUUGGGCCACAUACCCAGACCACUUACCUAAGCCUAACAUCAAAAGUCGAAAGCCCCAGCAGAGCCGGUCAAGCCAUCUGCCACAUACCGGGUCUAGGGCACAAAACCGAUCUGACGCACUCGUGUGCUGUCGCCGCCAUCUUCCACCGGUCCGUCUUGAGAGCAAAUAUUGAUGCUUCUACCUUGUGUAGCCACUCCGCCAUCGACGUCACCAUGAUGCCAGACAACUACCUCCUCCUGCAUGAGUCCAUCUCCACGCAUCGAACGCCGAGUCCCCACAGCGCCACGCCGCCGAUAUCCGCCGCCAUCAAUGUGUGAGAUGAAGCACCGCUCCAUCAUUCCUCCAGUCAGCACUUGCUCCAAAACGAUGCCCCCAGGAGGGAAGGCGAUAAAACACCAUCAUCGUCCGAUCCAGGAAGACCCAGAUCUAGGGUUUCCCCCGGAGCAUCCCGAGCCUGAUGACGCAAACAGCAACGCCGUUGCUCCACCAGACGAGCGCCGCCGAUGUCACAGCCUCCAAGAUGAAGCUGGCCAAAAUGCGCCGACAUCGAACCGCCGCCACCUCCACCACCGCUUGAGCAGCCCCCGAGCAACGCCUUCAAGAAGGAACACGCCACCGCGGUGUCGUCGUCGCUUGGAACAAGGGGAUCUGAGGUUUUCACCUGAGCUCCUGGGAGGGGUGGAAGGAAGGGGAUCCUCUCCGAAGCCUCCAACAAGGGGAACAACACCCAAAGGCGCUGCCUUCGGAGUGGCCGCCGCACCGGCCAAGGGACUCCCCCGGAACCCUUCCAACCACCGGAUCUGCAAGGCCACCACCCAAGAACAGCGAGAAGCCAUCUGGGGCCGGAUCUGUUGUAGAUCAGAGUAGAUCGGGGUCGAGGACAAGCAACACCAUGGCCACCAGCAUCCAGCGAGGACCGCCGCCGCAGUCGCCGCCACCCCCCGCGCCGUCCGGGUCAAAGAGGGAUCUGCCGACCGCGCACAGGGGCCACCACCGCUUGCACCCACCGGAGCACUGCCGCUAGCCCAGCGCCCGCCAACGCCUGCCGCGGGCCGCCACCGUGCGCCCCGCUCCUCGCCACCGCUCGCCGAGGCCUGCCCCCUCGCGCCCGACCGCGAUCGCCACAGGACACCGCCGUCAACCACCUAGAUCCGCCGCCCGCGGAGGAAGGGGAGCCGGGAGAGGGAGUCCCCCGCCGCCGCCGUGUGCCACGCGUGUUUCACCCGGCGGCGGCGAGGAAGGGAGGAUAAGAGGGCGGCGGCGGCGCCUAGGGCUGGAGAGCCCCCGAGUCGCCCAGGGCGGGGGCGACGCGAGGGAUGGUGAGACUGUCUUGACCACGUUUGAGUGCACCCAUGAACCAAGUACAUAAAUAGUGCUGCUAAAAUGAAAAAAAAGAAACCAUUGUCGGAGCGCGGGCCGAAGGCUCAACUACAACCGGAGCCGGAUGCCAUUCAGGCUCUGAUAUGAGUGAGAUUUGAGCCUUAGAACGGCUGCCCCAGGAGCCACGCCGACUGCUACCUGGUAGAAAAAGGCGGUGGCCGCUGCCAUGGGUUCUUUUACAACAAGGCAUUUCGGAUCUGAUCCUCGAGCCAAGCAAUCCAACAAAGUUUCAGUACUACUAGCAGCAAAGGUUCCACGUCGAAGCCUUCACACCGCAUACAACAUGGAAACAUGGAGCAUACGCACAAAGGUCAUCACCAAAUAAGUAGACGAGUGAGACCAAGAGACCAAGGAAGUACGCUGUCAAUGAAUCACGAGCUUUGCACGAGAGACAACAAGAGAAUGAAAUCGGAGGCACCAAUCAGCCAAUAGAGCCUAUGCCACUGCCUUAUUCUGUUAUUUGUGAGUCCAAGCAAGUCGCGGAGACCUAUGCCACUGCUUUGCACGAGUGAGACCAAGAGACCAAGGAGAAUAAAUAUAUAAUCAAACCAAUAAGACACAGAAAUAAUGGCAAUUCAUAUUUAAAUAACUUUAGCUUGAAAAGAUAAAACAAACUCUGGUACAAAUAGACUCUGACACUUGUGGGCCUGCAACAAGUGAUUAUAAUGGCUUAUUAUCUCGUUUAGUCCAAACCAAGUCUUUAUUACUACCUCCGUCACAGUUUAGAAGGCAAACACGUGUACCUAGGUCGUCAAUUUAACUUAUAUAAAAUCUAUUGUUUAAUAUAAAAAUUAUAUCAUUAGAAAAUAGAACAUCUAAAAUUUUUAAUGAUAUAUUUUUUAUAAUAUAUGCUUACCAUUAAGUUGAUCAAAUUAACGAUCUAGGUACACGCGCCGGACUUAUAAACUGAGAUGUAGGGAGUAUGUAUUUAUGUUAGAAGGAUCAGUAUAAAUAAGAAAUCGAUCAAAGAAUGCAACUAAUUUUAAGCCUUUAAAUGUGACAAACCCGGAUGUGAGCAGGGGCCUAGGAGUUGGUUCUAAGGCCCAUUAGGCCCACCAACCCGGAUCAGAACGCCGUGCGUGCAGCGGCUCAUCUGAGCCGUCCGCCUCCCCAGCACCCAAACCCUAUAACUACGACGCGAGAGCCCUCGCCGCCAAUCUUCCUCACGCUUCCCGCCGCCGACGCCAGCCGACCGAGCGCGCUCACCGCACCGCCGCCGCCGUCGCAGCCAUGGUUUGUCCCUCGCCUCUGCUCCCCCGUCCACCCUGUUGUUUCCUACAUAGAGUGAGAGAGAUGUGUUUCGCUGCUUCGCGACCGCGGCAGAUGUGCUCGGGUUCACCAAUUGCUGCGUCCUUUCUGCUGCUCAGUUGCGUUCGUGGGUUCUCUGCCAUGAGCAACACUGAUUAGAUGCCCGCUUCAGUCCAUUCCGUUCAACCAUGGGGAGAAAAUGAGGCAUUUGCCUCUGGUUAUGUUUUGCUCUUGCCUUGCCCUGUCAUGCUGCUGCUAUUGGAAUUCUAUAUGCGCUUGUCAUGCUGCUGCUAUUGUACUUCUCUGUGAUGAUCAAAUCCAUGAUAAAAUCCUUCUGCCCGUUCUGAAUGCCAAACCGACUGCAUGUACCAUGUUUGUUUUUGUCAACACUAGUAUAUUACUUCCUCCGUUCCUAAAUAUAGGUCCUUUUAGAGAUUCCACUAGGAGACCACAUACGGAUGAAAAUGAAUGAACCUACACUUUAAAAUAUGUCUAUAUACAUCCGUAUGUAGUUUUCUAAUGAAACCUCUAAAAAGACUUAUAUUUAGAAACAGAGGGAGUAUAUUGUAAUACAUUUAGCAAGUCUGACGUUAGUUUGGGAUAUGACGAAGGAUAAUUGCUCCAUGUUUCUGAUAAUCAUGUGAUGAUCUCCAUUGAAACACCCAAUACCUCUGAUUCUAUAAAAGCAUAGGAUUGAAUUACUCUCCAUUCCGUUUAUUUUAUCAGGCCUUGCUGUUUUCUUCUCCAUGUGCACACAACAUCUCUUGUGUACUGAUGAGUCGAUUGUUCACUUAAUUCAGUACUGCUUUAGAUUCCUAGCAUGGGAUGUGCCUUAGAUAUGUAAACUGUUGUGAUAAUGUAUAUCAGGCUGCUCCUCUUAUUUUGAGAAGACGGAAUGGAUAGCUCAUCGUGUCAGUCAAGUCUAAUUUAGUUUUCAUUCUGUGUUAGAUUGACUGUAGUUUGUAUUCAUGCAUCUUCAAAAUAUGUAAUAUUGUAAGUGAUCUUGUGAAGGAUGUGCUGCAUGCAACUUGACAUUGCAUGGUACAUCUAAAACGCAAUGGGGUUGGCCAUAUUGUGGACUAUUCAGUGAUUUCGUUUUGUGCACUUGGAAUCUCAGGUUUUUGUGUACUUCGCUGUGCUGACCUAAUCUAGAACUAGGCUUACAGGUCCAUUUGUUUUCAUCUAUUGCCCUGACCAGAUAACUAUUUGUCAUUAGUUACUUCUGGUUUUUUGCCUUAACUCAUUUUUUUAUGCAACUAGUGCUGUAAUUUCAAUGCUUAUCAUGUAAUAUUUGAUAUUUUAACUAUGUGGUCCUAUGAUGGCAUGAAAUCUUUGAGACCUGAUUAUUCUAAUGAUGACAACCAUAAGCAUGUUUCUGAGAACCUAAUUGAAGUUUGCACCAGACAUUUUUUUAGUAUUUUUUGAGCAUUUGCUGAACUUGCUUCUGGAGUUCUUUUUAGCUAUUGCAAUAUCCUCUCAACUUUUAUCCUGUUUCACGCAAGGCCUAUGUUAAUACUAGUUCUGUUGCAAAUGCUAUGUAGGUGAACGUUCCAAAGACCAAGAAGACCUACUGCAAGAACAAGGAGUGCAAGAAGCACACCCUUCACAAGGUCACUCAGUACAAGAAGGGUAAAGACAGUCUGUCUGCCCAGGGAAAGCGCCGUUAUGACAGGAAGCAGUCGGGAUAUGGUGGUCAGACCAAGCCUGUCUUCCACAAGAAGGUACAGCAACAUCUUUGUGUGUGAUUGUCUAUCGAUCUGUCAAAACAAUACAUAGUUCAAUCUUCUCCGUAAGAAGAUACAUAGUUCAAUCUUUUGCACAAUCUGCUUAUGGUGUGUCUGUUUAGUCUAAGAUCAGAUAAAGUUUAAAACCAGUUGUGCAAUGCUAAUUUUGUGACCUUUUCUUCAGGCAAAAACCACCAAGAAGAUUGUGCUGAAGCUGCAGUGCCAGAGCUGCAAGCACUACUCUCAGCGCGCCAUCAAGGUUUGUUGCUUUCAUGUUGAACCGGACAUCUACUUUCGUUCAUGUUGUGCUUUGCUCAGUCUGUCUUUAUUCCUCUGUGCAGAGGUGCAAGCAUUUUGAGAUUGGUGGAGACAAGAAGGGCAAGGGAACAUCACUCUUCUAGAUUUCUUUCACCUAUCUGUACUCGUUGUGGUCAAGAACUAUUACUGCUUGUCUUAAUGUAUCGAUGUUAUGAGUUGAACCAACCAGACAUUGUCCUGUAUCCAAACCUGUUUAUCUGGCAUUUGAGCAACGAUUGACUUUUUUGCAAAAUGAUCCUUCGUAGUUUGAAUCCUCUUCUAAUCUCAUGCAUUGCCGUACUGUCGAUAUGAAUGUCAUGUGGCCUGAUCGGUAUAAUUUGAGCUGUGCCGCAGCUGUUUAUAGUUCUCUAUAAUUCCGAUAUCCAGACAAUUCAGACAAACGGCUAAUUACAAAGCUAAAUAUUCAGAGAUCUUCUCAUGAUGUGCGACAAGCGUUCUUGAUAAAAUCCUCGCCAGCGGUGGAGCAAGCUACAUAUUCAAACAAAUGAGCAGUCAAGACGUUUAAUCCACGCGAGCGGUCAAACAUUGAUCGGUUCAGAUACCAUUGCUGCUCAUCAAGACGUUUAACUAGCCCCUCAAGCAGUCGAGCAAUGCAUGCUUUUCAUCUUGGUUUUAUUUUUUCCUGAGAAAUUCUUGUUUCUUUUUAGCAGAACCGAUCAGGCCGAGUAAUAAGUGAGGAGAAGACCCAGUUUACAGAAAACAAGACUGAAGAGAAGGCCCAUCAUCUUUCUAUGUGAGCGUGGGCCGAGGCGUUGGUUUGGAGGCCCAAUUAGGCCUACGAACCACAGCCCAACCAAAUCGGAUCAGAACGACGUUCACUGGCCGAUCCGAGCCGUCCACCCGCUAGGGUUUUCCCCUCCCCAUCACCCCAUCCCUAUAAGUACGAGGCGAGAGCCGCCGCCGCCAACAAUCUACGGAGAUCGGGUUCGUCCACACACCUCCGCCGCCGUCUCCGCCGCUGCGAACCGGAGAGCGAGGCCGACUCCGACGCCGCGAUGAGGGCCAAGGUUUGUACUGCCGCCCGUCGUCUACCUCGCCUGUUGUUUCCUGCUUCGCAACCGCGGUAGAUCUGGACAUGUGGUAGUGAUUAUCGAGUGUUCGUUCUUGCUGUUGCUGGUGCUCGCUUGCGUAAUUAGUGGUUCUCUGUGAUGAUCAACACUGAUUAGAUGUCCGAUCCAAUCCAUUCCAUUCAACCGUGGGGACAAAACUGAGGCAAAUUUGUCUGAGAGAACUUGCUAGAUUACUUUGUGCAGUUUCUGUUAGCUGAUUUGAUGUUUUUUCCUUGCAUGCUUGUUCGUGUAGUUCUCUGUGAUGAUGAAAACAGAUGACGAGUCCGAUGUAAUCCAUUCUAUAAAACCAUGUGGACAAUCGAGGCAUUUGUCUGAGAGAACAGCGUUUUAUUAGCCAGUGUUUUUCCCAGCUUUUUUUUAAGUUUAAUUGCGUCGGUUGGCAUGAUGAGGAAGACAAAUUGAUGUCCGAUCUAUUUGACGAUAAAAUCCUCCUACUCAUUCUGAAUGUCAAACCCGCUGCAGAUCUCUUUGUCUUGCUCAACUAGUUUGUAAAUAGCUAUGACAUUAGAAUAGUUUUCUUUUUGCCAUGCCGAAAUGGUAGUUUGGAACAUGAUGAAGAACAAUUGGUCCGUGUUUCUGAAAAUCACGUGAUGAUAUCCAAUGAAACACUCAAUCUUCUGAUUCCAAAACAAAGGUUACUAUCUCUUCUUUUAAAUGUGAAAUUCUUGUUAUGUCCAUCAGCAUUUCCUAGAUCAUCUAUCCAAUUUAUGCUGAUGAGGUGCAUGGUUACUAUAAUUUGCAGUGGAAGAAGAAGAGGAUGAGGAGGCUCAAGAGGAAGCGCCGAAAGAUGAGGCAGCGAUCCAAGUAGGCGCCUUGGAGCAGGGAAUGCAUCAUCUUUACAUCAGGCAGCUAGGCACCGAGGGAUGACGGCAUGAUCUAGUGAUUCCUGAUGUGUUUGCUGUUAUGGCUGUGGAAGUUGUUUAACCUGCGUUUGGUCAAAUUUAGCUGUUUAAUACUAGUCUGGUUAUGUUCCAGGACUGAGUUUUAUGUAAUGUGAGGAUUAUGCGUGGUUGUGACUGAAUUUUAUGCAGCUAUUAAUUUUGCAGUACUCUGAAAUAAGUCCCUGCAGUCGAUCUUGUUUGAUGUUUUGCUGUUCUUUCUCUUCCUCAGACUAUAGAAUUGCAGAUGAUAAAUAUUUGUGUUUGCUUUUCAAUAAUCAUAUAUAGUUGAAAAGAAAAAAUCAUACAGCCAUUGUGUAUGAGGUACGAAAGAUUGUGUGGAUUGUAGUCCCUGACAGAUUUUAAACUGUGCGUUUUCAUUUAGGGCCUGAAUCAAACAUAGCUUUAUCUAAUUGACAUGAUGCAAGAAACUUCAUUUGAUCCGGUAAACUUCAUUUGUGUUUGACAUAGCUUCCUUCUCAAAUGCAGAAGCGGUGACCCGGGGCAGUGCGGAUCGGAGCUUCCGAACGUUUCAUAGAGUAAAAAUGCAUUUCUGAAAUCUUUUAAUAAAGUGAAUCGAGCGGAAUUCCGUAGGGACCAAUUUUGCCGUUGAUUGCAGCACCAUAGUGCCGUUAUUUUGUUUGCCUUUGCGUUUCCAAAUGAAACAAGUUAGCCCUCUUCCAAACUCCUUUAUCAUACUAUAUACGUACUGUGCAAUGCUAAAAGGAAGGAAGCCUGAUGGCUGGUAACUAGCCGCUAGUUGGUGGUUUGGGGUGUGCGCGGUGGUGCUGCAGAAUGCGCUGCUGGAGUUCUUUCAGAAUGUUCAGAAUUUUUUCUCGUCCUGAUUGAAUUCAUCAGUAAAGUUCAGUUCUUCAGCCUUAUUUUUUCUGAAGAAAGUGUACGAGGCAAAGAUGUAACGUUAGUUUUCAGAAUGUUCAGACUUCCGGUGCUCCUUUUUUUUUCUGAAGAAAGUUACACGGGAAUCUCUUGUCAAUUUCGUUUGUUAUUCGUUGAGAUCGUAUCAUAUGUCAGUUUGGUGUGUGGUUGUGUACAGUACAGAGAAAUUAAAAGAAGACACUCAAAUUUAGUACUGCAUCUAAUUUGAUUUUGUAAGUCUUCCCUUGAGAUUUGGUUUUAGUAGUUGAAUUUUGGGAGGGGCUGUUGGUGGAGAAGACACUCAAAUUUAGUGUAGUUGAAUUUUGUGAGCAGUUUUUUUAUAAGACACUCGAAGAAAUCUUGCAGAGUUUAAAUUAUAGGCCAGUGCUAUGCACUGGCGCGUCGGCCGAAACUUUCGGCCGGCCGCACGAUCCGUCAACUGCCGGCGUCCGCACCUUUAGAUCUUCAUGCAAUAUUUUUUUUCCGAUGCAGCAAAAUUUCAACGCGAUGCAGCAAUUUUUUCAACGGUUGUAACAAAAAUAAAAUUUAUAGCAAAAAAAUAUCUACGUGAUCGUAGUAAAAAAAGAAGUUGAUGGUGCGGGGUAGCAAAAGUCAAAUGCCGGUUGUAACAAAUAUCUACGUGAACGUGUAUAUAACUUUUUUAGUGAACGGUUGCAACAAAAAAUGAUGUCGAUUGCAGCAAAAAUUAACACGGUUGUAGCAAAAGUAAAAAACACCGAUUGUAACGAAAAAAUCGAUGAACUUGAGUUAUAACCAAACGUAUAUACAAUUUUUUUAUUGGACAAAUGUAGAAAAAAACGUUUGUAGCAAAUAUGACGAUGGUUGCAACAAUUUAGACAAAAAAAUGUUACAUGCCUAAUCAGCGGGUCGUGUGCGGCCGGCCGAAUAAUUCGGCCAGCGCACCGGCCAGAAACGUUUCCCUAAAUUAUAUCCAUAGGUGGAGAAGAAAGAUGGAGUGCGGCUGCCCUGUUUUAGGGGAGCUGUUGGAGACGCUCACUUUCUACUGCCUUAAAGAAAAAUUUGUGCCCCAAAUUUUACUCCAAGCAAGUGUUGGUACCCUAUUAUAGGCAGCUAUUGAAGAUGCUUUCAACACAACUUAUUCCUCUGUCACAGUUUAGAAGACGUACAUUCAAAAGAUGAAAAGAUCAAAAUCGUUGGGACCAAGGUGAUAUGUAGUUGGCUCAGUUCCUUUUGCUCAUGACUAAAAAAUAGCAACGUAUUAAUACCAAGGCGUCUAAUUAGCUGAGAAUUCAAUGCACAGGUACCCCCUUCAUUAGUAAACGGGCCGUCUUCAUGCAUGCAACCGUGGUAGUACUAUGCAAGCAGCAGCUAUUAGUAGUACUAGUUGAGUACCCGUGCGUUGCCACGGGAUAUAAAAUGUGUUAUGAAAAAUAAAUAAAGUCAUAAUUCGAAUCAUGAAGAUUAUAUUUAAUCUCGACUCUCUUACUCAAACACCUUGCAGCCCACCUUAUGCAUCGGACUCAAAAUAUCUUGACUUUAUACAUCAUUUUAGAAGGGACCAAUGUUCUUACCAGCAGCAACUGAAUAGACAAAAUACUUGUAAGUUGUAACUGUAGCAUUACCUCAGUAAUAAGCUUGACUUCUUAGUUCAUUGAUCCACGACACCUAAACAGCCAGCACACAGUUAGCAAGUGAAGGAGAAAGAGAAAUAUCGUAAAAAAAUGGCACAAACAACUAUCUCAAAAACAAUAAGGAUAAGAUUAAAAUAAAAUAAAAUUCAAUGGUAGCAUAAAUAGUGUAUCAGAUGAAUAAACACACGAAAUUAUUCUACAAGCACUCCCAAGCUCCAAAAUAAUUGAGUAUUGAGCACAGGCUAUUUGAGCUCAGGUCCACAUGACGGUGAGACGGUCAGCGACAAGCACAGAAUUUCGAAACACAUCCCAAGCAAUUUUGCAACAGAUGAAUUCAUAUGUAUGUAGAUCAUAGUUUCUUGUUGGCUAAUCAAAGUGGGUAGAAGGAGUAUUGCAGUUCCUGAUGAGAGCUUGUUUCCAGCUGUCAAUUGCUCUGUACUUUAUUCGCUAUUAGAUCAUACUGAAACUUACAUAAUGUUGAAAAUUUAAAAAAAGAAUGAAGGUUCACAGUGAUCAGAGAAGUAACCAAUAUUGUGGAGGUGUAGAACAUUUGAAUGUUGGUCAUAACAUAAAACAAGGAUUAUUGUUCUUUGAAUACUGUUCUUCAUAUGUAUUAGUAAUACUUAAUAACUUGAGAUAGGAAGUUAUUUAUUUCCUAUCUCUGCAUACAAGUGGCAUCUAGCACGUUUGAAAAUGUGUCCAUGGUUGGGGUGAAGUACAGAAAUGUGUCCGUGAUUCUGUAGCUAUCAACAGUGCGGUCAAAAUUCUUCGUGUGCAACUAAUCUCUUACCAUUUACAUACAUGAAAUUAGCCACAUACUUGUAUGGUCACGCAACAAAGAGAGAAAACUAACAUCGGGGCAUGCUUAUUCUUCUUAUUCAGGUGAAGCCGGUGCUGAAGAGGGUGUAGUUCACCCUGGUGGGUCUGGCACUGUCGCUGACCCUCUGCAUCCUCCUCUACGCCAACACGGAGAAGCCGAGGGAGCCGCUGGAGAACACCGCCGACGGGAGGGCCGUCCCCGAGGUGUACAGCGCCGCCGCCGCCAGGCUUGUCGUCCCUUCGGUGAGCGCGUCCUCCGCCUGGAAUAUCUGCUUGCUGAGGUUGUCGAUGAACCUGGCCACGGACUCCUCGACGCCGGUCGCGUCGGCCGGGAACGUGGUGGGUAUCUCCGCGUCCAUCAGGGCCUGCUGCGCGGCAUCGUCGGUGACUACGCCGACCAGAGCGUCCGUGGCCACGUCGGCGGAGACGGGCAUCAGCGGCGGGUCGACCCCGGCGCGCCAUAGGGGGUCGGGCAGCUCGGCGGCGGACGCGAACCCCCGCACGAUGUCGUCCGGCGCGGUGGCGUAGGGGGAGAGGAUGGCGGAGUCGGAGAAGAGCGGGCGGUCAGGCAGGACCUGCGCGACGAGAGGGUCGGCGGCGAAGGACCUGAGCGCGCUGGCACCGACCCUCCGCAGCGCCCGCGCACCGGCCGCGGUCACCGGGCAGAGGGGGAGCAUGGGGUGGGCGCGGCAGAGCAGAAGGGCAGAGCCGAUGCGACGCCGGGAUUCGGUGAUCUGCGCGCGACAGUGGAUUGGUGCUGGGAUGGCCGGCGGCGAGGGGGUCGGCGUAGGCGGCGUGGCGUGGGUAUCGGCAGGACUGUGUUUGCCGGCGGCGAGGGGGUCGGGGUGGGUGGGGCGUCGUCUUGUCGGGAGAGAACGGGGGCGACGGGGUCGGGGGUGAUUGGAUCGUGGGUUCGUGGCUUCUGGUUGUUUCUUUUUCAUUUUUUUCUCGCUUGCCGUUUUUCUUAACGGGGGAAGGAGAAGGUCGACCGAGUGGUGGUCUGAGGUGCGAUGUAGGUUUUUUAUUGAACUAAUCGGCUGGUUUAUUGUCUGGUUUAUGGAGGGAUUGAAAAAAAUCGGUGGAACGGUGGGAAGGCCAGCGGUAGGAGGGGGAUCGCUCGAGGUCGAACCAUCACGACGGCAGAUCCCCCUUUAAUAGUAGAGGCUAUACCAAGUAAUUAAGCACCAAGUCAACAUAAUGCGCUCAUUGCAGGCAAGGCAUAACCUGAAAACUGGAAAUAGUUUCUUCUUGUAAGAAGAAAAUAAUGCCUUAUACUGGCAUUUAUAUUCAUAGUUAGCUGGGAAGCAAGAACCAUUUUCUUCAUAAGAGAAGACAAAAAUCAAAUAAAAGACAUACAGAGUGUAGCAUACAAUAUAUAUGAAAAUGUUAAUCGAAUAAAAGCUAAAAUACAUUGUGCGGAAAUCCAGAUAAAACAAUUGAUACAUUUGAGUUCAAAAAGUAGAUGUCAGAUAUCACACAAUUGCUUAUCAAAAAAUCCUAAUAGUUGGUCGGCGAUCCCACGUGUUCAGGGGUAAUCCGUGGGCUAAUUAUGAGUGCGUGAGUCAGCCCCCCCCCUCCCGCCCGAUCAAACAAGAUUAGGAAGUUGCACCUUAAUGAAUAUACAAGCUAGACUAAUAACUGGCGAUGCUGCAAUAAAUUAUUCAUAGUUCCAUUUGCAAACAAAGGAUUCUUUUGUAUGGCAACUACUAAAGAGAUCAAACUACAGACAUGGUGUAUGCUCAAAAUGGAGUCGAUAACUGUGGAUUAUGCCACAACUGGUGUUUUCAGAGUGCAAGUACAUGACGGAUGUUGGCAUUCAAGAUGAAGGAACUUGGUUAAUGGUGGGCCCUGCCUUACAAAAUUAUGAGUUCUGCAUCCUGAAUUCUAGAUGCCAAGAUUGGUGAUCUUUAGUUGAAUGAGAAAGAGAGAGAGAGGAGGGAGGGAGGGAGAGAGGGAGAGAGGGGUGGUCAAUCAUGUGUCAUAUUUCAAAUAGAACCCGAAACCGGACCUCAUGUGUGCACUUGGGGAGAGGGAUCAUGAAGGCAUGUCUGAGCCUGUGAUCGUUGACCUUGAGAACAUGGUCUUGCGGCCCAUGAGUUAAGCAAAGAGAAGAAAAAUAAAUUACUAUUAGUUGUCUUGGAAAGUUCAAGACCAUCUUCAUUUGUUUGCAAGAGUAAUUGAGUAUAUAUUAAACACAAAUCAUAAAUGAACAUUCGGUUCACAUAUUCAACAUAAGUUCACGCAAAACUGGCAAGGCUCAUUGUUCUAAGUUGUGGAAACUGAAAACUGUACUGUACUAAGAAAAAAACAUAUUCUGCUUUCCACCUAACACCCAUCCUACUACCAGGGUUCAGUACAACUUAUUGAUACAUAUGGAGACUUGUGGUGACGUAUAAUAUAUAGUACCAAAGAAACAUGUGGGUCUUACUUGAAUCUGAAUGUUAGGUGGAAAUUCUUGAAAGCAGACCUUCAUGCCCACAUUUGUGGCUUCUUGACCAUACUCUCUUGAUUAUGCUCUGCAUAUAAAUAGAUCACUGUCCCGGCUACUAUUUUCUAAAGUAUAAAUGCAUUAUCAAAAGACCGCGUCAGCUGUUCACCUUGAGGUGAUGGUACACCUCAACUCUAUCUUCAUGAGGCAACGUCAGUUGGGAGGGUCAUGAACUUCUGUACAAAAAUUAUUUGGGAGUCAUCACAUAUUAGAUAUAACAGGUUGUGACAAAUUCCAUCCAUUCUCAGCUUACAUAGCUAGCUUGUUUCCAGCGUGAAAACCUCCCUUGCAAAAUUGAAAGCAGACACAAGUAGCACCAUAGUCUUGUUUCCUACAAGAUUUGCAAUGUGCCGCAAACAUAUGACAUACUUUAGUACAUCAUCUAAUAAUUCAACUGAUAAUUUGGUGCACUUCAAUUCCACACACCUAUGAACGAGGUUCACUUCCUCGCCCUCCUCAUCACAGUUCGACAAGACAUCAACUGCCGUCGCCUUUGUCAUUGCACUGACAGCGAGAGGUAGGGGGAGACCUAUGCGACAACAACAUCUUGGUUGGCACUGGUGAAAAUGAGGGAGUGGCGUACCAGAUUAAGAUCCACAAGACCCUCGUCCACACGUCAAACCCAGCCGGUCUGAUCGUGGUGGAGAGUACUUCUCAAAAUUAAACGAACUUAAGUACAAAGAGAGAUUACCCUACAAUUAACACAUGUUAAUUAAACUCUAACAAAUACAAUUUCAAGUGUUGUCAGCCCAUAGCCGAGCAAGAGAACGGGGGGUUCCUCGUACACGAGCGCUAAGAACAUCUUGUGUAGCUUCAGAAAGGCAACAAGUAACUUCCUCGAGGUAAGCUCUAACUACCAUUAAAGUUGCAUAGCUUUUUUUAUUGAGCAAGGAUGCAUUCAAAGCUUGAAUCAUAUGCUUACCACAUUAUGCUAUGAUUUACUGUUUGAUUAGGACAUUAACGACAGUAACUCUGUAACUUCUACACCCUUCAUUCCCUGUCACUCAAAUCAAAAUAUUUCAAGACCAUGCAAGUUCUAAUGGAAACGGUGCAGUUCCCUCCACAUUUUCUCAUCCGGGCUUGGGACCGGCAAAGGCAGUGUUAAACUACAAAACUACUUACUAAACACAAAAAUUAGCAAACACCACAACCAAUUAUAUUCAACUAAGUACACAAGACACAAGAUCAACCAAAGGCAGGAUUGGCACCGCACACAAUUCACCAAAGGCAGUAAAUAUUAACACAACGUUUGCACAAGAUCACAAGGCAGGGAGAUACGGGCACAAAUAAGGAAAGCUAUGAAUUCCAGAACCUGAAUGAGAAUAUCCAGCAUGAAUGAAACUGACAUGUACAAGCUACUUGAGUUGAAAAGUAUACAAUCAGCAGUAGUCAUCAAAUUUAGCCAGACUUAUUUUACAAGUUGCCAAAUUAAAAUAGGAAGUUCCGCAGCAAACCGAGAAGAUGCACUGAAGAUUCGUAUCCAGAUCCCACUGGAGAACCACCAGAAGAACAUCACUUCUGAAAAUCAAUUCUAUACCAACAAAUCGGAAUCAUAUUCAGUGGAAAUGACACUAAUCAAAGACAUGAUGAGGAGUAGAGUGUCCAUGGCAAUUUGUUUGUUCAAGCUUCCAGUUCAGAAGCUUCAACUCUCCAUUGUUUUGGUAUAAAGCGUUAAUCCCUAACCUCUUUUUGCAUAUCAAGCCAUCCACAUUACCCAAAUAUAAGUCAGGAGAGGAUCACAAGCCAAAAAUACGACAGAUUUUGAUGGCUACCAGCAUGGCUUGGGCUAAACAAUCUGCAACCACAAGAAGGCGGAAGCAAGAAACCACAAUCAAUGCUAGCAGCUAAGACAACAGAAGCUUCUUCAACAGAUCAAAAUAGAGAGCACUGGGUUUUUUCAGUUGUAGGAUGCCCCGUCUAGAUUGAUGCUCCAGAGAAACCUUCGAACCUUGUACAUCCACCAAAUCAAUCUGAAUGUUUAAAUUUUGUCUCUGUAAGAUAAAUUAUAUGUUGAAAAAAUUAUGAUGAAUUGGAAAGGUGCAGGAUUUAGAAGAUCUUCAAACAUAUUCAGCAUCAUGUUGGACCUAAAUCGUCAGUUAGGACCUGUAGUGGACCAAGAAACCUUUGUUUCAACUUUUGCUUUGGGGAAAUGAAGCUGCCUAUAAACAGCUAAAUGAUGCAUCAAACAGUCAGGGGAUAGGAUAAGCUUGCUUGGCUAGUUAGGCAACAACGCCAAUCCCAGUCUUCCAGAUAGCGAACUAUAUUAUCUCUCAUCCAUGUCAAUGUCUGCAAGGGCACAUGGUUACCAAGGGCACAGAAAACCAUGUCCUGGAAGUACAAUGUUCAAAGCAAAUCAGGAAAGAUGAAGUCAACAGAAUAAACCCCCUGUAAACCAACAGUCAAAACAAGGCACCUUCCAGAAAGCCCCAUAAGUCCAAUAGCUCGAGAACCAACAGUCAAUAUGAGAGAUGCUGUAACCUUAAUUCGACUGUGCAAACAAAGAAGCUAAAUUGAGGAUCAAUUAUCCAAACGUAGUUCCCAAAUUCUCUGAUCCCCAUCCCAUGGUUAACGAUCCAAUCCAUGUCAAAUCAACCCCCACGGCCCCACCGUAGUCCCCGCCUGCAGCGGCGGACAACAUGCCCAUGGCAGAGUCGAUCCCAUACCCCUUCCGCUCAGGUCUCUCUCCAUUCCCGCGGUUGCCUAUACACCAAAGGGUGUUGGCAUGUUGCAGCCUCGGACACUUCGUGGAUGCUAAACCGCAAGACAGCCUGCUCCGCCUCCAAUCGCGCACCACGCUCCCACUCUCUUCCUGCAUCCUAGCGGUCGAGCUUCCACCGACGACAGGCUACAGCUACCUGCUCCUCCCACGAUCCCCAGCGCCUCCCGCCGUCCGAUGCCAGCAACCAAUCUCCCGCUGUCCGUUGCGCCGCCACCCACCAGUCAGUGUCCCGCCGUCCGUUGGGCCACCAGCCGGUCUACCGCCACCCGUUGCCACUCGCCGGUCCAUGCCAUAUGGGAGAGGAGAACGUGUGGAUGCGCCAGUACAGGCUACAGGGAGAAGAUGGGUUGGAGAGAGGGUAGGGAGAUAGGGUUACCUGGGCCUCCUUCAUCGCUGCCGGAGGACACGACGCUCCUACUCGUCUCCCUUCGCGCGUCGAGAUCCUCCUGGACUCGGUGAAGAACGAUGAGAUGGAAGGGCUUGGAUCCAUCGAUCCAGUCUAAUUUGGCUUCAGUAUGUAACCGCGAGGAGAGAGACGUGAUCUGGAGGCUGGAGCGACCGGGUCGGGGAGAUAGGUGCGCAGAAGUGGGACGUGCGUUCAUGGGUGGUGAGAUUUUCCCCCUUUCUAUUGGUUUUUUAUGGGCGUGGAUAGAAGGACCGGACAAAGGUUUUUUUUUUAAUUUAAUCGCCUGGUUUACGAAGGGAUGAUAAAAAUCGGUGAAAGUGGUAGCAGGAGGAAGUGGGGAGGUGGGAUCAAGAGGUCGAACCAUCGCUCUGGUCGAACCAUCACGACGGCACAUCCCCUUUAAUAGUAGAGAUUAAUUAACAAAGUAGUAAGUGUCACGUGUCUUAAACUUUUUUAUUUUGGAAAUGCAUGUACUCCCUCCGUCCGUGAAAGACUGUACAUAUAAAGAUGUACACAUAAAUCAAGAGAAACCUUCAUGACAUAAUUAAUGUUCAAAAAUAACGACUUAUGUGUACAUGCAACCAUUGAAAGAAAGGGAUUAAAUACCGGUUGCUGCAUACAGUAUUUAAGGUUAGGCAUGCAGCCAAUGAAUAGAGCACAAGUUGAUACAUUACUUAUUUAAUACCAGUAAAAUUAAAGGCUAAGUGCAUUGGGGGUGUAGAUGUACACUCUUUGUGGGAACAAAUUCUAGCACUAUCUCCAUCACAGUUUAGAAGGCACACACGUGUAUCUAUGUCGUCAAUUUGAUUUAUAUAAAAAUUAUUGUUUAAUAUAAAAAAUAUAUCAUUAAAAAUAAGAACGUCUAAUUUUUUAAUUGAUAUAUUUUUUAUAGUAUAUGUUUAUCAUUAAGUUGGUCAAUUUGAUGACUUAGGUACACGUGUCGGACUUAUAAACUGAGAUGGAGGGAGUACUAGAUGUACAGUUUUUGACGAACGAAGGGAGUAAUAUAGAGGGUGCUUGGAUCCAAGAGACUAAAACUAGUCUGACUAAAACUAGUCUCUUUAAGAGGCUAACGUUCCAAACACCACUGACUAAAGAGAGGCUAAAACUAGUCUUGAGGCUAAAAUCUUUUAGUCAGGGGUACCCCUACUAAAUGUGCAUUAGUCAUCUCUCUCCUCAUUUAAUUCCUCAUGCAAGUUCUGGAUGGAGGGUUUGGAGGAUAAUAAAUGCUCAUUAACUUGAUUUUAGUCUCUUUAGUAUUUGGAUCCAAGCAUGAGUGAGGCUAGCAAGUUUUAGUCUCAUUACUUUUAGUCAUUGGGACUAAAAGUAUCAAGCAUCCUCAUAGUAGACUCGUUGUAUGCUUAAAUCUUUGUGAAUGGAUAUAGUUGGGACUUGGGAGGUGUGGAACCGGUGAGAGUCUAUUACAUGGCAAAUAUGUGGAUUGCCACACAUAAAUGUGAUGAUACCCAAAUUGAGCUCAUUUAUAGGUGCUGAAAUAUUAUAGGCCAACACAAACCAUGCAAUGUGGUGGGCAGCGGGGCACCUUUCAUGUCAUUAAUUCUCAACCGAUAAAUAUCAAUCUCUUCCGUGUCUCUCAAUUUCAAAUACAUUUCCUCUUGAAUAAAUGAGACAAUCCAUACAUCAAGAGAGUAGAGAGUGUGAUCCAUACGAGUUGCAUAGGAUUGGAAGGCACCGGAAAUUAUUUUAUGAGCCGCACUAGGCGUUUGCCGGUUGAAGCAAUGGAAAAGGUCGUCCACCUCCAUAGCCGUCGGAUUAGGACAAAAAGAGCCGGUAGAUAUCCCUCAGGUGAGCAAACAGAAUUGUAACAAGCAAGUUGUUGCGCACGUCUCUCUACAACACCGAUCUUGUUGCAAAAAGCCUCGAACAGCGGACCAUUUUCUCCGUCCUUCAUUGUUCGUUCUGUGCAAUAGGAGUCUUGUUGCGCUUGGCCUUCUGCAACAAGAGACCGGUUGCAAAUCAUUUUCGGAUCAUUUCAUUUUCUUUUUCUCGGUUGCCCAUCAUUGUAACAGAAGUCAUGUUGUAGUUUUUUUAGCAAGUGUCAUCUUGCCUAAUCCUUUUGCAAAAAUAUAGAGGGCGUGUGCAUAAACUUUUCCGUUGCAGUUUUUUUUUCAACAGAGUCGACCAUGGACGGUAAUAAUAAGAAAAAAAAUAGAACGGUGCAGAAGGUCCAAAUAGGACAUGCGUCACACGCUAGAUGCGGCGGACGCCUCGCGCUGGAUCGGCCGGGUAAAGGGAAUCAUUUCCCUUAUUUUAUCGCGAGGUAGAAAGUUAAAACUAUGCAUAUUGUCAUGUGUGUUGGGGAACGUCGCAUGGGAAACAAAAAAUUUCCUACGCGCACGAAGACCUAUCAUGGUGAUGUCCAUCUACGAGAGGGGAUGAGUGAUCUACGUACCCUUGUAGACCGUACAACAGAAGCGUUAGUGAACGCGGUUGAUGUAGUGGAACGUCCUCACGUCCCUCGAUCCGCCCCGCGAACAAUCCCGCGAUCAGUCCCACGAUCUAGUGCCGAACGGACGGCACCUCCGCGUCCAGCACACGUACAGCUCGACGAUGAUCUCGGCCUUCUUGAUCCAGCAAGAGAGACGGAGAGGUAGAAGAGUUCUCCGGCAGCGUGUCGGCGCUCCGGAGGUUGGUGAUGAUCUCGUCUCAGCAGGGCUCCGCCCGAGCUCCGCAGAAACGCGAUCUAGAAGAAAACCCGUGGAGGUAUGUGGUCGGGCUGCCGUGGAGAAAUCGUCUCAAAUCAGCCCGAAAACCUCUGUAUAUAUAGGUGGGAGAGGGGGGACCUUGCCUUGGGGCUCAAGGAGCCCCAAGGGGGUCGGCCGAGCCAAAGGGGGGAAGGACUCCCCCCCCAAACCGAGUCCUACUUGGUUUGGUGGGUGGAGUCCUUCUUUCCUUUCCCACCUCCUCCUUUUUUUCUUUUCUCUUUGAUUUUUCUUCCAAUGCGCAUAGGGCCCUUUUGGGCUGUCCCACUAGCCCACUAAGGGCUGGUGCGCCACCCUCAAAGCCUAUGGGCUUCCCCGGGGUGGGUUCGCCCCCCCCCCCCGGUGAACUCCCGGAACCCAUUCGUCAUUCCCGGUACAUUCCCGGUAACUCCGAAAACCUUCCGGUAAUAAAAUGAGGUCAUCCUAUAUAUCAAUCUUCAUUUCUGGAUCAUUCCGGAAACCCUCGUGACGUCCGUGAUCUCAUCCGGGACUCCGAACAACAUUCGGUAACCAACCAUAUAACUCAAAUACGCAUAAAACAACGUCGAACCUUAAGUGUGCAGACCCUGCGGGUUCGAGAACUAUGUAGACAUGACCCGAGAGACUCCUCGGUCAAUAUCCAAUAGCGGGACUUGGAUGCCCAUAUUGGAUCCUACAUAUUCUACGAAGAUCUUAUCGUUUUAACCUCAGUGCCAAGGAUUCAUACAAUCCCGUAUGUCAUUCCCUUUGUCCUUCGGUAUGUUACUUGCCCGAGAUCCGAUCGUCACUAUCCGCUUACCUAUUUCAAUCUCGUUUACCGGCAAGUCUCUUUACUCGUUCCGUAAUACAAGAUCCCGCAACUUACACUAAGUUACAUUGCUUGCAAGGCUUGUGUGUGAUGUUGUAUUACCGUGUGGGCCCCGGGAUACCUCUCCGUCACACGGAGUGACAAAUCCUAGUCUUGAUCCAUACUAACUCAACGAACACCUUCGGAGAUACUUGUAGAGCAUCUUUAUAGUCACCCAGUUACGUUGCGACGUUUGAUACACACAAAGUAUUCCUCCAGUGUUAGUGAGUUAUAUGAUCUCAUGGUCAUAGGAACAAAUACUUGACACGCAGAAAACAGUAGCAACAAAAUGACACGAUCAACAUGCUACGUCUAUUAGUUUGGGUCUAGUCCAUCACGUGAUUCUCCUAAUGACGUGAUCCAGUUAUCAAGCAACAACACCUUGUUCAUAAUGAGAAGACACUGACUAUCUUUGAUCAACUGGCUAGCCAACUAGAGGCUUGCUAGGGACAGUGUUUUGUCUAUGUAUCCACACAUGUAAAUGAGUCUUCAUUCAAUACAAUUAUAGCAUGGAUAAUAAACGAUUAUCUUGAUACAGGAAUUAUAAUAAUAACUAUAUUUAUUAUUGCCUCUAGGGCAUAAUUCCUACAGAGACACGGCGUGCGACUUGGGCUACAGACCUGCUAGAGAGAGUCUGACGUGGGUUGGAUUGAUGGGCCCUGUGGCACAACAGCUGGCUGACCCUGAUGCCUCGUGAUUUAUGCAUGAUAAUUAGUACUAAAAAAUUACUUUAGACCCUGUAGCGCGUGCUGCAGGUUUGGACCAUAGGGCUCGACCAUGAUUGCAUGUAUAAUUAUCCUCACUGUAUUAUGCAGAAUGAAGAUUCUCGAAUUCAAAAGAGGACAAAUCUAUGACAUUGGGUUCAUUGACCCAAAUAACAUACAUGAUUAUACGUAAAAAACAACGCCAAGGAAAGAACAGAUAACUUGCUAAGGGCGUUAAGGAAACAACCAACCAAAAGGGAAAUACUAUUUCCUUACAGCUACAUGUGAGUGUUACUGGCUUGUACACAUUCUGUUUCGCUUACUUGAUGUUAAGUGUAAUUGAUGAGUUAUGCAUGCACAAGUUCCAUUUUAUUCUCCUAGUCAUUGAGGUUGUCGAAUGAGUAGUACUUGUCAUGGACUCGAAAUGUAAAAACGCCAAGACGUGGGCAGACCUGAGUGAAAUGCUCCAGAGGUAAUUACAAUUAUUAUUCCUUUUGAUUCAAAGAGGCGGCGGUGAAAAACCAUUCUUUGACUUUGGAGUUCCAAAUAGAAAAACAGUUCUCAUUUCUUCUUGUAGUCGAUUGGUCGUCCGUUCAUCUGCUUCAGUAUAUUUGCCCUAUUUUGCCUCUCUUUUUGUGCGGCGAAUGGCGAAAGACCCGAUGAGUAUUUUCGUACCACCUUCCAAUCUUCUUAGUCAGUUGUGCUUUCCGUCCGUAUUGAGCAACUCAAAUUCAUAGAAAGUCGUUGGUGCACCCACCCAGUGAGUAACUACUAAUGCAAUGAGUAACUACUAAUGUUACGAACAAAGAAACUUUCUAGAAGUGGACCCAACAAGCAAAGCAACGGAUUGAGCCGCACUGUAUUUAUUUUCUUUGUCGGGUAGGAUUUGGAAAUGGUUCACCAAGAAGGUUAGGGGUGAAUGAAAAGAGAAGUUGCAAUAUUGACAACUCAAUGUAAGUAAUAUUAGUUAGGUCCGUGUAUCUCUUUGAUUAUAGUUUCAGUACCAUUAUCAUGCUUGAUUAUUAUUUCGAUUGAACACUAUGUUGGGGAACGUCGCAUGGGAAACAAAAAAUUUCCUACGCGCACGAAGACCUAUCAUGGUGAUGUCCAUCUACGAGAGGGGAUGAGUGAUCUACGUAUCCUUGUAGACCGUACAGUAGAAGCGUUAGUGAACGCGGUUGAUGUAGUGGAACGUCCUCACGUCCCUCGAUCCGCCCCGCGAACUAUCCCGCGAUCAGUCCCACGAUCUAGUGCCGAACGGACGGCACCUCCGCGUUCAGCACACGUACAGCUCGACGAUGAUCUCGGACUUCUUGAUCCAGCAAGAGAGACGGAGAGGUAGAAGAGUUCUCCGGCAGCGUGACGGCGCUCCGGAGGUUGGUGAUGAUCUCGUCUCAGCAGGGCUCCGCCCGAGCUCCGCAGAAACGCGAUCUAGAGGAAAAACCGUGGAGGUAUGUGGUUGGGCUGCCGUGGAAAAAUCGUCUCAAAUCAGCCCUAAAACCUCCGUAUAUAUAGGUGGGAGAGGGGGGACCUUGCCUUGGGGCUCAAGGAGCCCCAAGGGGGUCGGCCGAGCCAAAGGGGGGAAGGACUCCCCCCCCCCAAACCGAGUCCUACUUGGUUUGGUGGGUGGAGUCCUUCUUUCCUUUCCCACCUCCUCCUUUUUUGUUCUUUUCUCUUUGAUUUUUCUUCCAAUGCGCAUAGGGCCCUUUUGGGCUGUCCCACCAGCCCUUAGGGCUGGUGCGCCACCCUCAAGGCCUAUGGGCUUCCCCGGGGUGGGUUGCCCCCCCGGUGAACUCCCGGAACCCAUUCGUCAUUCCUGGUACAUUCCCGGUAACUCCGAAAACCUUCCGGUAAUCAAAUGAGGUCAUCCUAUAUAUCAAUCUUCGUUUCCGGACCAUUCCGGAAACCCUCGUGACGUCCGUGAUCUCAUCCGGGACUCCUAACAACAUUCGGUAACCAACCAUAUAACUCAAAUACGCAUAAAACAACGUCAAACCUUAAGUGUGCAGACCCUGCGGGUUCGAGAACUAUGUAGACAUGACCCGAGAGACUCCUCGGUCAAUAUCCAAUAGCGGGACCUGGAUUCCCAUAUUGUAUCCUACAUAUUCUACGAAGAUCUUAUCGUUUGAACCUUAGUGCCAAGGAUUCAUAUAAUCCCGUAUGUCAUUCCCUUUGUCCUUCGGUAUGUUACUUGCUCGAGAUUCGAUCGUCAGUAUCCGCAUACCUAUUUCAAUCUCGUUUACCGGCAAGUCUCUUUACUCGUUCCGUAAUACAAGAUCCCGCAACUUACACUAAGUUAUAUUGCUUGCAAGGCUUGUGUGUGAUGUUGUAUUACCGAGUGGGCCCCGAGAUACCUCUCCGUCACACGGAGUGACAAAUCCCAGUCUUGAUCCAUACUAACUCAACAAACACCUUCGGAGAUACCUGUAGAGCAUCUUUAUAGUCACCCAGUUACGUUGCGAUGUUUGAUACACACAAAGUAUUCCUCCGGUGUUAGUGAGUUAUAUGAUCUCAUGGUCAUAGGAACAAAUACUUGACACGCAGAAAAUAGUAACAACAAAAUGACACGAUCAACAUGCUACGUCUAUUAGUUUGGGUCUAGUCCAUCACGUGAUUCUCCUAAUGACGUGAUCCAGUUAUCAAGCAACAACACCUUGUUCAUAAUCAGAAGACACUGACUAUCUUUGAUCAACUGGCUAGCCAACUAGAGGCAUGCUAGGGACAGUGUUUUGUCUAUGUAUCCACACAUGUAAAUGAGUCUUCAUUCAAUACAAUUAUAGCAUGGAUAAUAAACGAUUAUCUUGAUACAGGAAUUAUAAUAAUAACUAUAUUUAUUAUUGCCUCUAGGGCAUAAUUCCAACAGUCUCCCACUUGCACUAGAGUCAAUAAUCUAGCCCUCACAUCAUCAUGCGAAUUACAUUGUAAUAAAUCUAACACCCAUACAGUUCUGGUGUUGAUCAUGCUUUGCCCGUGGAAGAGGUUUAGUCAGCGGGUCUGCUACAUUCACAUCCGUGUGCACUUUGCAUAUAUUUACGUCCUCUCCUUCGACGUAGUCGCGGAUGAGGUUGAAGCGUCGUUUGAUGUGUGUGGACUUCUUGUGAAACCGUGGUUCCUUUGCUAAGGCAAUGGCACCCGUGUUGUCACAGAACAAGGUUAUUGGAUUCAGUGCGCUUGGCACCACUCCAAGAUUCGUCAUGAACUGCUUCAUCCAGACACCCUCCUUAGUCGCCUCCGAGGCAGCCAUGUACUCCGCUUCACAUGUAGAAUCUGCUACGACGCUUUGCUUGGAACUGCACCAGCUUACCGCACCCCCAUUAAGAAUAAAUACGUAUCCGGUUUGCGACUUAGAGUCGUCCGGAUCUGUGUCAAAGCUUGCAUCGAAGUAACCUUUUACGGCGAGCUCUUCGUCACCUCCAUACACGAGAAACAUCUCCUUAGUCCUUUUCAGGUACUUCAGGAUAUUCUUGACCGAUGUCCAGUGAUCCACUCCUGGAUUACUCUGGAACCUACCUGCCAUACUUAUGGCCAGGCUAACGUCCGGUCUAGUGCGCAGCAUUGCAUACAUGAUAGAACCUAUGGCUGAAGCAUAGGGGACGGAGCGCAUAUGCUCUCUAUCUUCAUCAGUUGCUGGGCACUGAGUCUUAUUCAAUCUCGUACCUUGUAAAACUGGCAAGAACCCCUUCUUGGACUGUUCCAUUUUGAACCUCUUCAAAACUUUAUCAAGGUAUGUGCUUUGUGAAAGUCCUAUCAGGCGUUUUGAUCUAUCCCUAUAGAUCUUAAUGCCUAGAAUGUAAGCAACUUCUCCUAGGUCCUUCAUAGAGAAACUUUUAUUCAAGUAAUCCUUUAUGCUCUCCAAAAACUCUACGUUGUUUCCAAUCAGCAAUAUGUCAUCCACAUAUAAUAUUAGAAACGCCACAGAGCUCCCACUCACUUUCUUGUAAAUACAAGAUUCUCCAACCACUUGUAUAAACCCAAAUGCUUUGAUCACCUCAUCAAAGCGUUUGUUCCAACUCCGAGAUGCUUGCACCAGUCCAUAAAUGGAUCGCUGGAGCUUGCACACCUUGUUAGCAUUCUUAGGAUCGACAAAACCUUCGGGUUGCAUCAUAUACAAUUCUUCCUUAAGGAAACCGUUAAGGAACGCCGUUUUGACAUCCAUCUGCCAGAUUUCAUAAUCGAAAAAUGCAGCUAUUGCUAACAUGAUUCUGACGGACUUAAGCAUCGCUACGGGUGAGAAUGCCUCAUCGUAGUCAACUCCUUGAACUUGUGAAAAACCCUUUGCCACAAGUCGAGCUUUAUAAACGGUCACAUUGCCGUCAGCGUCCGUCUUCCUCUUAAAGAUCCAUUUGUUCUGAAUAGCCUUGCGGCCCUCAGGCAGUACCUCCAAAGUCCACACUUUGUUCUCAUACAUGGAUCCUAUCUCAGACUUCAUGGCUUCUAGCCAUUUGUUGGAAUCUGGGCCCACCAUUGCUUCUUCAUAAUUUGCAGGUUCAUUGUUGUCCAACAACAUGAUUGAUAAGACGGGAUUACCGUACCACUCUGGAGCAGCACGUGGUCUCGUCGACCUGCGUGGUUCGACAGAAACUUGAACCGGAGUUUCAUGAUCAUCAUCAUUAACUUCCUCCUCAACCGGCGUCGCAACGACAGAGGUUUCCCCUUGCCCUGCGCCACCAUCCAGAGGGAUGAGAGGUUCGACAACCUCGUCAAGUUCUAUCUUCCUCCCACUCAAUUCUCUCGAGAGAAACUCCUUCUCGAGAAAAGCUCCGUUUUUAGCAACAAACACUUUGCCCUCAGAUUUGAGAUAGAAGGUGUACCCAACUGUCUCUUUUGGGUAACCUAUGAAGAUGCACUUUUCCGCUUUGGGUUCCAGCUUUUCAGGCUGAAGCUUUUUGACAUAAGCAUCACAUCCCCAAACUUUACGAAAUGACAACUUUGGCCUUUUGCCAUACCACAGUUCGUAUGGUGUCGUCUCAACGGAUUUUGAUGGUGCCCUAUUUAAAGUGAAUGCAGCUGUUUCUAAUGCAUAACCCCAAAACGAUAACGGCAAAUCGGUAAGAGACAUCAUAGAUCGCACCAUAUCUAAUAAAGUACGAUUACGACGUUCGGACACACCAUUAUGCUGUGGUGUUCCAGGCGGUGUCAACUAUGAAACAAUUCCACAUUGUCUUAAGUGAGCACCAAACUCGAAACUCAGAUAUUCACCCCCACGAUCAGACCGUAGGAACUCGAUCUUCUUGUUACGAUGAUUUUCAACUUCACUCUGAAAUUGCUUGAACUUUUCAAAUGUUUCAGACUUGUGCUUCAUUAAGUAGACAUAACCAUAUCUACUCAAAUCGUCAGUGAAGGUGAGAAAAUAACGAUAUCUGCCGCGUGCCUCUACGCUCAUCGGACCACACACAUCGGUAUGUAUGAUUUCUAACAAGUCAUUUGCACGCUCCGUUGUUCUGGAGAACGGAGUUUUAGUCAUCUUGCCCAUGAGGCAUGGUUCGCACGUGUCAAGUAAAUCAAAGUCAAGUGACUCCAAAAGUCCAUCGGCAUGGAGUUUCUUCAUGCGCUUUACACCAAUAUGACCUAAGCGGCAGUGCCACAAAAAUAUGGCGCUAUCAUUAUUAACUCUAACUCUUUUGGUCUCAAUGUUAUGUAUGUGUGUAUCGCUAUCAAGAUUCAAUAUGAACAAUCCUCUCACAUUGGGUGCAUGACCAUAAAAGAUGUUACUCAUAGAAAUAGAACAACCAUUAUUCUCUGACUUAAAAGAGUAACCGUCUCGCAAUAAACAAGAUCCAGAUAUAAUGUUCAUGCUCAACGCAGGCACUAAAUAACAAUGAUUCAAGUUCAUAACUAAUCCUGAUGGUAACUGAAAUGAAACUAUGCCGACGGCGAUUGCAUCAACCUUGGAACCAUUUCCUACGCGCAUCGUCACUUCAUCUUUCGCCAGCCUUCGUCUAUUCCGCGGUUCCUGUUUCGAGUUGCAAAUAUGAGCAACAGAACCGGUAUCGAAUACCCACGCACUACUACGAGAGCCGGUUAAGUACACAUCAAUAACAUGUAUAUCAAAUAUACCUAAUUUUUCUUUGGCCGCCUUCUUAUCUGCCAGAUACUUGGGGCAAUUGCGCUUCCAGUGACCCAUACCCUUGCAAUAGUAACACUUUGUUUCAGGCUUAGGUCCAGCUUUGGGUUUCUUCGUCGGAUUGGCAACAGGCUUGCCGCUCUUAUUUGAAUUACCCUUCUUGCCUUUGUCGUUUCUCUUGAAACUAGUGGUCUUAUUCACCAUCAACACUUGAUGCUCUUUACGGAGUUCGGACUCUGCGACUUUCAGCAUCGCAAACAACUCGUCGGGUGACUUGUUCAUCCCUUGCAUGUUGUAGUUCAACACAAAGCCUUUAUAGCUUGGCGGCAGUGAUUGAAGGAUUCUGUCAGUGAUAGCCUCUUGCGGGAGUUCAAUCCCCAGCUCAGCUAGACGGUUUGAGUACCCAGACAUUUUGAGCACAUGUUCAGUGACAGACGAGUUCUCCUCCAUCUUGCAAGCAUAGAAUUUAUCGGAGGUCUCAUACCUCUCGAUCCGGGCGUUCUUUUGAAAGAUAAACUUCAACUCCUGGAACAUCUCAAAUGCUCCAUGAAGCUCAAAGCGACGUUGAAGUCCCGGUUCUAAGCCAUACAAGACUGCACAUUGAACUACUGAGUAGUCCUUCUUACGUGCUAACCAAGCGUUCUUAACAUCCUGAUCAGCCGUAGCGGGUGGUUCAUCUCCUAGCGCAGCAUUAAGGACAUAAUCCUUCUUCCCAGCUUGUAAGAUUAGCUUAAGAUUACGAGCCCAGUCUACAAAGUUGCUUCCAUCAUCUUUCAACUUAGCUUUCUUUAGGAACGUAUUAAAAUUCAGGGUGACUGUCGCGUGAGCCAUGAUCUACAACAUAAAUAUAUUCAAAGUGGACUUAGACUAUGUUCAAGAUAAUUAGAGUUUAACUUAAUCAAAUUAUUCGCUAAACUCCCACUCAAAAAGUACAUCUCUCUAGUCAUUUGAGUGGUUCAUGAUCCACUUACACUAGCUCAAGUCCGAUCAUCACGUGAGUUGAGUAUAGUUUCAGUGGUAAGCAUCCCUAUGCUAAUCAUAUCAUCUAUAUGAUUCAUGAUCGACCUUUCGGUCUCAUGUGUUCCGAGGCCAUGUCUGCACAUGCUAGGCUCGUCAAGCUUAACCCGAGUGUUCCGCGUGCGCAACUGUUUUGCACCCAUUGUAUGUGAACGUUGAGUCUAUCACACCCGAUCAUCACGUGGUGUCUCGAAACGACGAACUGUAGCAACGGUGCACAGUCGGGGAGAACACAAUUUCGUCUUGAAAUUUUAGUGAGAGAUCACCUCAUAAUGCUACCGUCGUUCUAAGAAAAAUAAGGUGCAUAAAAGGAUUAACAUCACAUGCAAUUCAUAAGUGACAUGAUAUGGCCAUCAUCACGUGCUUCUCGAUCUCCAUCACCAAAGCACCGACACGAUCUUCUUGUCACCGGCGCCACACCAUGAUCUCCAUCAACGUGUCGCCAUCGGGGUUGUCGUGCUACUCAUGCUAUUACUACUAAAGCUACAUCCUAGCAAAAUAGUAAAUGCAUCCGCAAGCACAAACAUUAGUAUAAAGACAACCCAAUGGCUCCUGCCGGUUGCCGUACCAUCGACGUGCAAGUCGAUAUUAUCUAUUACAACAUGAUCAUCUCAUACAUCCAAUAUAUCACAUCACAUCGUUGCCCAUAUCACAUCACAAGCAUACCCUGCAAAAACAAGUUAGACGUCCUCUAAUUUUGUUGUUGCAUGUUUUACGUGGUGACCAUGGGUAUCUAGUAGGAUCGCAUCUUACUUACGCAAACACCACAACGGAGAUAUAUGAGUUGCUAUUUAACCUCAUCCAAGGACCUCCUCGGUCAAAUUCGAUUCAACUAAAGUUGGAGAAACCGACACUUGCCAGUCAUCUUUGAGCAACGGGGUUACUCGUAGCGAUGAAACCAGUCUCUCGUAAGCGUACGAGUAAUGUCGGUCCAAGCCGCUUCAAUCCAACAAUACCACGGAAUCAAGAAAAGACUAAGGAGGGCAGCAAAACGCACAUCACCGCCCACAAAAACUUUUGUGUUCUACUCGAGAAGACAUCUACGCAUGAACCUAGCUCAUGAUGCCACUGUUGGUGAACGUCGCAUGGGAAACAAAAAAUUUCCUACACGCACGAAGACCUUUCAUGGUGAUGUCCAUCUACGAGAGGGGAUGAGUGAUCUACGUGCCCUUGUAGACCGUACAGCAGAAGCGUUAGUGAACGCGGUUGAUGUAGUAGAACGUCCUCACGUCCCUCGAUCCGCCCCGCGAACUAUCCCGCGAUUAGUCCCACGAUCUAGUGCCGAACGGAUGGCACCUCCGCGUUCAGCACACGUACAGCUCGACGAUGAUCUCGACGACGAUCUAGUGCCGAACAGACGGAGUGACAAAUCACGGUCUUGAUCCAUACUAACUCAACGAAGACCUUCGGAGAUACCUGUAGAGCAUCUUUAUAGUCACCCAGUUACGUUGCGACGUUUGAUACACACAAAGCAUUCCUCCGGUGUCCGUGAGUUAUAUGAUCUCAUGGUCAUAGGAACAAAUACUUGACACGCAGAAAACAGUAGCAACAAAAUGACACGAUCAACAUGCUACGUCUAUUAGUUUGGGUCUAGUCCAUCACGUGAUUCUCCUAAUGACGUGAUCCAGUUAUCAAGCAACAACACCUUGUUCAUAAUCAGAAGACACUGACUAUCUUUGAUCAACUGGCUAGCCAACUAGAGGCUUGCUAGGGACAGUGUUUUGUCUAUGUAUCCACACAUGUAAAUGAGUCUUCAUUCAAUACAAUUAUAGCAUGGAUAAUAAACGAUUAUCUUGAUACAGGAAUUAUAAUAAUAACUAUAUUUAUUAUUGCCUCUAGGGCAUAAUUCCAACACACUAUUCUCGUAAAGUGUUUGAGGUAGGAAGAUGGAAAUAAUUUAUGUGGAUACUACAUUUGCGAUUCCAUUCGCAAGACGACCUGUGAGAAGGAAGAAUUUAGAACAACUUUGAGUACGUAAACAAUAUUCACAAUCUUAUUUUAUUACCAUCAAUUGUGUUGAGUUUCAUUCAUAUAUAUUGACUACCUUAUUUAAAUUAGAUCAAACAGAUGCAGGACGAUCUCCUACAAAAAGAUCGCAUAGGAGCAAUUCAAGAGGAAUUAAUGGGAUUCUUACUUGAAAAGGUCAUAACUAAAAACGGAGAAAAUCAUCGGAAAUUGGUAAGGAAUUGGUAAUUAGAUAUUACGGAUCGUAAGAGAUAUUAUAUUCUAUAUAUGCAUGAAAGUGUACUAUAUGUAUUACUGUUGUAUAUAUAUAUAUAUAUAUAUAUAUAUAUAUAUAUACUCCUACUGAAUGCUGGUAGGAAUCUAGAAUCUUAGUAUAUAUUGAUAUGAAAUAUCAAUUAUAUGGGCAGGGAAGACCCCCCCUCAAAAAAAAUGCAGCAUGUAUGCGUACACAUAUCAAUAGCCAAUGCACACACAUGUGCAUGUUUCCAGCCAAGUAUGCCCGUAUACACAUAUCAGCAGGCAGUGUACGGGCACAUGCAUAUCCAAAGAUUGUAAUAUUCCUGAAGAUUAAAGUCCAAGACAAAAUCAUGACGAGGAAGAAAAUCAAAAAAGAAGACAAUGCCACCUCCAUUGGCAGCCAAGACACGGUGUGCAAACCUCUCCAACAUGCACUCAAUACCCUAGAAAGAAGGGCUAUAAUGGCUACAAAGCCUAUAAAGCCUAGAAGGCCUAAAAACUAGGUGCAUGAUGGACAAGGAGAAAGAAGGAGGAAAUAAUAGAGGAGCCUUCUCCCGGAAGCCAUCCAAGAGGUGCUCUCUUGCCUAUAAAAGGAGGAGCCUUGCUGCGAAGAGGGACACCAGACGGAGAAGAACCAGCCACAGAUAGAGCACAGAGUUGCAACUCAGCUAGCAAGCUCUUUGCUCAAGUAGUAGUAGUAGUAGUACUUCCUCAUCGUGUAAUAAAGAGCUACAAUAUUUAGAGCAUUUGUAAGCUCGCGAAGGUGGUUAGAAGGUAAUUUCUUUAUCCUUGUGUAAACCCUUCGGGGGUUCCCGAAAGGGAAAACCAUAUAUAAAUUAUGUUGUGGAAAUGAUGUAGUGUCGUGUUUUCACUUGGUAUUUUAUUUUUGAAUUUAUGGAACGAGUUCGUAUGCUAGGGAUCCUAUAGGAGAAAACUCUGUCGGUAGUUCUGUGUGUAGCCUUUUAUGGCAUUUGAAUGAGAACCUUAUGGCCGUAGAGAAGUGUUCCCUUCGGGUGGAACUGCCUGGGAAGACGAUAGGAAUUUACUCCAUAAAUUCGCAACUAAAACAUCCAGUGAACGAACUUAGCUACAUCUGAAACAACAUAAUGAUAAAUAUGGUGAGUACUGAGUAGGAUAUUACACCACUGCGUACACCUCAGUCGUCUUGUUGGCCUCGACAACCCCUCAAAGAUCCUGCAAUAUAAGCGAAAUAAUUUAAAAACAUUUCGUAUUAAAAAUAAUAUAAAAUAAAUAAAUAAGUUUGUAUUUACUCGUAUACGUAAUCACGUAUAUCAACAUUAAAACCUGAAUUUAUAACUUAAUAUAUUUAGAUUUAUUAUAAAUAUUUUAAUUAUUCUGUAUAUUUGGUAUCAGGUCCAGCAUUUUAAACAUUGAUAGGUUAAAGUAUUUAAAUUUAGAAGUUAGCGCAGGUAAGGUAAUAAAUACUAAAGAUAAUAUUAAUAUAAGGUGCAGAAUAAAUCCUUCUGAAGAGCAUACCUGGCAUACAUCUCAUUGCGAGCUAAAUACAAUUGUCGAUGUGAUAUAUAACUUUUACAUAUCUUGGGGGAAAAGACAAGAUAAUUUAGACCAAAAAUUUGAGAGUUUAUCCAAAGAAUACCAAAAAGCUUGCGGAUAAAUAUUCUGGUCUGAACAAUAAAAUUGAUCUCGCCUUACAUAAGCUAGAAGGAGCAAAGGCCAGGCAUAACGUACUUUGCAAGAAUAACGAUUGUAUUAAAGAAGAAGUGUUGUCAAUUGGCCGUUACCUAAGUAAAGGCAAAGACUCACUCCCUCGCACAAAAGCAAGACAAGAUAUACUCGAUAUAAAGAAGUUGCUGCAAGAAGUUAAAACUUUAAUUGUCUUAUAAUUAUAUGACUGAAUAUAGCCAAGCAUUAAACGAAGUAGCCAAAUACUUGUCACCUCCUGUAGGAUUUUAGGAUUUUUUGAUCACGACUCACCAAAAGAAGACUCUAAAAUUAUAAUAAGACAAAAUAAUACAAUUCUUCAGCUAUUAAUCCAGGUUUUAGACAAGCUAAAAAGUGUCCAAAACAACCAAGAAAUUGUGCUAUCGUCAUCUGGAAUCGUAACAUCAUCAAGAAAUAUUAAUUCAGAAAAAUGGACAUAUCUAAAGGCUUCCUUAGAAGAGAUAAAACCCUCCAGUUAGUAAGGCAAGACUCAAGACCACUCGCAAUGAAGCAUAGAUUAUCAUGUAAAGCCGAUGAUAUUGAUAGUAUUGAAGAAGUUAUAGAUAUUCAGAGAGACCUCGAAAGAUAUCAAAAGGAUACCCUAAGAAAAAUAAAACCGCAACAGGUAUAUCACAUGGGUAUGUUUGAGAGUAAGAGCGGGUUAUACCGAAUAUCAAGAGAAGUAGAACUAAGUGUGUUAACACACCCAGUUGAUUUAAGAAUAGUAUGCAAAAAUAUUGAAAAUAAACUAAAAUAUUGUGGUUACAAAUAUAUUCAUCAAGGUAUGUAUAUUAUAGGAGUUAAAGGUAUGACAAGAAAGAAAUUAGGAGCAAAGGUGCUUAUAACUCUAUUAGACCGAAGGUGGGAAUCAGUAGAUAAAGCAGCAUUAGGAUUUUUAGAAGGAGACAUGAAUGAAAAUAGGUUAAUAACCUAUAUAGCUCCAGACCUAAUGAUGCCUGUAAAAGAAUUUAUUGAAAAAAUGAGUUUUGGUUUCCAAACCAAGGGAUAUGAAGAUUUUAAAGGAACAAAUUUGUUAGUAAGCAUAGAAUUUAUAGGAAGGCUCACUAACAGAAGUAACUCUAGAUAUAGAGUUAAAGUGAGCGAUGUAAUUGAUAGUAUGCAAUCAAAGGGUAUUAAAUUUAUGAAUCCACUUAAAAUUGGUUCUGAAGAAAGAGCGGGAGAAGAGUGGAAGAUUGGUGAAUUAAUAGAGAAAAAAGAAUUAAAGCAACCUGAAAACUAUAUAAGUUAUCAAAAUUGUGAAGGAAGUAGUAGCAUUAGAUUUAUGAACUAUAAAUCGGCAUCAAUAGAAGACGCAGAAUCCUUUAUGUCAGAAACAGAAUCUAUUGACGAGAAGAAUACAGGUGUGACCGAAUGCAUGGAAAAGGAUAAUUUAGAUGAUGAAAUAAUUCACUGGGAAAAUAAGCUAAAGCAUAUAGAUUGGGAAUAUAAAAAUUCUAUGACAAAAGAUUGGCCUAAGAUAAGAGAAAGAGAAUUGUUUAUAAUUAGAGAAAUUGCAAGGUUAAAAAAACUAAAAAAUGAGAAAAAGUUGGUAACUAGUGGUUCAAUUAUGCCAAAUACAUCAUCAAUUGAAAGGGGAGAACAUGCUGGUAGUAAUAAUGAUGCUAUCACUAAUAGAGAUAAGAAUAUUGCUCAGGAAGAAGAAGUUGUUAGUGAAGAAGAGCAAUGGGAUAUAAAUAAUAAGUUAUUACUAGAAAGUUAUGAAGAGGAAGAGGAAUUAGUAAAAGAUAUGUGGUUAGAAGAUGAAAAUUAUAAUGAUUCGGAGCAGAAUAGUGAUUUUUAUAACUCACUAGAUGAUGUGGGACUACAAAAUUUAGACAUUGCAAUGGAAGCUAUGGAAGUAGAAAGUAGUAAUAAAAGAAGAAAGGGAUAUGGCGAGUCUUCGGUAAAAAGAGAAGGAGAGAGAGAGAGACCUACCAGAUCAGCUGGACAAUGGCCUGCAGAAAAGGAUGAUUAUCAACCUACAUAUAUCCCUGGACAAUAUAGAUAUAUGGGUGCUAAAAGAAGAGAUUUUGAAAAGCCAGUGCAAUUUCAAAAUUAUAAGAAUGAUGGCGCUAUUUUAAACCUAGCAGCUCGUGACCCGAUAGAUUGGCCGAAUAUAAUCAGCAUAUGGAAAGGUUUAAUAGUUCAAAAAUAUAUACAAAACCAGUAUAAUAUAGGAACUAAGGUAGAAGAUAUGUUAACAUAUCUUGAAACAUUUUUAGGAGAAUCUGUAAAAGUUCUAUGGGAACAAUGGGUAGAGACGUAUCCUAAUCAGUAUGAAGAAUUAAAAAGGGCCGGAAGUAACCCUAAUAACUUUGCAAAUGUUAUUUCAAAUAUGAUCAUCGCAGAAGACCCGGAAUUAGGAUAUACCUCACUACAAAACGAAAGGUUGAGAGAAAUAGAAAACUAACAUUAACUAGCUGGAAAGGAAUAAAAUAAUUCUCUCAACAUUAUUUAUAUAAUGCUACCACUGCGAAGCAAGGGUUUAAUGUAUGUGUUGUAGAAAUAUAUUUUAAUAAGUUGCCAGACCCUCUAGGAUCCAUAAUAUUUGAAGAAUAUAAAAAAGAAACAGGCGGAAAUGUGGUAAAUAUAUCUCAAGCCAUAACAUUUGUUUUUAAACAAUUAAGAAAUGUAUGUACAGGCAUACAAGCCCAAAGGUCUAUGAAGAAGUCAGAUUACAAUUUCUGGAAUAACAUUGUCCAAAUACCGCUUACGUAUGUAGAAGAAAGGCAUCGGAAAAACAAAUAUUAUAAACCACAAAGGAGAGAUAAUAGAAAUUUUAGAACAAAGAAAAGAUAUUUCUUAAGAAGGUCCGAUAAUAGAGCCCCAUUCUUGCAUAAAAGAAAUGUAAGAAGAUAUAAUCCUAAGAAAUCAUAUGAUAAAACAUGCAGGUGUUUCAUAUGUAACUCUCCCGAUCACUUAAGUAGAACUUGCCCUAAUAAAGACCAGAAAAGGUACUCUAGCAAAUAUGAGGAGCAAGAGAGAGUAUUAAUAGUAGAUAUUGUUAAUGAGAAUAUAUUGGUAUGUGAUGAUGAAAUAAAAGACGACGAGUCAAUAUAUUCAAUCAUAGAGAUAGAUGAAGUAGAAAAUGAGACUCCAGAAUAUGAAUCAAGCGAUGAUGAAAUAGACCUAAUUGAUGAAUUAGCCGGUUUAAAGAUCGAAAUGAUGAAUCAAGUAGAUUGUGAACAUGACUGGAUUAAAGGAAAAGGGGAUUAUAACAUAAAAUGUGCUUUCUGUAUAUAUUAUCAUAGCCAAGAUAAUAGAUUCACAUGUAGUUUAUGCUUAAAGCAAGCAUGUACCUCCUGUCUAAAAGUCAGUAAUGAAAAGAUUCUCUCAAGAGUUCGUCGCAAGGUCUCAGAUGUUAUGAAUGAGAUGUUCAUGGCUCCAUACCUUAUCGACCCUGCGAAUAGGCAAUGAGAUGAAGAGCUUCUUCAAUACAUCAUGUCUCCUCCGGGUGUUUAUUGAAUCCUUCAAAUACCCUCGAAUGUAAUCGGGUUUUAACAAUUUCACCACAUAACAUGGUUUGAAGACCGGGUGUUUCUCAAUCUAAUCAUAAGAUGGAUGGACUUGGGAAGUUAAAUAAAACUAUGCUCCUUUCAUCAAUCAUAUCCGCAUAAUGACUACCAUAAGCGCUCUUGGAACCAAUAUUGACCGCAUAGACGAACGCGUUGCUGCGGCCUGAUGCAGUUGCUACUUGUUUCUUUGCAGUGUGCUAAAAAAGAAAAAAUGUUCACCAUCGAGUAAUCUUAAAAGCUGUGAGCUACAAGAUGUUCAACUAUAUAGCUCAUCUAGUUUUUUUUUCCAUAAAUACAGUAUAUGGGUUGAAAAUUCCUUCCUGGUUUUAAAGCAAGGCUUGGCUAUGACCGUACGAUUAGUUUCGCACUCAUGAUCUAACAAGUUCACGACGUAUCGAUCCCAAAAAAAAAGCUCACAAUGUACCACGCUCAGCUAUGACUGACUUGUGCUGCACGAACGGUCGAACUUUUGAGCAGAACCGAUCGAGUUUCUUUUCUCUCUCUCUACUUUAUUUGAGAAGAAAUUUCUCUCUCUACUUGUUUUUGAGGGGUUCUCUCUCUAUUUUUUUUUGAGGAAAGUUCUCUCUCUAUAUAUACUAGGAAAUCAAAUCAAGUACAGUCAAAUGGGACUGUGGGCCUAAUCGUUAUUAGGAGGCCCAACAAGCCCAGACAACAAGAGAGUACUAAUCGGAUCUGAACACCGUUCACUGGCUGAUCCGAGCCGUCCACCCGUCCAACCCAUCUAGGGUUCCCCCCCCCCCCCAUUCUAGCCAGUAUAAGUACGAGGUGAGAGCCCCCGCCGCCAACAAUCCACGGAGAUCGGGUUCGUCCACACAUUUCCGCCGCCGCCGCCGCCGCCGCGAACCGGAGAGCGAGGCCGACACCGCCGCCGCGAUGAGGGCCAAGGUUCGUACUGCCCUUCGUCUACCUCGCCUGUUGUUUGCUGCUUCGCGACCGCGGUAGAUCUGGACAUGUGCUAGUGUUUACCGGGCGUUCGUUCCUGCUGUUGCUGUUGCUCGCUUGCGUAAUUAUUGGUUCUCUGUGAUGAUCAACACUGAUUAGAUGUCCGAUCCAAUCCAUUCCAUUCAACCGUGGGGACAAUAUGAGGCAUUUGUCUGAGAGAACCGCUGCUACUUCGACCAGAUCUGCUUCUCUAUGAGAUUUAAUUACGGCCUGUAGUUGUUUUAGCCGGAUUUAUGUUUUUUUUGCGGUUCUCGUUUGUUUAUAGUUCUCUGUGAUGAUGAAAACAGAUGACGAGUCCGAUGUAAUCCAUUCAGUUACACCAUGUGGACAAUCGAGGCAUUUGUCUGAGAGAACAUUGAUUGCUUAGCCAUUUCCGUUGCCCAUUUCUUUCCAUUUUUUUGUAUGAUUGCGUCGGUGGCAUGAUGAGGAAGACAAUUCUUGUCCGAUCUAUUUGAUGAUAAAAUCCUCCUACUCAUUCUGAAUGUCAAACCGACUGCAGAUCUGCUUUGCUUUGUUCAACGAGUUUGUAGACAGUACACCCUUCUUAGAUAGUUCUUCUUUUUGCCAUGCUAAAUUGUCAGUUUGGAAGAUGAUGAAGAAGAAUUGGUCCGUGUUUCUGAAAAUCACGUGAUGAUAUCCAAUGAAACACUCAAUAUUCUGAUUCCAAAACUAAUUUUACGAUUUUUUAUUUUAAACGUGAAAUUCUUGUGAUGUCCAUGAGCAGUUCCUAGAUCCUCUGUUCAAUUUAUGCUGAUGAGCCGCAUGGUUGCCUAUAAUUCGCAGUGGAAGAAGAAGAGGAUGAGGAGGCUCAAGAGGAAGCGCCGAAAGAUGAGGCAGCGAUCCAAGUAGGCGCCUUGGAGGAUGGAGGCGUAGCAUCAUCUUACAUCCAGGCAUCGAAACACCGAGGGAUGAUGGCAUAGGCUUGUGAUUCCUGAUGUGUUCUGCCGCUGUGGUUGUGGAAGUCGUUUUACCUUUGUCUUGUCAAAUUUAGCUGUUUAAUACUUGUCUGGUUAUGUUCCAGGACUGAGUUUUAUGUAAUGUGAGGAUUAUAUGUGUUUAUGACUGAAUUUUAUGCACCUAUUAUCUUUAAGCUACUCUGAAUAGUUACUUUUGACCUUGCAUUUGUUCUGUCUGCAUCUUUUUGCGUUGCGAAAUGCCGUACCUCAUUGUUAGCUGCCAGUGAAUGGUUCAUCAAAUGAACUUCCGAAUGUGUUUGUUUUUUGGGCAAGCACCAUGUGGUAAUUUGAACUGAGACAUAAACAUCAUGGCUGCAAUUGGAAGUUUAGACUCGUUUGGUUUAUGCAUGCUGUAAUUAUGUACUAAUUCCGGACGGAGAAUAUGGUACUUCGUAGGCACAGAGAAGUCUGAUUAUAUUUCUGUAGUUACUGUCAUUUUCAACCUCUGUGUUCAGCCUGUUCUAUUUCACUGAUGAUAGUCCGAUUUCAUCCAUUCUAUUACACCCAUGUGAACGAUCGAAGAAUUUAGAACAUGCUUAGUCUUUCAACUUUGCUAUUCCAUUUUAGGUUUAAUGACUCUAAUUCUUGAUUGUCUAAUGCGUAUGUAAGUACCCCCUUUUGUUGCAAGAUUUAUCACAUUGUUACAAUCUUGUCACUUUAUUCCCACUUUUUUGUGCAUGGAAUUUGGAGUAAUCCGUUUGCCUCCUGUUAAAUAAAGGAGGAGAAGUGGGCGAAAAGCACACGGCUGUUCGUGUCAAAUAAUUAUACCACUAGAUUAUUAACGCCUUUGCCGAACUUUGGCACUCUAUUCCUCUUCAGAUACUUGUAACGUGAAUGAAUUUAUGUCCCCGCGCCGCAGGUAUUAAUUUGCAUGUAGAUGAAUGGUUUAGUAGUAAGAAGAAGUUACUGAUUAACUUUAUCUCUGCUUCCUCUGCUGCUGCCCUGUUGCUGUGGGAGAUGCGUAGUGCAGCUAGUGACGUUGGCUUUGGCAUUGGCAAAAUGUCUGGCCACGUAAGGAAAGCCUUUAGGCAUGGCGAGGCCAGUUUUGCUGAAUUUUUGUCUAAAAGGACCCCUUGCCGAGUGCAUUUGUCGGAAACGACCACCUGUAGACGAAAGUGGCAGAAAAGACCCCCACCCACCGUGGCGGCAGGCGUGUCAGGCGACGCGUGUCACCUGCCGCCACAGCCUGAGGCGGCCGGCGCGGAUUUCCGUUCCAGCGUAGCCGCGACGGAACGGUGAGAGAGUGGUGGGACAUGCCGCCACGAAAGGAGGCGGCCAGGCGGGCCCUGCCGCCUCGGCAGCCGGCGGCCGGUAUUGUGGAUGACGGCGCUGAUUCCCACCCGACAGCGUUGAUUCCCACGCUGUCGGCUGAUUCCCAUGCUGUCUGCACCGACGAAACAGUGUGAAUUUUUCCUGCUCUCCACUGACAAAACAAUGCCAAAAUUAUCUGUACUAGCAAAAGGGCCCGUGCGUUGCAACGGGAGAAAAAAAACCACACGCUUUUAAUCUUUUUAUAAUCAUUUAAAUUUAUUAAAAUAAUAAGCUAACUAACUAAUGUAGUCAGUCCUAUCCUAUUUUGUUGAGAAAUCAACCCAUCCAUUAUUAAUUACACCAUGAUGAGAAAUUGAGCGGGACAAGCAAAACAAAACAAAGAGGCUACGUGAAUUGAUCAAUGGACUGUUAUCUUAUUUCACUCAUGGGGUAGAGAAUGUGGGAUCAAAUGACAAACUGAAGGUGGUGUUUCAUUCUCUGUCUCUACAACAAUACAAUCUUACAUUCAAUACACUCAUUCAUCAGCAAACAAAUCUCCACAAAACAAAAUUUCUUGCCGGUGCUUGGCACCCGGUUGGAGGCAUGGGGAGGGGAUCUCACCAGAUGAUGAGUUCCUGCCGGAGGAGGGGAUACGAUGAGGGGAGCAAGCGUUAGGCGCCUCUAUCUGGCCAUAAGGAGUCGUCGUUGCCGCGCCAUAACCUCGGAGUUCCCCGUGUGAGCCAUGGAGGCCCGCCUCCACCUGUAAGUACUUCGCUCCGUCGCGCCGCCGUCGUUCUACAUCGAGCAGACGCAUCAUCCCCUGUCACUAUAGCUGUCGCGUUGAUUUGAUCGAGAAGCUGUGUCCGAGCGCCGAAACGGGGGCAGAAGCGGGCAGAGGUACGGCCGCGGAGGCGGGUGGGUUGAGAUCGACAGCUGUGGUGGUUGAGGUCGGCCGCGGCGGCGAGUGAUGUGACAGCGGCCUGGGCACAGGUCAGGGUGGACCAGGAUCGACGCGAUGUGCUUGAGCGCCGCAACGGGGGCAGUGAGCGGGGAGAGUUACGGCAGCGGAGGCGGGUGGGUUGAGAUCGGCAGCGGUGGCGGUUGAGGUCGGCCGCGGCGGCCUGGGCAAAGGCUACGGUGGCCCAGGGUCGACGGGAGGAGGCGAUGCGUACGGGUAUAAUUUUUGCAGCUAAUCGUUUUUUCCUUUUGCGUUGUAGAUAAAUGAUGGAGCACGGGUUGAAUACAAAAACUACAAGGGCUCUUUUAUAAAAAUGCCGCGGUGGGUUUUCCGACGGAAGCAAUAGCCGCUUUAUUAUUAUCGCACAAAUGCCCGUGCGUUACAACGGGAAGAACAAUAUUUGUUUUUUAUGCGCAAAAUACAAUUAUUUUAUAGGCAAGACUCUUCGCAUUUUAGUAUGGAUUUUGAAUAAACAACUUCAAAUUUGAACAUUAAACUGUGCAACUAAAGCAUGUGGCCGAAACACCCACCUCUCACAUGUGAUGAUCUUGGGUCAAGGUAUAAUGGUAUCUUAAUGGAUCCGCCCAUGCAUAACCUUUCUGUCCAACACCUAUGAAAAAUAGUAGGCAUGAUAGAAAAAACAUAUUAAAAGAGAAGAUGAGAAAAAUUGAUGGUGCAAAAGCGAGAUCAAGAAAAGAAUGGAGAUAAGGAUCAUAAAAUCACAAGCUUAAUCACUUGUAUCCAGAAAUCCAUCUCCACAUGACUAAUCAUGUGACAAACAAGCAGUAGGCCAGUAGCCACAAAUCCAUGAGACAUGCGUAAUCAUUAGGAGGCACCAAAUCUACUUGUGCAUGCAAAAAUCUCACCUUAAAAUGAACCAUAUAUUGUAUACGCAUGAGAAAGAAUAUAAUAGGAAAUCUAGAGCAUAUCACGUAGUCAAUUGUGCUACACACCGCACGCCCCUUCGUGUGAUCCAUAUUUGUUUUGGUUUGAUGCUAAGAUGGAUAGGCUAUCGACGGUUGGUUGUCUGUCAUUAUUCUCUUUCCAGCGAUUUUGUCCAUGCAUCGUCUCUCUAAGUUUUCAUCUCUCUCUUUCCACGCAAAGUCCCUUCAUACCUUAGAUCUGUGUCGCUUGGAGGCACUCGAGGUAACUGCGCAAGUGCGGCGGCCGGCGGCCGGCGACCGGCAACCGACGCAGCCAAGGUAGCGAGGCAAGCUCCUGCCUCUACAGGAGCUCGAUUUCGAUGAGACUCACUGGCGAGGGAGCGGAGGAGAUAUCGAUUCUCCGCGGGCGAGCUCGGUGGCGUGGAGUCACACCAAUGAUCUUUUUUAAGAUUUCAGGACUGUCUGACCUAUAGCCGAUGGGGAGGAAGAUGAGCGUGGCUGAACACGCAGUUGCCUGGGGAGCGACAGGUGAUUUCGGUAGCGAGGAGUUUCGAGGCUUGAUAUAUUGACUGGUGUUAAUUUAUAUAGUCAUGGAUCGGGUCGUGAUGCUUCGAGGCUCCUGCAGAGUCCUUGUUCGAAACUGACCAAGCGAGGCGAGAUCAUGCGGAGAACGACGUUCGUUUUUUAUUAUUAUUAGGUGUGCUUGGGUCGUUCAUGAACAAAACGGUUUUGAACUACGGGUUGAAUAACAAAAAUUACAAGGGCUUUUUAAUAAAAAUGUCGUGGUGGGUUUUCCGACGGAAACAAUAGCCUCUUUAUUAUUAGGUAUAGAUAAAGGAGCUGCGUCGCUGCCUCCUCUCUCACUCGUUUCUCUUCUUUGCUUGAACCCACACUGCUUCUCUUUCUCACUCUCUUCUCUUUCUCUCAAAAACUACUCCAUAUGACGGUUUAAGUGGCGAUUUAGGACAGUUUAAAGUUAGAUUUUGAAGACGUUGUAGUUGAAGAAAAGAUAGAUCAAGGUAAGAGUUUUCCAUUUCUGUUGGUCGUGUUUGCAUGCAUGAUGUUUUUAUUUUGUUUGAUUAGUUUCUAAGUAGUAUGUGUUUAUCUUUUGUCUUAGGGAGUGUAUUAUCACUUUUGCGGAACUAUUUUGUCAUGCGAUAUGAACUACUAAGUUGAAGAUCAAGGUAUGAGACUUUGUUCAUAUUUGUGUUCAUGUGAUAAUAGGUCGACUAUGUUCAUAUAUUACCGAUGAUUUGUUCGUGUUUGCAUGCAACUGGUAUUUAGAAAGGAGCCGGAAAAAUGUGUAUGUAACUAGCAUUUUUGUUAAAAACAUGUAAUAAUAUGUUAGCUCCAUUAGUAUUAUUGCAUGCAAGACGCGUGUGUAAUAUAUUUGUUUAUGUGAUAAUUUGUCAACCCCGUAAAAAUAUGACUCGUGAUAUAUAUAUAUAUAUAUAUAUAUAUAUAUAUAUAUGNNNNNNNNNNNNNNNNNNNNNNNNNNNNNNNNNNNNNNNNNNNNNNNNNNNNNNNNNNNNNNNNNNNNNNNNNNNNNNNNNNNNNNNNNNNNNNNNNNNNCACUGACUAUCAUCGAUCAACUGGCUAGCCAACUAGAGGCAUGCUAGGGACGGUGUUUUGUCUAUGUAUCCACACAUGUAGAUGAGUCUUCAUUCAAUACAAUUAUAGCAUGGAUAAUAAACUAUUAUCUUGAUACAGGAAUUAUAAUAAUAACUAUAUAUUUAUUAUUGCCUCUAGGGCAUAAUUCCAACAAAUCUUUCCUUACCAAUUUCCACUUACCAAAGGCGCUUCAGUCCCCGACAAUGGCGCCAGAAAAAGAGUCUUGAUGCCCCACAAGUAUAGGGGAUCACUCAUAGUCCUUUCGAUAAGUAAGAGUGUCGAACCCAACGAGGAGCAGAAGGCUCUGAUAAACGGAAUUCAGCAAGGCAAUAACUGCAAGCACUGAAAGUAGCGGUAACAAGUGAUUGUGUAGCGAGGUGAAACGUAGCAAGCAAAAAGUAACAAGUAACAAGUAGUAGCAACUGUGCAGCAAGUGGCCCAAUCCCUUUUGUAGCAAGGGACAAGCCUGAACAAAGUCUUAUAGGAGGAAAAACGCUCCCGAGGACACACGGGAAUUUCUUUCAUGCUAGUUUCAUCAUGUUCAUAUGAUUCACGUUCGUUACUUUGAUAGUUUGAUAUGUGGGUGGACCGGCGCUUGGGUACUUCCCUUACUUCGACAAGCAUCCCACUUAUGAUUAACCUCUCUCGCAAGCAUCCACAACUACAAAAGAAGAAUUAAGACAACGUCUAACCAUAGCAUUAAACUAGUGGAUCCAAAUCAGCCCCUAACGAAGCAACGGAUAGACUGGGGUUUAAGCUUCUGUCACUCCAGGAACCCAUCAUCUACUUACUACUCCCCAAUGCCUUCCUCUAGGCCCAAGUAUGGUGAAGUGUUAUGUAGUCGACGUUCACAUAACAUCACUAGAGGAAAAACAACAUACAACAUAUCAAAAUACUGAACGAAUAUCAAAUUCACAUGACUAUUAUCAGCAUGACUUAUCCCAUGUCCUCAGGAACAAAAGUAACUACUCACAAAGCAUAAUCAUAAUCAUGAUCAGAGGNNNNNNNNNNNNNNNNNNNNNNNNNNNNNNNNNNNNNNNNNNNNNNNNNNNNNNNNNNNNNNNNNNNNNNNNNNNNNNNNNNNNNNNNNNNNNNNNNNNNGUCUUGCAAGCAAUGUAACUUAGUGUAAGUUGCGGGAUCUUGUAUUACGGAACGAGUAAAGAGACUUGCCGGUAAACGAGAUUGAAAUAGGUAUGCGGAUACUGACGAUCGAAUCUCGAGACAAGUAACAUACCGAAGGACAAAGGGAAUGACAUACGGGAUUAUACGAAUCCUUGGCACUGAGGUUCAAACGAUAAGAUCUUCGUAGAAUAUGUAGGAUCCAAUAUGGGCAUCCAGGUCCCACUAUUGGAUAUUGACCGAGGAGUCUCUCGGGUCAUGUCUACAUAGUUCUCGAACCCGCAGGGUCUGCACACUUAAGGUUCGACGUUGUUUUAUGCGUAUUUGAGUUAUAUGGUUGGUUACCGAAUGUUGUUCGGAGUCCCGGAUGAGAUCUCGGACGUCACGAGGGUUUCCGGAAUGGUCCGGAAACGAAGAUUGAUAUAUAGGAUGACCUCAUUUGAUUACCGGAAGGUUUUCGGAGUUACCGGAAAUGUACCGGGAAUGACGAAUGGGUUCCGGGAGUUCACCGGGGGGGGCAACCCACCCCGGGGAAGCCCAUAGGCCUUGGGGGAGACACACCAGCCCUUAGUGGGCUGGUGGGACAGCCCACAAGUGCCCUAUGCGCCAACGAGAAGAAAAUCAAGAGAGAAAGAAAAAAAAAAG
This 128240-nucleotide long non-coding RNA is filed under the name Hordeum vulgare. Its description in RNAcentral is "long non-coding RNA (HVUL_LNC013976)". The record is from RNAcentral. Lineage: Eukaryota; Viridiplantae; Streptophyta; Magnoliopsida; Poales; Poaceae.